RNAcentral lists this long non-coding RNA (89584 nucleotides) under Vitis vinifera (wine grape). RNAcentral describes it as "long non-coding RNA (VVIN_LNC001392)". The record is from RNAcentral. Lineage: Eukaryota; Viridiplantae; Streptophyta; Magnoliopsida; Vitales; Vitaceae.
GGAUGGGAGGGAGAUGGAGGUUUGUGCGGUGGCUUGUGGGGCGGAGUUGAUGGCUUCUUUCCAGGAGCUUCUGGCUUUUUCAUCGGAGCUGAAGGAGGCUCAAUCUUAUGAGGCGGCUUGUACGAGUCUUCUUUGCUCUCGAAAGGAGGGUGGCCAGGGUUGUGACCAUAAUGUGGUGGUUUCUCUCCCUUGGGAGGUUUACCAAUUGGGGUUGGUGGCUUGUGUUCUGGGAGUGGUUUCUCUCCCUUGGGAGGUUUAGUGGGUGACUUGUGUUCUGGAGGUGGCUUCUCCACCGAAGGCUUGUGCUCCGGUGGUGGCUUUUUGGUUGGAGGGGGCUUGGGGUAAUCAGCAAGAGAUGGGGUGGUGAGAACCACCAGUCCAAGGAACAACACUAGCAAGUAUGUGGGAGACAUUUUUGAGUUUGGGCUGAUCAGAUGAUGCAAAACUAAAGCAUUACGUGACCUUUUAUAGCAAGUAGCUCCCAAUACCUACUUGACACGUGUUACUGUGACCCAUAAAUAUUAUGGGGUCUAUUUGUGCCCUACCGGGUUGAAAACUUGGACAAUUGGGCAAGGACCCGCCUGACUAUGGAGGACUACUGAGGUGUGAUCACAGCUUUAGGAUUUUUCUUCCUCUGCAGCCGUCUUGCCGUUGGCAUGAUUUUCUUAAUCUCAAAUAAAGGCAUAGUUAUAGAGUUGUUUAAUCUCUAAAUGGGAUUUUAUAUAUCUUCAGAUAGCCAUUAAUACAUUUGAUGAAGAAAGAAAGACAAGUGCAUACAACAUGUAUACGACUAGCUUUCAUGGAGUUCAUUUAUGAUCAGUUUUCCUGUACAUGUAAACCAAGAUCAUAUAUGUUUUUGUUCCACAACAAUUUUGGAAUCUUGUUUAUCCGUUUUUAUCAUUAUAAUGUCACAUAGGCUGCCAACUUGGGCGCUAAAUUAAAGAUCCAGUUGGGCAAGUUCGUUUCAGAAUUUCAAUGGUGGAUUCAGGAAUUGUUUUAUAAGAUAUGCAAAAUAGUAGAGGGAUGAAUAGUGUUUCAUUAAGAAAAGAGCCCUGUAAAAAUAUUGUUUAAAGGUGCCAUAGAAACUAUAAUCAAUAAAUAACUUUUUUUCCCCAUGGGUGGUGUUUCUUGUGGGGAUCAGUGACUGGUUUGAGUCAACGCCGUGUCUCUUUAGUCCAGAAAUCAACUAUUUUAUGCAUUGAAUACAUCAACAAAGAAAAUAUGAAAGCCAAAUGACACCUCCCCCGCAAAAACUAAACCCUGGUUGCUAACUUUCUAUGUUUCAGUUCCAUUCACACAAGAAUAUUAGUUCAAGUUUGAGAAAAAUGGCGACUUACCUAGUGAUAACUCGGUCUUGGUUUGCGAUUUGACUUUAACGUCAUGGGUUGAAGCCUCCUACAAUCAUCGUGUAUGCUAGUUCAAAGCUCGUGGAAGAAGUUAUACAGGGAGGGAGAAACCUCCACAGCAAGCUCCAAAAGAGAAUUAUCACAUUGAAAGCUCCAGUUGAACACUGGGUGAAAGCCAUAACAAGAUUGGUUUUCUAUCGCUCUUUUAAGUAAUGGAAGAUUAUUAUCUCUGCUUGUCACUACAACCGUGCAUGCUGCUAGAUCUUUCUAGACACUUCAAACAGUGAAACCAAGUAUGAUUCUUUUUCUCUUGAGUGGGUCCACUUGCAUGCCAAUGAACGAGUUGAAAAGUUGGACAAUUGGCCACAGCGCGCACUUACCUUCUGGAACCGAAGGUCAGUGAAGUGGGGUUCCUUUUGGCCCCUUGUGUUUCUGUUCCAACCUACUCCAGGAACCGAAGUUCAGUGAAGUGGGGCUACUUUUGGCCUCUUGUGUUUCUGUUCCAACCAAACAAAAAUGGGAGGGAAAAAUAGCAUUAUGCUUGUGCUAAAGAUCAACGCAUGAUAGCUGAAUAAGGGAGAAAAAGGCAUUGCUAUCUCAAUUUCAUAAACUUGAUAAGUAGUGACAUUAAUAGUCUUCCUCAUAGAUGGAUACAUGGUUUUAUUUUAUUUAUUUAUUUUUAUUUUUUUGUUUUAUGUCAAUGCUAAUGAAUGAAGUGCAUUAGCUUGUUUUGUGACUAGAACUACAAAUGUCCAAAUUGGAGCUUCUCCAAUAUAUUUCUCAGUGAGUUAUUGAUUAGAACUCUUGGAUUGAGUUCCAAGAUUUGAAUCAGACCCCUCUAGCAGCUUCAGGGGUACGUAGCAACCUAUAGCAUAUUAAUGAAGACUUAGGAUUUAGACUUAGGAAUACAAAUUAAUAUGUACCUCAUGCUCUGACUAGCUUCCCUGCGUAUGCACAAAAUGGAGAUGACUCCCAAAAAAAUAGCAGAAUCGCCUUAGUAUGUUUUUGUGGUUAAGAUGAUUCUCCACUUUAUAUAUCCACAUUGGUUCAUUAUGCAAAUUAAUCAACUAAGCUAUUUUUAUUUUUUCUUAAAUGUGAAAUAGGAGCUCCAAAUUAACCUAACCAUUGGCCUGAUUGAAUUGAUUUCACUUGCAUAAUGUUAUAGUAGAAGUCCGUAAUUUGAAUUUUAUUUUUGCAAAAGGUAACGUAAAUGAAGCAUUGUAAUUAAAUUUAUUUGUAAUUACAAACUAAUUUUAUUUUAUUAAGAAUUAAUUUAAUUACUCAUUUAAAAUAAAAAUCAGUUAUACUUUUACCAAGAUGAUAAUAUUCAUAUUUUUCUAGUUAACAUAUAUAAAAUAGUACACUUUUUCAUAUAAAAAAAUAAUUUAUGAUUUAUUAUAAUGUUACUAUUCACAUUUUACUAAAUUGAUGGUACAUGAUAGUGAGAGAAGGGGGUGUCACACUCAGCUAAAGUUCUUUUCAAAAUAUUGCAUGGUGUUUAAUUUUAUGUGUCGGCGCGCGUGUGAAUGGAACCUGCAAAAGUCCAAAUUGGCGUUUCUCCAUUUUCCACAUAGGAUGGUGACGUUAAUAGACAAAGAUACAAUAUCUGUAGACAUUGCUUAAAAAUCGAUGUGAAGUAUUAGAAAUUACAGGGCACUGUACUGGGGGAGCGGCUGCCCCGCCAAAGGAGGAAGAAUGUAGCAAUUUCUUCUGUUAGCCAGGCCUUAGGAUUUAUGCAUGGGAUGCCUAAUAACAAACAGAGAAAAUAUACUUUUGGGGAAGGUAUCCAACAACAGACACCAUCAUUCAGAUGGUGGGAAGGUAUCCAACAGAUGCCAUCAUUCAGAUGGUAACAUAUAUAUACAUUUAUUAGUGAGUUUUUUUAAUACCUAUAAAAAAAAAUAUACACUUUGAUAUUGUGGCUGAAUCCAUUACAUACUCAACUAACCUUGCUCAUUAGGGAUUUGACUUAACAAGGGCAACGUUGCAGUACAAGCUCAAAACUUUAUGCAGGUGACAUUACAUUUGGUAAAGAAGAGGAAAAUAACGAAAGCCAUCCAUAAAAGCAAAAUUCCACAUGGGAUGAAAUUCACAAGCUUCAUUUACGAUAGAGUCGCAUCCAGGCAAUUAAUUCCACAUUAGACCGCCUGUUGACAUGUGUACCAAUCUUUUUUCAAAAAAUAUUUAUAAAUAAUUGAUACUCACAAAAAUAAUUUAAUAUUUAUAAAGGAUAAAAAAAUAUUUUCAAAUCUAUAACAAUUUAUAAAAUAUUAAUAAAAAAUUAUCUCUUAAACUUAGUAUAGUUUUAUCAGAUUAAACUUUUAUUUUGAACAAAUAAUUUUAAUCUAAGUUUUAAAUUCUAAAAUUAUUUCCUUAAAAUAAAAUUUUAAAAUUCAACACUUCAAUUGAAAUUGUCUUUUUAAAAAAUAUCUUCUUAUUUUAAUCCUUAUAAACUAUAGUUGAUUGAAAAUACUAUUGAAGUUCUCUCUUAAAAAAAAGUCUUAUUUUAAUCUUCAUAAAUUGCCCUUGAUUUGAAAAUAAAUUUUCAGUUAUCAUAUUUUAAAUAAUAUCUAUAUUUAAAAUACUCUAUUUAAAAAAAAAUGAACUAAUUUUAAUUAUAUUAUAUUUUAUUUUUUUAUAUAUUUUUAAUGAUAAACCAAACAUAGAAAAUCAUUUUUCUAAAUAUUUUAAAAUUUCUAAGCAACCAAACAUAAUCUUCAAAAUAAAAGGAAAAUAAGGAGGGACAUUUGAGAAAUGGCGAUUAAAAAAAAGUGUACAAAAGCUCAAUUAAUUUUCUUCUAGUCUUUUAUAUAAAAAAGUAAAGGAAUUGAAAAGUAUUGAUAUGUAAAUUAAUAUUUGGAUUUUAAUAGUAUUUUAUUUGUCUUUCUCUAUCUCAUGUAAAAGAGAAUUUAAGAUAUUUCCUAAAGCAAAGCAUUAGUUAUCUGCAAUCAGUGGUGAUCAUGCCCCAUGUCAAUUUCGGACCCAUAUCUUAAAACUGUAUAAUUUGCAUUCAAACAUUACUGAUUUCUCAGAUGUUUCAUACUCCACAGAAGAGCAUUGUUUGUGAAAGCAUGCAUUUAUGUUGGAUUUUGGAUGAUGUGGGAACUGGGGCAAGGAUCAUAUGGAAGAGUGGUCGAUUUUGUUCUGUACUUUAACAUUUGAAAUAGGAGAAGCUCGGGCAUUUGUGGGGCUUAAUUGAUUUUGAAGCCUGAAAUUGCGUUUCUGUCAUUUUGUAAAAAAUAUGGCAGAUUCCAUGCUCUCAUAUGUUUGGUCUGUGGCCAUGUAUAGAUGCCCCUUAGUGACCAGUUUGUAACUGUCAAUCAUAGUGUUUUGACUCUGGCUCAACAACAUCAGCCAUUGACGGAUUUUCAUACUUGCAAAUCAAAUAGUCUUCUUCCUCCCUUAGGAAUUUCGGUUUAAAUGUUAUUAAGCAUACAUUUGGCUGACAAUUAUUAACCACUUCAUGAUAUGGUUUCUUACCCUUAAUCAAUGGUUUCUAAGUGAAUAUAUGCAGAAGGAAAUCUGAACUGUAGACAGCAGUAUUGAUAACUCUCAAUAUUCUUUAUAUAAGAGAAUAAACAACGUCAUAGUGAUCGUCGCCUACAAGAAAGGUACAUUUCCCAACAAGAUGUAGUUGUGACUGGUACAUGGACGCAAUUAACUCGUACAAAAGAAUAAGACCAGUGCACGGCAGCUCUUAUUUUACAUGCUAAUUAUGCUAACCAAAGUCACUCAGUUGGGAUGGGAGGGAGAUGGAGGUUUGUGCGGUGGCUUGUGGGGCGGAGUUGGUGGCUUCUUUUCAGGAGCUUGUGGCUUUUUCGGAGCUGAAGGAGGCUCAAUCUUAUGAGGCGGCUUGUACGAGUCUUCUUUACUCUCGACAGGAGGGUGGCCAGGGUUGUGACCAUAAUGUGGUGGCUUCUCUCCCUUAGGUGGCUUGCCAACUGGGGUUGGUGGCUUGUGUUCAGGAAGUGGUUUCUCUCCCUUGGGAGGUUUACCAAUUGGGGUUGGUGGCUUGUGUUCUGGGAGUGGUUUCUCUCCCUUGGGAGGUUUAGUGGGUGACUUGUGUUCUGGAGGUGGCUUCUCCACCGGAGGCUUGUGCUCCGGUGGUGGCUUCUCCACCGGAGGCUUGUGCUCCGGUGGUGGCUUCUUGAUUGGAGGGGGCUUGGGGUAAUCAGCAAGAGAUGGGAUGGUGAGAACCACCACUCCAAGGAACAACACUAGCAAGUAUGUGGGAGACAUUUCUGAGUUUGAGCUGAUCAGAUGAUGCAAAACUAGAAGAAUUACGGGACCUUUUAUAGCAAGUAUCUCCCAAUACCCACAUGACACGUGUUACUAUGACCAUAAAUAUUAUAGGGUCCAUUUGUGCCCUACCGGGUUGAAAACUUGGACGCUUGGCCGAGGACACACCUGACUAUGGAGGACUAUUGACGUGUGAUCACAGCUUUUGGAUUUUUCUUCCUGUGCAGCUGUCUAGCGGUUGGCAUUAUUUUCUUAAUCUUAAAUAAAGGCAUAGUUAUAGAGUUGUUUAAUCUCUAAAUGGGAUUUUAUAUAUCUUCAGAUAGCCAUUAAUAUAUUUGAUGAAGAAAGACAAGUGCAUACAACAUGUAUACGGCUUGCUUCAAUCGAGUACAUUUAUGAUCAGUUUUCCUGUGCAAGUAAACCAGUUUUUUGUUCCACAACUAUUUUGGAAUCUUGUUUAUCAGUUUCUAUCAUUAUAAUGUCACAUAGGCUGCAAACUUGGGCACCCAAAGAUCUAGGUGGGCAAAUUUGUUUCAGACUUUCAAUGGUGGAUUCAGUAAUUGUUAAAAGGUGUUUCUUCAUUAAGGAAAGAGUCCGGUAAAAAUAUUGUUAAAAGGUGUCAUAGAAACUAUAAUAAAUAAAUAACUUCUUUUCCCCAUGGGUGGUGUUUCUUCUGGGGAUCAGUGACUGGUUAGGGUCACCCAAAAUGAGUCCAGAUUAAAAUUGGUUCGAGUCAAAGCAGUCUCUUUUGUCCAGAAAUCAACUAUUUUGCGCAUUGAAUGAAUCGAUAAAGAAAAAAUGAAAGCCAAAUCACACCUCCCCUGCAAAACCUAAACCCCGGUUGCUAACUUUCUAUGUUUCAGUCCUAUUCAUAUAGGAAUAUUGGUUCAAGUUUGAGAAAAAUGGCAACUUACCUAGGGUUUACUUGGUUUUGGUUUGCGACUAUUUACGCAACCAACCAUGAGUUUGACUUUAACGUCAUGGGUUGAAGCCUCCUACAAUCAUGUAUGAUAGUUCAAAGCUCGUGGAAGAAAUUAUACAGGAAGGAAGAAACCUCCAAAGCUAGCUCCAAAAGAGAAUUAUCACAUCGAUAGCUCCAGAGAUUCCCAAGGGAACUGAAUCAAAGACAAGUUCCUCACUUUUUCUUCUUUUGAGGCCAAAUAUGAACCAAGGAUCACACGACCUCAUUCAACUUCAUAAGUUUGAUUUCAUGCAGUUGAACACUGGGUGAAGGCCAUGACAAGAAUUGAUUAAAAAAUUCUACCACUCUUUUAAGUAAUGGAAGAUUAUUAUCUCUGAUUGGCACCACAACAGCACAUGCUGCUAGAUCUUUCUAGACACUCCAUGCAAUGAAAGCACAAUGGAUCUUGUAAUGAUAGAAACUAAGCCAUGCUACAGUACUAGAUGAGGGGGUAAAACUAGUAGACAUCUUUCUAGACACUCCAUGCAAUGAAAGCACAAUGGAUCUUGUAAUGAUAGAAACUAAGCCAUGCUACAGUACUAGAUGAGGUGGUAAAACUAGUAGACAUGGCUGGCAGUUGAUUACUACUCAAAAAGUACUCUUUUAUAGCUUGAAACUAACUGUUUUAAACACUUUUGAGUAGUAGUUAAUACCUUUUAACUUAAUUGGCACAUUAAGGAACCUAGCAAGGGUUACUAAUCAACAUUUGGCAAGUUUUGAUGUUUUUGGUAGCUAUUUGAUCAUUGAAACAAGCCAAGAAUGAGGGGGAAUUUUGUGAAGUCCAUGGCAAUGCAAGUUAAAGCUCAAAUACAUGAAGAAUCCAAGCUUUGGAGCACUUCAUAGCCCUUUGCCAAGCCAAUCAAAGAUGCAAGGAAGAAAACCAAAGGAAGAAAUCCAACAAUCAGCAUUUUGGCAUGGCUAUGUGAAAUUUCGCACACCAUGCGAAACCACAAGAGGCAGCCAAAGAAUUUCGCAUGGUAUGCGAAAUCUUCUUGUGCACUGACUCUGUUAGAUUUUUAUCUUCAGAUAUUUUGUGUAAUUUCCUAGUUUCUCCUUGUAACCAACUUAGAUAUUUUCUUUUAUAUCUUUUUUUAUAUUUUUUAGGUAACAUCAUAUAUAAGAGGAGAGACAUAAGGAGGAUAUGGAUGUUUUUCAUAGAACACUUGUAAAUUUUUGGUAGUAAGAAAUAUACAAAGCUUUUUGCUCUGCCUUACCUUCUCAAGGGAUGAGUGGCUAGGUUUUCUUGGAGUGAGGGAAGCUAGGUGAAGGACCUGAAUGCAAAGGUGGGAGUUUUCCUUACUUUAAAUGAAAGUAGUUGUUAAACAUUAAUGGUUUUUAUUUUAAGGUUUAGCUUUAAAUCCCUGAAAAACACCUUGAAUGGCCAAUACUUGGUAAGCUUUUUAGAUUCUAUGGAUGCUUAUUGCUAGAUCCAUGGAUGUCUAUUAGUUAUCAUUUACGAGCCAUUGGAAGGUGAUUCAAGGUGAGGGUCUUUAGUGUUUGAAGCCAUUAAUGGGAAGCAAUUACCAUUUUUUCAUGAAUCCUUUGGAUCAAAUCUUAAUUGCUAAAUAUAAAACCGGUUUCGAGAGAUAACCACCAUCCUUUAUGUUAUUAUCCCCAACGCGAGGAGAAGAUCCGAAAUCUUCCUUUUUAUCUAAGGAACCCGAUCCUAGUGACCUAAAGCUCCAAGAUACCUUUUCUUUGUAGUUAACUUCAUUUAUUGUUUUUGCUUAACUUAAAAUCAAUCUUUGCAACCACAAUUCCAUUUUCUUUAAAAGCUAAUUUUUAUAAGGAAAAACACCAUUUUAUUUCCUUCACUAAGUCAACUGUACGAUGAAAACCCAUCCCUGUGGACGAUCCUAGAGCCACUAUACUAUGUUAGCUAUGCUACCCUAGUGUGAGGUGAUUUAGGUUUUAUAAAUUUUUUUGAUAACACCCAUCUGAGCCAGAAUCAAAUGGCACGACUGAACCAGGGACGAAUCAAAUGACGCCGCUACCAAGGAUGGUGCCAAAGUACAUUGACAUGACUUUUGGUGAACACUUGUGAUCUUCACCACAAGUUUGGUGAUUUUUCUUUUACUAAUUUUUUUUAUUUUAGCUUAUCUUUUAUUUAGUUUUUAGUUAACCUUAAAUUUUUCCUAGAAUUGUAUUUCUUUUGUUUUCUUUGUUUUUGUUUCAGUGAUCUUUAGUUGUGCAUGCCCUAUUGGAUAAGAGAUAUUGAGGGAAUACUUGUGAAGAUUGAAACUCCUCGAGAAACUGAGUUAGAAGUGUGCUUGAACAUCAUGGAUGUUCCACCUGAAGACCAGAAUAGCCAACAUGGUUAAGAGGAUAAUUUCAACACAUACCGAUCCAUGAGGAACCGCAUACAUCCACCUUGUAUGAGUGCACCGUCAGGCAUAAUGCCUCCCACUGAGCAGCUAGUAAUCUGACCUCACAUUGUGCCACUCCUACCUACUUUCCAUGGGAUGGAGAGUGAGAAUCCCUACUCGCAUAUUAAGGAAUUCGAGGAGGUUUGUAAUACAUUCCAAGAAGGAGGAGCUUCAAUUGACUUGAUGAGGCUCAAGCUAUUUCCUUUCACUUUGAAGGAUAAGGCCAAGAUUUGGCUUAAUUCUUUAAGGCCAAGAAGUAUCCAAACUUGGAUUGAUUUGUAAGCCGAGUUUCUUAAGAAGUUCUUCCCUACCCAUAGGACCAAUGGUUUGAAAAGGCAAAAUUUGAACUUCUCAGUUAAAGAGAAUGAGAAAUUCUAUGAGUGUUGGGAGAGCUACAUGGAAGCUAUUAACGUUUGUCCUCACCAUGGCUUUGACACAUGGCUCUUAGUGAGCUAUUUUUACAAUGGUAUGUCUUCUUCAAUGAAGCAACUCCUAGAAACUAUGUGUGGAGGAGACUUCAUGAGUAAGAAUCCGGAGGAAGCCAUGGACUUUUUGAGUUAUGUGGCUGAAGUUUCAAGAGGAUGGGAUGAACCAAAUGCUAGAGAGGUGGGAAGAAUGAAGUCUCAACCUAAUGCUAAGGGUGAGAUGUAUGUUUUGAAUGAAGACAUUGACAUGAAAGCAAAGGUUGCAGCUAUGGCAAGGAGAUUGGAAGAGCUAGAAAUGAAGAACAUACAAAAAGUGCAAGCCAUUUCUGAGACAUCAAUGAAAGCUAUGCCUUGUUCCAUUUGUCAAUCUUAUAAGCACCUAGUGGAGGAGUGUCCUACAAUUCCAGCAGUGAGAGAGAUGUUUGGUGAUCAAGCAAAUGUUAUUGAUCAAUUCAAGCCUAAUAACAAUGCUUCAUAUGGCAACACCUACAAUUCAAAUUGGAGGAACCAUUCAAAUUUCUCUUGGAAACGAAAGCCACCUCAAUACACACAACCUACUCAAGCACCUUAGCAAUCCUCGAAUCUUGAACAAGCUAUUGUGAACCUUAGCAAGGUUGUGGGAGACUUUGUGGGAGAUCAGAAGUCCAUCAAUGCUCAACUGAAUCGGAGAAUUGACAGUGUGGAGAGUACAUUGAACAAAAGGAUGGAUGAGAUGUAAAAUGAUCUGUCUCAAAAGAUAGACAAUGUCCAAUACGUAAUCUCAAGGCUUACCAACCUCAACACAGUGUAAGAGAAAGGAAAGUUUCCUUCUCAACCUCAUCAAAAUCCUAAGGGUAUCCAUGAAGUAGAGGCUCAAGAGGGAGAAUCUUCAAAGGUGAGGGAAGUCAAAGUAGUUAUCACCUUGAAGAGUGGUAAAGAGGUUGAUCAACCCACAUCCAAGCCAAAGCAUAAUGAAGAGAGUGUAGCAGAAAAAGAAAAGAGAGGAAAAUAAAGGAAUUAGAAUAGAGAAAAAUACAAAGAAAGAUGACCAUGAGUCUAGUGUGGAUGAAGAGCCCGAGAGGAUGGUGAUCAAGGAAGAUAUGAUGAAGAAACACAUGCCUCCACCUUUCCCCUAAGCUUUGCAUGACAAAAAAAGAACCAAUAAUACAUCAGAAAAUUUUGAAGUAUUGAGGCAAGUGAAGGUCAAUAUCCCUUUGCUAGACAUGAUCAAACAAGUGUCGACAUAUGAAAAAUUCUUGAAGGACUUGUGCACUGUAAAGAGAGGGUUGAAUGUGAACAAGAAAGCUUUAUUGACCGAGCAAGUGAGUUCCAUCAUACAGUGCAAGUCCUAGUGAAGUACAAAGAUCCGGGUUGCCGUACCAUCUCAGUGAGUAUUGGAAGGACUUGUGUGGAGAAAGCUUUGUUGGACUUGGGAGCAAGUGUGAAUUUGCUAUCCUACUCUGUCUAUAAGCAGUUGGGAUUUGGAGAGUUGAAGCCAAUAUCCAUCACUCUAUCUCUAGCGGAUAGAUCAAUGAAGAUUCCAAGAGGGAUGAUCGAAGAUGUCCUGGUUCAAGUUAACAAAUUCUACUAUCCAGUAGAUUUUGUUGUUCUUGAUAUGGAUCCGGUUGUCAAAUGAACUAAUUAUGUUCCUAUCAUACUUGGAAGACCCUUCCUAGCUACAUCAAAUGCAAUCAUCAAUUGUAGGAAUGGAGUCAUGCAACUCACAUUUGUCAACAUGACAUUAGAGCUCAACAUCUUCCAUUUGUACAAGAAGCAUAUCCAUCAGGAGGAAAAAGAAGGUCUAGAGGAAGUGUGAAUGAUUGACACUUUAGUGGAAGAGCAUUGUGAUCGAGAAUGCAAAAAGAUUUAGUUGAGAAUUUUGGGGAUCUUGAUGAAAGGUUACUUGAACCCUCAGAUUUGCUUGCUACCCUACUCCAUUGGAAGAGAAGAGAAGAAAUUCUACCCUUAUUCAAUGAGGAGGAGACGCAAAGAGCUGCAAAGGAGAAACCCCCAAAACUUAUUCUUAAGCCACUACCCACAGAGUUGAAGUAUGUAUACUUGGAAGAAGACAAGAAGUGCCCUAUUGUUAUAUCUUCAACUCUUACCAUUCAUCAGGAGGAUUGUCUACUUGAAGUCCUUAGAAGAUGUAAGAAGACAAUAAGGUGGCUAAUUUCUUAUUUGAAAGGGAUCAGCCCUUUAGUCUGCACCCAUCAUAUUUACAUGGAGGAUGAAGCUAAGCUAAUUCAUCAACCUCAGAGAAGGUUGAACCCUCACAUGCAAGAGGUGGUUCGAGCUGAAGUUCUGAAGCUACUUCAGACCAGUAUUAUUUACCCCAUAUCAAAUAGCCCAUGGGUGAGUCCUACUCAAGUUGCGCCAAAGAAGUCUGGGAUCAUGGUGGUGCAAAAUGAUAAGGGAGAAGAUGUCUCUACACGCCUCACUACAGGUUGGAGGGUGUGUAUCAAUUACAGGAGGUUGAAUGCAGUGAUAAGAAAGGACCAUUUCUCAUUGCCCUUUAUUGAUCAGGUGCUUGAGAGGGUCUCUGGGCUUUUUUUUUUAUUGUUUCUUGGAUGGCUACUCCGGGUACUUUCAGAUAGAAAUUGAUGUUGAAAACCAAGAUAAGACCAUUUUCACAUGCCCAUUUGGAACCUAUGCAUAAAGGAGAAUGCCUUUCGGCUUAUGCAAUGCACCCGCAACUUUCCAAAGAUGCAUGUUAAGCAUUUUCAGUGAUAUGGUGGAGCGUAUUAUGGAAGUCUUUAUGGAUGAUAUCACCAUUUAUGGAAGUGCAUUUGAUGAAUGCUUGGUCAACUUAGAAGCUGUUCUGAACCGAUACAUUGAGAAAGACUUAGUGCUUAACUGGGAGAAGUGCCAUUUCAUGGUACACCAAGGGAUUGUCCUUGGGCACAUUAUCUCCAAGCAAGGCAUUGAAGUUGACAAAGCAAAGGUUGAACUCAUUGUUAAGUUGCCAUCCUCAACAAAUGUCAAAGGAGUAAGGCAAUUCUUUGGCCAUGUCGGGUUCUAUAGGAGGUUUAUCAAGGAUUUCUCUAAGCUUGCAAGGCCUCUUUGUGAAAUAUUGGUGAAUGAUGUUAAAUUCAUAUGGGAUGAUGGAUUUGAAAGGAGUUUUGAAGAAUUGAAGCUAUUUUUGACAACCGUACCAAUAGUGAGGGCUCCCAACUGGCAACUGCCCUUUGAAGUAAUGUGUGAUGUCAAUGAUUUUGCUAUAGGAUUUUUUCUUGGGCAAAGAGAAAAUGGAAAACCUUAUGUGAUCUACUAUGCGAGGAAGGCAUUGAAUGAGGCACAAAGAAACUACACAACCACCGAGAAAGAAUUGUUAGCUGUAGUUUUUGCCUUGGAUAAGUUUCGCGCUUACUUGGUGGGGUCCUUCAUCAUGGUUUUUACUGAUCACUUUGCUUUGAAGUAUCUGUUGACUAAGCAAGAUGCUAAAGCAAGGCUGAUUAGAUGGAUUCUCUUACUUCAAGAGUUCAAUCUCCAUAUCAAAGAUAAGAAAGGAGUGGAGAAUGUGGUAGCAGACCACAUUUCAAGGCUAGCUAUCGCACAUAAUUCCCAUGCUUUGCCCAUUAAUGACGAUUUUCUAGAGGGGUCUCUCAUGUUGGUGGAAGUUGUCCCUUGGUACGCUCACAUUGCUAACUACCUGGUCACGGGAAAAGUUCCAAGUGAGUGGAAAGCACAAGAUAAGAAGCACUUCUUUGCAAAAAUUCAUGCCUACUAUUGGGAAGAGCCAUUUCUAUUCAAGUAUUGUAUGGAUCAGAUAAUAAGGAAGUGCGUUCCUGAAGAAGAGCAACAGGGGAUCCUUAGUCAUUACCAUGAAAAUGCAUGUGGAGGCCACUUUGCUUAUCAAAAGACAGCCAUGAGGGUGUUGCAAUCGGGUUUCUGUUGGCCAUCACUUUUCAAAGAUGCCCACACCAUGUGCAAGAGUUGUGAUCGAUGCCAGAGGCUUGGGAAGUUGACACGCAGGAACAUGAUGCCUUUGAACCCCACUUUAAUAGUUGAUAUUUUUUAUGUUUGGGGCACUAACUUCAUGGGACCUUUCCCUAUGUCUUUUGGCUACUCUUACAUCUUGGUAGGAGUAGAUUAUGUUUCUAAGUGGGUUGAGGCAGUCCCAUGCAAACACAAUGACCAUAGAGUGGUUCUCAAGUUUCUUAAAGAGAAUAUCUUCUCAAGAUUUGGGGUGCCCAAAGCCAUAAUUAGUGAUGGGGGUACUCAUUUUUGCAACAAGCCUUUUGAAACUCUCCUAGCCAAGUAUGGGGUGAAGCAUAAGGUAGCUACACCUUACCACCCUCAAACUCAUGGACAAGUUGAGUUAGCAAACAGGGAGAUUAAAAACAUAUUGAUGAAGGUGGUGAACACAAACAGAAAAGAUUGGUCAGUCAAGCUUCUUAAUUCACUAUGGGCAUAUAGAACAACUUACAAGACCAUUCUCGGGAUGUCUCCUUAUCGCCUAGUUUAUGGCAAAGCAUGCCAUCUCCCUGUGGAAUUGGAAUACAAAGCUUGGUGGGCAAUCAAGAAGCUCAACAUGGAUUUGAGCAGAGCUGGGUUGAAGAGGUUCUUAGACCUUAAUGAGAUGGAGAAAUUGAGAAAUGAUGCCUACAUCAAUUCAAAAAUUGCAAAAGAAAAAUUGAAGAGGUGGCAUGAUCAGUUGAUUUCCCGCAAGGAUUUUCAAAAUGGACAAAGAGUCUUACUUUAUGACUCUAAACUCCACAUCUUUCCGGGCAAGCUGAAAUCAAGGUGGAUAGGUCAUUUUACCAUUCACCAAGUGCAUUCAAAUGGAGUAGUGGAACUACUCAACUCCAACAAUAUCGAGAACUUCAAAGUGAAUGGCCACCGUCUCAAGCCCUUUGUGGAGUCUUUUUCUCACAACAAGGAGAAAUUCAUCCUCCUUGAUCCACAUCAAGCUUAACAAGACCAAUUUUCUUGAUGGACUUAGUCUUUCUAAAGACUAUCGAGUCCAUAACUUUUUGUUUUAUUUUUUAUUUGAGAUUUUUUCGGUAUUGUUACUUGUUUUGUUUUUUAUUUUUCGUUUUAAUUUUAUUUGGUUUGAUUUAACUUAGGUUUUUGAUGAUCAAUUACAGGGGGGAUUUCAAAUAGAGGAAAAACCAAGAUAAUUCGCACACCCUACGAAAAUUUCGCAAGGCAUGCGAAAUUUAUGGCUUAUUUUGCAUGGGGUGAAAAUUUUCGUACAUCUUACGAACCAAUUUCGAACACUUUGCGAAAAUAAACCAACCCUGCGAAAUCAUUUCGAUUACUCUACGAAAUUUUCGUAGAGCAUGCGAAAAAUUUAGCACACCAAACACCAUUUCGCAUACUAUGCAAAAACCUAAGGGGUCUGCGAAACCAUUUCGCACCUCCAAAUCCAUUUCGCACAUUGUGCGAAAACCAAGAGGCGCUGUGCGAAAAUGAAAAGUCGCCCUGUCAUCCCUUUUUAAACCCCUCGAGCCCUAAAAUCUCCAUUUCGCAAGCACCCCUGUCCUUGCGAAUCCCUCAUUUUCCUCUACUACCUUGCAACCUCGUCCCUUUCCAUUUGAUAUUGUGCCCCGCGCACAUCUCAUUUCAGAGACUCGCACUCCGCGCCCCCUCAAAGCAUGGACUCGAGACCCACCUUCCAUUUCCGACGUGGCACGGACCCAAGGAGCCCUUUCUGCCCCUUCACUAAGACACACACCAAGGCAGAAAGCCUCCUUUGCUCAAGUGCCUAGUGAUUCUCCAUCUUAGGCCUCAGAGGCCUCGGAGGCCCCGUGGAUUCCACCUUCCGAGGGUAGAGCAGCCAUUGGUCCUUCCUCUUCUACUCCUUAGCGUAGAUACGAGACGAGGAGACCACCUACUACACAAGGGGCGACUACUUCGAGCCUUGAGAAUUCAGUACGAUGCCUUCCUGCCAAGAGGGUCAAGACUUCAGGUCCAAGUGAGUCAUCCAGAGCUUCAUAGCCUAAGCCUCCUGUAGAUUCCAAGGUUCCUACUGACAUAUCACCGGAGUCUAUUAUCAGAAGCCCGAUGCUCAUAGCACCGCCCAUUGAGGGCAACUCAGAUUAUAGAGCGAGAUCUUUCCACUUGGAGCUAUAUUUUGAUCAGGAGGCCAUACGACAGCAGCCUGAGCUCCGAGACUCUUAUGGCUUACUGCAGAGGUACCAUCUUGAGGAACUUAUGACUCCUCGUGAGUUUUUUUAUCCCAGAGUAGCACUAAACUUUUACCAGUCCAUGACUACUCGUGGCGUCCCGAGUCCUACCACGAUUCACUUCACCAUUGAUAGACGUCAUGGUAUCCUCAAGGCCAGACAUAUUACAGAGGCUCUACAAAUUCCUUUCGAGCUAGAGGAUCCAUCUGUUUUUCGCUAAUGGUCCCCAGUAUCUCAGAGGGACAUGGUCCGUAUUUUAUCUAGGGGAACAUCUACAGAUUCGAUCUUUCUACGGAAGGAGCUUCGACCUGGGAUGCUCCUCUUAGAUGUGGUGCUAUGCUCCAACCUCUUUCCCUUACAACAUUCGGUACAUAGGUGAUGAGCUAUUUUGGACGCUUUAUUCCGUAUAUCAGAGGGCUUCUACUUUGGCCCGCACCACUUGAUCAUGGUCUCCCUCAUCCACUUUGAGGAGAAGGUUCAUAGGAAGAAGCUUCAGAGGGUGGACACCAUUCCAUUACUAUUCCUGAGGUUACUUUGCCAGGUCUUGGAGUACAUGGGCUUUCCUACUGAGCCUCGGCUCGAGCUUUGCCGCCUUUGUCGAGAGUGAUCCACUCUCGACAAAUGGAAUUAGUUGGCGGGCUAUUCUGCACCUCCAGGAGCCCCUCCCAUGGUAGCACCUCCAAUGUCCCCACAGGCAAAGUAGGGCGAGCUCCCGGCAAAGACUGUACCACCAAUGCCCACACUUGAGGCUAUUUCUGCUGCUCUGCCUAUGACUCCUACUGUUCCACCAGUUGGUCCUUUUACAUCCGAGCCUUCCAUCACCAUCUCGGCUUCGGAGUUUCGCGCCCUUGUGCAUACCUUUCAGACACUCACCACCACACAUACUCCUCUCUUCUAGCAAAUGGUUGAGAUGUGUGCCCAUCAGGACCGGAAGACUACUAUACUCUGCCAAAUUCAGCAGCACCUAAGACUUUUGCCUCAACCUCAACCUAACCAUCCCAUAUCAUCAGAGCCUCUAGCUCCAACUGAGGAUACUAUUCCACCUGAGAACACUACCACAGUAGAGGUCCGGUUUCCACCACCUUAAGAGGCCACCACAGCUACAUCAGAGGAUGUGUCAUCUCCACUUGAGGCUCCCACUACUUGAUCAUAGGACAUAUCUUUAUCUUAUUGUAUUUACAUAUUAUAUUACUAGAGAUUUGUCCUUGUUUUGAUACUUUAUAUUCUGGGAUUGGAUGUAUUGCCUGAUGAUAUCUCAAUUGUACUUUCUCAUAUUAAUAUAUAGACAUCAAUUUUUUUUAGUAUACUUAGCAUUUUUCUAUUUCCUCUACUCAUUACUCUUUUGUUUUUUUUUACUCAUGUGGUUUCUCUUAUACAACUCAGACUCCAUUUCACUCAGGAGGUACCACUUCCUCCCUUUAUUUUCAAUUGCUCUUGAAAUAUUGAGUGCAAUGUUGAUCUUGGUUGGGGGGAGAGUUGAGGAAGGAAGUUUUGUUAAUAAUGCUAGGUUAAUUUGUUAAUUUAGUUACUUUCUGCUUAAUUUUAAAAGUUUUCACUCUACUUUCCAUGGUUAUUAAGGAAAAAUUCUCAAAAUGAAAUGGGAGAAAUCGAAUUCUUGCAUUUUUACUUGAAUCUUAGAAUUUGUAUCAUGCUUAUUAAAGUUGAUGAAUUAUUGAAACUCCUAUUGAAUUCAACCUUAUUUUUUCCACUUUAAUCUUACCACACACGGUGCACAUUAGGUUCCAGUUAUAAGAUAAAAAACUAUCUCACCCCCUAAACUUAGAAAAAUUUACACUUGGUACCUUUGACAUCGUUUUAAUAGUGUUGGGACACCUUAUAAAAGGCCAAUGAGCCUUUAAAAAAAAAAAAAAAAAAAAAAAGAGAAAGAACAAAGUAUUGCACUUGCCUUGAAACCUGAGCAAGAUCCGAGGGGUAUACAGUGAAAGUCUUUAAAACCUGGUGCCCUAAGCCUUGAUUGGUUGGGAGUCACCGACCUCAAUGCUCGUUAUAAGGGUGAAUAGGUGGAGUUUAACAUAUUGUAGGUGCUUGGGUAUUGAAUUUCAAUCUCAAAAGUCCGGGAAAAAAUCUAAGGAGUUAGUGGUCAAAAGAUCCUUAAAGCUUGAUGCCCUAAACCUUGAUUGGUUGAGAGUCAUUGAUGGAUCCCCGCUACAUGGACAUUUUAGAAAACAAUACCUUUAGCAUUGCACGCCUACAAUGAAAAAAAAAUGUGAAAUAAAAGAGGUGCGUUCUUAGCCUAUUGGAGGUUGGUCAGUUUGCUAAAGUUUGAGAAAUCUAGGUUGGGGGGAGAGAAUAGUCCGACAUACUAUAAUAAAAAACUAAUAACCUUAACACUUAGAUUUUUGUGGAAGAGUAAGGAUUGGACCUUUAGGGGUGGAAAUUCUUUUGAUGCUUAAAUUUGCAUAAUGCCUACUCUUUAUAAAUUAUGAUUAGGCAAGAGAUUUGAUGACUCUUGUUCAAAGUUGGGUUUUUCCUCUUUGAUGUUCCAUGAGAGAGUAUAAUCCUCAUCAUGCCACUUGAAAUCUUUUUGGAGUGAUUAACAUGAUUUUGUAAAUUAUUUUACUGUCUAUUUUUCUUUAUCUCUCUUUUAUUGCUAAUGGACUAGCAAUAUGUCAGUUGGGGGGAGUGAUUACUACUCAAAAAGUACUCUUUUAUAGCUUGAAACUAACUGUUUUAAACACUUUUGAGUAGGUGUUAAUACAUUUUAACUCAAUUGGCACAUUAAGGAACCUAACAAGGGUUACUAAUAAGUUUUUGGCAAGUUUUGGUGUUUUUGGUAGCUAUUUGAUCAUUGAAACAAGCCAAGAAUGAGGGAGAAUUUUGUGAAGUCCAUAGCAAUGCAAGUUAAAGCUCAAAUACAUGAAGAAUCCAAGCUUUGAAGCACUUCAUAGCCCUUUGCGAAGCCAAUCAGAGAUGCAAGGAAGAAAACCAGAGGAAAAAAUCCAACAACCAGCAUUUUCGCAUGGCUGUGCGAAAUUUUGCACACCAUGCGAAACCACAAGAAGUAGCCAAAGAAUUUUGCACACCAUGCGAAAUUUCGCAUGGUAUACGAAAUCUUCCUAUGCACCAACUCCGUUAUAUUUUUAUCUUCAGAUAUUUUGUGUAAUUUCCUAGUUUCUCCUUGUAACCAACCUAGAUAUUUUCUUUUAUAUCUUUUUUUUAUAUUUUUUAGGUAACAUCAUAUAUAGGGGGAGAGACAUAAGGAGGAUAUGGAUGUUUUUCAUAAAACACUUUUAAUUUUCUGGUAGUAAGAAAUAUACAAAGUUUUUUGCUCUGCCUUACCUUCUCAUUUUGUUUUCACCUAUCUUUCUAGCCAAACAACCUCUGAGAAUGAUUUCUCAGGGGAUGAGUAGUUAGGUUUUACGUUUCUUGGAGUGAGAGAAGCUAGGUGAAAGACCCAAAUGCUAAGGUGGGAGUUGUCCUUGCUUUAAAUGAAAGUAGUUGUUAAAUAUUAAUGGUUUUUAUUUUAAGGUUUAGCUUUAAAUCCCUUAAAAACACCUUGAAUGGCCAAUACUUGGUAAGCUUUUCGGAUUCUAUGGAUGCUUAUUGCUAGAUCCAUGGAUGUCAUUAGUUAUCAUUUAUGAGCCAUUGGAAGGUGGUUCAAGAUGAGAGUCUUUAGUGUUUGAAGCCAUUAAUGGGAAACAAUUACCAUUUUUUCAUGAAUCCUUUGGAUAAAAUCUUAAUUGCUAAAUAUAAAACUGGUUCGGGAGAUAACCAUCCUUUAUGUUAUUAUGCCCAAUGCAAGGAGAAGAUUUCGAAUCUUCUCAUUUGUCUAAGGAACCCGAUCCUAGUGACCUAAAGCUCCUAGAGACCUUUUCUUUGUAGUUAACUUCAUUUAUUGUUUUUGCUUAACUUAAAAUCAAUCUUUGCAACCACAAUUCCAUUUUCUUUAAAAGCUAAUUUUUAUAAGGAAAAGCACCAUUUUAUUUCCUUCACUAAGUCAACUGUAUGAUGAAAACCCAUCCCUGUGGACGAUCUUAGAGCCACUAUACUAUGUUAUCUAUGCUAUCCUAGUGUGAGGUGAUUUAGGUUUUAUAAAUUUUGUUGAUAACACCCGUCUGAGCCAGAAUCAAAUGGAACCACUGAACCAGGGACAAAUCAACAGCCUAUAUGGGAGGGACACAAGUUUAAUUGAUUUGCAUUUCAGCGUUAUAGAUAAGUAUGUUUUGGAAGAUUUGUUCUGGAAAUACUGCACCAAGUACGAUUCUUUUUCUCUUGAGUGAGUCCAUUUGCAUGCCAAUUAACGAGUUGAAAAGUAGGAGCACCUACCUCGUGCUCAUGGAACCGAAUGUCAGUGAAGUGGGGCUCCUUUUAGCCUCUUGUGUUUCUGUUCCAACCAAGGCGGCGUAGGGAAAAACAACAAUAUGUCUGUGCUAAAUAUCAACGCAUGAUAGAUGUUUUUUUUUUUUUUUUUGGUAUGUCAAGGCUAACGAAUGAAAUGCAUUAGCUUGUUUUGUGACUAUAACUGCAAAUGUCCAAAUUGGAGUAUCUCCAUUUCUCACUUCGGAUGGUUAACUUUAUAAACAAGAUAUAGGAAACAUGUGAACAUCUUGAGGAACAAUUCAAAUUAUUCAUUAGAAGUCCUGGGUUAAGUUCCAAGAUUUAAAUCAGACCCUUCUAGCAGCUUCAAGGGUACUUAGCAACCUAUAACAUAUUAAUGAAGAUUUAGGAUUUAGACUCCGGAAUACAAAUAAAUAUGUAUCUCAUGCUUUGACUAGCUUCCCUACAUAUGCAUAAAAUGGAGAUGACCCAAAAAAAAUAGCAGAAUCUAGCUUCCCUACAUAUGCACAAAAUGGAGAUGACCCAAAAAAUAGCAUAAUCGCCUUAGUUUCUGUGGUUAAGGUGAUUCUCCGCUUAAUAUCCACAUUGACUCAUUAUGCAAAAUCAACUGAGCUAAUUUUAUUUAUUUAUUUAAUGUCAAAUAGGAACUCCUAAUUAACUGAUUACUGUCGAAAAGUGCUAUUUUGUAGACCUAAUUAUAAGGGUUUUAAGCACCUUUGAGUAGUAAUCAUAUUCAUUUAACCUAAUUAAUUCAUUAAGCUCCUUAGUAAUUAGUUCUAACCAUUUUUAGUGGCAAGUUUACAUGUUUUUCAUCAGCUUAUGAACCAAUUCAAGCAUGCCAAUUGAUGGAGGAGCUACUUGGGCGAGUUAAGCAAGGAUUUUGGACGUUUACAGGCUUGAAUUUCAAGUGGAAACACGAGCACAAGCAAUGGGAACACCAUUUCGCAAGGGGAGGCAAUUCACCUUGCCAAAUGACCAAUUUCGCAAGGGGAUUUUCCUCAUGGUGCAAAAUUUGGUCAUUUCGCACCAUGAAGAAACCACCUUGCAAAAUUUCGCAAGGUGGAUUUAGGCACCUUGCGAAAUGCCAAAUUUCACAAGGUGGCUUUUCACCUUGCGAAAUUUGGACCUUUCAUCUUCCCCCCUUGCGAAAUGCCUUUGAAAUCCCCUGUUUUGAGACGCUGUUGAUGAUAUUCCACUGCCGGUUCUCCAAGAUAUUUUGCUUGACUUUUAGCUUUAUAAAUACCUAUUUUACCCUUGUAAUCAACCAAUGAAAAGGUUGCUUUUGUAAUAGCUCUUGUAAUUUAGCUUUUUAUUGUCUUUAAAUAGAGGUGAAGAGCCUCAGACACGAUCAUCUUGUAACCUGUAACUUUAUAAGUUAUAAGAGCACUUUUGUUCAUACGCUUCUUUUCUCUUUUCUUUCUCAUUUUCUUAGUAGCCAAACAUCCUUGGAGGAUGAAAUCCCCAAGGAUGAGAGGCUAAAACCUUUUAGUUUCUUGAAGUAAUGGAUGCCAUGUGAAGCUCCCGUGUCAGGAUGGAGAUUUCCAAGCCAUAAAUGUAAGUAGCUGAGCGUCAUAAAUGUUUUCAUUCAAAGUAAAGCUUUUAAUCCCUCUGACUUGCUUUGAAUGGCCAAUACUUGAUAACCUUUUGGUCUCAAUGGAUUCUUAUUGUUAGAUCCACUGACGUUCAUUAGUUAUCUCCUACGAGCCAUUGUAUUGCAAGUCGAGGAGAUGACCUAUACCAAUAAAAGAGCAUUUAUGAGGUUCAACUACCCUUUUUGUAAGUUUUCAAGGACUAAAACUCAGUUGUUAAACUCAUACCGGUUCGAGAAGUAAGCAUCACCUUAGUUGCUUCCCCAACUCGAGGUGAAAAGUCCCAAAAUCUCCAUUUUUACACAGUGAGUUAAGCAUGGCUAUCCAAAGCUUUAAGAAACUUCUUUUUCCAUCUUUUAACCUAUUUUCAUGUUAGUUUAGUUUACAACACCUUCAUCUUUUUAUGUUUUCAUCUUAACCUAAUUUUUAUUAAGAAAAGUUCACUCCAUCCUCCGAACUUCACCAGUUAAAGUAAAAACCCUUCCCAGUGUUCGAUCCUAGAGCCACUAUGCUAUAGUAGCUUUGCUACUUUAGUGUAAGGACCUUAGGUAUAAAUUUUGUUGAUACCCUUACAUGCCAAGCUACCAAGAGUCGGGUUAUCAUUAACCUAACCAUUGGCCUGUGUAAAUUGAUUUCACAUGCACAAUGUUGUAGUAGAAGUCCAUAUUUUGAAUUUUAUUUUUGUAAAGGUAAGGAAAAUGAAGCAUUGUGUAAUUAUAAAAAUAACUUCAUUGGAAUUCACAAGGUUCACCCAAAAUGGAGCUACAUCUGUAUUCUAUCCUACAGUAGACUAUAUAGAUUGUACAAUAGUAAAUUGCAAAUACAAUUAAUAAGUCUUGUGCUUCCUUACUAAUAAUCCUUUGACAUGAACAUUGCAGCACUAAGGUCCUCUUGGGAAGACACCUUGCACCCAUGAGAGCACUAAGAGGAAGCAAGGCAGAGUCAUGGGUGCAAUGUCAUGACUUGUUGUUGCACCAAGAGAGGCUUGGUGAUGCCAUGGUGUUGCAGUAGCAAGAAUGUUGCCUUGGCAGGGACACGAUCUAGGGAUAGAUGCCAAGAAAGGCUUAGCACUCACAUGAGUUGCACAAAGAUGAAUGUAAUAGAGCAUCAGAGAGACGUCUUGGCAAGUAAAUGAAUGGAUCCAAGAGACAACAACAUGAGGAGUUUCAAAUGGAUAAGGAAUGACUCAAAGACAUUUGAAAGCUACAAGUUGGAUUCUAAUUACGAUUGCAAUUUGAGUUUGAGUAGGAGUUUAGAUUUUGAUUGUAAUUGUAGUAUGAGUUGGACUAGGAUUGCUUAUCCUUAGUCAAUAUAGGAGCGGUUCGUGUCACCCUAUGAAAAGAGUUUGAGUAGGGACUAGGAUUGCUUACUCCUAGUCAAAUAUGGAGUAGGUGGUGCCACACCUAUAAAAAAAAGGGACAACAUGAGAGAGAGAGAGAGAGAGAAAGAGAGAGUGAAUUCACUAAAGAUAUUGUGGGAGUUUUGCUUUGUUACGUCUUGUAUUAUUACUUAGAAUAGGAAUAAAAUACAAGUUGGGGCUAGAGCCCCAUAAUUAAUCUCGUGUGCCUUUGUGGUUAUUCUUUAUUUGUCAUCUCGUGUGGAUUGGAUUAGGUUGACUUAGAGGGCUUCUAAGCACCACCUUUGUGGGUUAUUAUUUAUUUUCCAUCUCUUGUGGAUUAGAUUAGGUUGACUUAGAGGGCUUCUGAGCACCACCUUUGUGGGUUAUUAUUUAUUUUCCAUCUAUUGUGGAUUAGAUUAGGUUGACUUAGAGGGCUUUUAAGCACCACAUUUGUGGGUUAUUCUUUAUUUUCCAUAUCGUGUGGGUUGGAUUAGGUUGACAAGGAGAAAAAUUAUGUGGGAAAUUUGUGUUGGGACACUUACCAUAACCAAGUAAAAUCUACCAAGUCCUUUGUAAUAUCUUCAACAAAUAUUUUAGACUAGUUCUUUCAGUUAGUGUAAAGGAGGAAGAAGUGGUAUUGAUUCUAGAAAUAGGGUGUGUGUAUUUGAACUACAAUCCUUAUGAUCCUUAGGUCUCUAAACCUUCGUGAUGGGCUCCCUGACAUUUCAUAGGUUGUGCUACACAUGCGUUUGAAAUUUAGAGUGCGUUUGACAGUGAUUCCGGGAAGUGUUUUUGGCCUUUCUUACACUUGAAAAUUUUUAUUUUUCAAGUAUUAGAAAUGCUACAAACACUUUUGAAAAUUACUGUCAAACACACUCUUAGGAGCGCACAUAUAUAGUAGAAAACUAGAAAUUGUGGUUUUUUUAGGAUUUACUGUAAUGUCAUUAGGAGGGUAGUAAGUUGAAAUUGAGUAUGAACAAAUAUUUCUUUCUUUGGGAUGUUCUUCUAGUAGGUGCUGAUGAAACUGUUCUUUCUACUGCCAAUGUCACAUAUCAGCCAGAAAUUGAAAAUUUCAGUCAAGGUGUCCUCUGUUUUAGUGGUGAGGAAAGCUAGAAAUUUUAAGGUGAAGUUUUGUUAAAAACCUUAAGUAGCUGGGAUAUCAGGCCUGUUUUGCUUGAAAAAAAAAGUUGCAAGAUAACUCAUAUGCCAAACAGGUUCUGAUAUUGUGAAUCUAUCGGCAGACAUCAGUAAUCUCAUCUUCUGAGAUGGAUGUUGGGGGUGCAUGUGGUGGUGGAGGGGCAAGGUUUCAUUUGGUUUAUUUUGUUGAUGGAUAUUGUCUAGCCACCUGCGCCAAGUUUGAGGGGUGGUGGGUUGUGAUGACCCUACAAUUACUAUUAAUUUCUUCAUCUUUUACCGAUUAAAGUGUCCGAACAGUCGAAGUUACCCUUAUGCAUGUCAACUUGAUCACUUACCUCUUCAAUGGAGUUUAUGCUGGUUCAUUUAGGAACUGAUUUUUAUUGUUAUGUAUUAUAUGCUGAUGUUUAGGUCUCUCCAUCAUCACUAUAUACAAAAAUUCUAGGUUGAUACUAUAGGUUGAGAUUUAUUUUUUAAAUAAAAAAUAAUAAAAAUAAAAAUUAUGGUGAUGUUUAGUUGUUUUAUGGAAAAUUUUAACAAGUAAAAGUUAUUUUUGGGCAAGUUUUCAAACAAAAAGAAAAGUAAAAGUUGUUUUGACAAAAACAUAUAGAAAAAAAAAUCAUAGAAAAUAAAUAAUUUCCCCAUAUUCUAACUUUUUUGAAUUUUUCUCAAUGGGCAAAGGAAUAUCAAAUCAAGUUUGAGUAGGAUUUCUUAAUUUUUAAAAUAACUUACAAUUAAAAAAUUUUGGUGUUUUCAUUUUUGGACAAUUUUUUAUUAAGCAAAUGGACUCUGAGUCAUGCAAGAGAUAUGGUUCAUUAACCGGUCGAACAAUUUUUUUAAAUUAAUUUAAAAGUCAAAUACAUAAUCAAUUUCACAAAAUUUAUAAACAAAAAUAGGUUUAGAGAAGAUCUACACAUAAUUUUACUUUUCUAAUUUUAUUUUAUUUUAUUUUUUGUUGGAAAAUAGUCUUCAAAUCAUGUAAGAUUUAAUAGGUUAAAUUUGUUAACAAUAAAUUUUAAAUUAUAAAAUAUAAUCUGGAACUCAAAAAUCAAUUCAAGUAAUGCUAAAAAAAAAUCAAAUUUGGUAUAGAAUGACUUUGUAAAUUUUUUUACAAAACAAAUGAAUUUUAAAUCAAGUGAGAUUUAAUGCAUUAGAUUUUUAUCAAAUAUAGUAAUUUUAAAAAUAAAUUUGGAACUCAACAAUAGACACAAUAAAUACCAAAAAAUAAUGAACCAAAAUUGGUUUGGAAUAACUCCACAACCUUUUUUUUUUUUUUUUGGUGCACACGAAUUUUCUUACUAGGUAUAUUGCUUUCAAAUUGAGAAAGAUUUACCAUUUAGAUUUUUUUUUAAUGAGUUUAAUGGUAUUUUAAAAUAAUUCAAAAUUUAAAAAAUUGACUAAUUAAUAUUAUAAAUUGAUAAACCAAGACUAUUUCAAAAUGCAUUGGGGGCUAAGGGGGUUGAAAAUAGGGACAAUGGGAUGGGUUUGGGACAUGACACUCAUAUCUCAUUUCCAUUCCAAUUACACAGUUAUCUCCCAUCCUUAUCCCAAACUUGUGUUGGAGCAAGUUGAUUUGUUCCCAUCUUUGUUGACGAAAUGACUAAUAACCUCAUCCCCUCCUUAUCUUAGAUGUACAUUUUGUCAAAUUUGAUCAGGUAUGAUUGAUCCAAGCCCUAACCCUAAUUGGUAAUGAGUGAAUACUACACCUAAUUGCAUUCUUCUUUCAUUGCAAAAUAAUGAGAUUAUAAUAAUCUAGCAAAUAAGAAAAAAUAGUAUGGAAGUUCAAAUUAACACCAUAACUAUCAAUAAUUUUAAGCUUAUAGAUGACUUAAAUGAUUAAAAACUAAUGCAAAAUCCUAAAAAAAAUAAAAAUCAUAUAAAGAAUUCACAAGAGAACAGAAUGAACAAAAACCAAAUAUGAACAUGGGUCAACAUUAGUUAUGGAUUUGGAUUCCUUUCAAGGCCAAUCUUUGAACCAAGACUUCAUCAAAUCAACUACUUCAAAGGCUUUUGUGUUCUUCUUGGGUUGUGCUCUCAAACAAAGACUUCGAGGUGAUGUUCUAGAUGAUUGAAUUACACAUAUUUAGGGUGGAGAGAUUGGAGAAGCUUGAAGAUGCCAACGAUGGGUACAAUUGAGUGGUCAAUAAGAACAAUGUAGCCUAUGACUAGUUUGAUGUCAUGGUACAAGAGUUUUAGGCAUUGAGGUUAAAGCAAGAGCAACAUGGAAUUGAUUUCGGAGUCUUUCAGUUAGUGUAAAGGAGGAAGAAGUGGUGUUGAUUCUAGAAAUAGGGUUUUAAGUGGUGCGUGAUUACUACUCAAAAAGUGCUAUUUGAUAGCCUUUAAUUAAUCCUUUUUAACACUUUUGAGUAGUAGUUUAGGCCUUUUAACUCAAUUGGCAUGUUAAGGAUCCUUUAAAGCAAUUUUGAUCACUUUGUGCAAGUUUUGGUGUUUUUGUUAGUAUUUUGAUCACCAAAGCAAGUCAAGAAUGAGGAGAACUAUGAGGAAUCAUGGGCAAAGCUUAGAAUUCAAUUGCCAAGAGUGAAUCCGGAUUGCAAGGAGAAAAAGCAAAGAGAAUCUGUCAUGAAGCCUAUUCUUGAUGACAGUCGUAGCAGCCACUUUUGGAGCACUUUCUGAAGUCCAAAUGAUGCAAGCUAUAUACCAUUUCAAAGAUCAGGAAGUCAACAAUCCAAUGCUUCAAACGGUGCGCGAUUCGGAGUUGAAACGAAGAAGUUGCAGCCAUUACAAGCCAGUCACUCUAAAGUGUUGCGGAAUCAGCCUUUUGUUGCGAGAAUUUCGCAGCACUUUUGUACAGUAAGGUGUUUCUCCUUCUGACGAUGCACGAACCAUGCCGCGAGAGGGAAGCUAGGAACUUCAAGAUGGAAGCCAACUUUGCAGCCUGGUGAAGAUAGCUUGGUCUUGCGAAAUAAUUUCGCAGCCCUCUUGGGUGUCUGCGAAAUUUCGCAGGCACCACUUUUUUCCUGCGAAAUGGCUCCGGAAGCCUCCCGAAGCUUGCUACCGACAUUGGGAGAUAUUUUCCAUUAGAUUUUUGUUGUCUAAAUUCCAAAAUACUCCUUGUAAACCACCAAUUACAUGAUUCCUUAGUUUUUAAGUUAGUAAAAAGACCAAAUAUCUAUGUAAUAAUUAGUUUUAUAUUAGUUUGCUAUAAAUACCUCUCGGGAGCAUGUUCUCAGAGAGGAGUUCCUUCUGUAACCAUUUUGGUAAGCAAGUAAAGUCUUUUCUUUCUACUGCCUUACCUUCUCACUUUGUAUUUUCAUUUUAUUUCUAAGUUAUGAAUUCUCUGAGGAGCUUUCCCCAGAGAAUGAGUAACUAAACCUCCAAUUCCUUGGAGCUAAGGUUGCCGGGGAAGGUUCCAAGUGCAAGAAUGCAAAGCUCUGUGGUUUUAGCUAGUAAUGAAGAGGAAGUGAAAUCCUUUAGUGAUUUCAAUGUUUUUAGUUAACUUAAAACACCUUGGAGUCACCUGGGCCAACACUUGGUAAGGCAAGUGAUUUCCAACCGUGGAAAUGCACUAGUUUACCCCUUGCGAGCCUCUGGUAGGUGACUUCAAGGUAGGAUUUUCUGGAAUUACCAACACUUGGUAAGCUUUUGGACUCCUAGGAGACAUCCAUUAGUUAUCUCUUGCGAGUUUGUGAAGGGGAAUCCAAGGUUAAAGAUCACCUUGAAUGGUAAGUGCUCGUGAGAGGCAUGAACCAUUGCAAGUUGUAUCAGUGAGAGAAUUAAAGUGAAAUCUAAUUGAAGGAGUCUCUGUACAUCACCGGUUAGAGAAUUGACUAUAAGUUGAAUCUCUAAUGCGAGGAAAUGAACCAUCUGACCGGAGCUAUGUCUUUUGCAUGAGGAACCACCCCAGUGAACCUAAAUCUCCAAGGAAUGCUUUUCUUCCUAAAUUAUUCCAAACUUCUGUUAAGUUAGUUAGUUUAAGUCUAAACCUUUACCAAUCAAACUUUGUGUUUUAUUUCUUAAGCUAACCGUGAAAUGAAACAAAACCAAUUCACUUGGAAUUGGUAUCCUUGAUUGCUUGCAAAUCAUUCCCAGUGAACGAUCCUUAGAGCCACUAUACUAUAGUAGCUUUGUAUUUGCUACCCUAGUGUAUGGUGUUAUAGGUAUAAAUUUUGUUGAUCACUUCCUCAAUCAAGGAACACCAGCUGAACACAAAUCAGCUGAGACACCAAUUGGGCAUGAGUCAAAUGGCGCCGUUGCCGGGGAAUGAGUGUCAAGAUCAUUGUGAUACCAUUUUUGAGCACUUGUGAUUUUCAUCACAAGUUGGUAAAGUUUCUUUCACUUUACUAAUUUUCAUUCUCUCUUUGUUUAUUUACAAUCUAAGUUUAUCUUUUUAAAAUUUAGUCUAGUUUAAUUUUGCUAUUGUAGCCUUGUUUCUCUUGUUGUCCUCUGUUCUUGUUGUCCUCUGUUUUCAUUUUAGUUGCAGCUGAAUACUAGUUGUGUAUGCCAAAGUGGAUACGAGACAUUGGAGGUAGGCUUAUUAAGUGUGAUACACCUCAGAGAGGAGAAUUGGAAGUAAUCUUGAAUAUCAUGGAGGCUGCACCUGAAGAUCAGCAUAGUCACCAAGGUCGUCAAGACAAUCUCAAUGAAUUCAGAUCAAUGAGGGACCGUAUGCAUCCACCUCGUAUGAGUGCACCAUCAUGUAUAGUGCCCCCUACAGAGCAACUAGUGAUCAGACCAUAUCUUGUUCCACUUCUACCAACUUUCCAUGGGAUGGAAAGUGAGAAUCCGUAUGCACACAUCAAGGAAUUUGAAGAUGUUUGUAAUACAUUCCAAGAGGGAGGAGCUUCAAUUGAUUUGAUGAGGCUUAAGUUAUUUCCUUUUAAUUUAAAGGAUAAGGCCAAAAUUUGGCUUAAUUCUUUAAGGCCAAGGAGUAUCCGCUCUUGGACUGAUUUACAAGCUGAAUUCCUCAAGAAAUUUUUUCCUACUCAUAGAACAAAUGGCUUGAAAAGGCAAAUUUCAAACUUCUCAGCUAAAGAGAAUGAGAAAUUCUAUGAGUGUUGGGAAAGAUACAUGGAAGCUAUAAAUGCUUGUCCUCACCAUGGCUUUGAUACUUGGCUACUGGUGAGUUAUUUUUAUGAUGGUAUGUCCUCCUCAAUGAAGCAACUCCUCGAGAAAAUGUGUGGAGAAGAUUUCAUGAGCAAAAAUCCAGAGGAAGCUAUGGAUUUCUUGAGCUAUGUAGCUGAUGUUUCAAGGGGAUGGGAUGAACCAACUAAAGGAGAAGUGGGAAAGAUGAAGUCUCAGUUGAAUGCUUACAAUGCAAAGGCUGGGAUGUAUACUUUAAAAGAGGAUGAUGACAUGAAAGCAAAGUUGGCAGCUAUGACAAGAAGAUUGGAGGAGCUGGAGCUGAAAAGAAUGCAUGAAGUGCAAGCUGUUGCUGAAGCACCAGUGCAAGUGAAGUUGUGUCCCAAUUGUCAAUCGUUUGAACAUUUGGUAGAGGAAUGCCCUGCAAUUUCAGCUGAAAGGGAAAUGUAUAGAGAUCAAGCAAAUGUUGUUGGACAAUUCAGGCCCAAUAACAAUGCUCCUUAUGGAAAUACCUACAAUUCAAGUUGGAGGAAUCAUCCAAAUUUUUCAUGGAAGGCCAGAGCAACUCAAUACCAACAGCCGGAUCCACCAUCUCAACAAUCUUCAAGUAUUGAACAAAUAAUAGCUAAUCUCAGCAAGGUAGUGGGAGAUUUUGUGGGAAAGCAAGAAGCCACCAAUGCUCGAGUGGAUCAAAGAAUGGACAGAGUGGAUCAAAGAAUGGACAGAAUGGAGAGUAUGUUGAACAAAAGAAUGGAUGGAAUGCAAAAUGAUAUGAAUCAAAAAUUUGAUAACAUCCAAUAUUCAAUUUCAAGGCUUACAAAUUUGAAUACACUGCAAGAAAAGGGAAGAUUUCCUUCUCAACCUAACCAAAAUCCCAAAGGUGUCCAUGAAGUGGAAAGCCAUGAGGGAGAAUCAUCACAGGUGAAAGAUGUGAAAGCUUUGAUCACUCUAAGGAGUGGUAAGAAAAUUGAGCAGCCAACACCCAAGCCACAUGUUGAGAAAGAAGAAGAGAUGAAGAAAGGGAAGGAAAUGGAAGAUAAAGGCAGUGAGAUCAGUGAAGAAAAGAAGGACUCUGAUGCAACAAUGAAAGUAAUUCCAGAGAAGGAGCUUCUGAAGGAAGAAAUGCUGAAGAAAUCAACUUUUCCACCUUUUCCUCAAGCAUUACAGGGGAAAAAGGGGGUUAGAAAUGCAGCUGAAAUCCUAGAAGUAUUGAGGCAAGUGAAAGUUAAUAUUCCACUGCUGGAUAUGAUCAAACAAGUUCCAACGUAUGCAAAAUUCCUAAAGGACUUGUGUACUAUCAAAAGAGGGUUGACUGUAAACAAGAAAGCCUUCUUGACUGAGCAAGUAAGUGCAAUCUUACAGUGUAAGUCUCCUUUGAAGUACAAAGACCCUGGAAGUCCUACCAUUUCAGUCAUGAUUGGAGGAAAGGUAGUGGAGAAAGCCUUGCUAGACUUGGGAGCAAGUGUGAAUUUGCUUCCAUAUUCUGUCUACAAGCAACUGGGACUUGGAGAGUUGAAGCCAACAGCAAUCACUUUGUCUCUGGCAGAUAGAUCAGUGAAAAUUCCAAGAGGGGUAAUUGAGGAUGUAUUGGUUCAAGUAGAUAAUUUCUACUAUCCUGUAGAUUUUGUUGUUCUUGAUACAGAUCCUACUGUAAAGGAAGCUAAUUUAGUUCCUAUCAUCCUUGGAAGGCCAUUUCUUGCAACUUCAAAUGCAAUCAUCAACUGUAGAAAUGGGCUUAUGCAACUCACUUUUGGUAACAUGACACUGGAUCUAAAUAUUUUCUAUAUGUCUAAAAAGCAAAUCACUCCAGAAGAAGAAGAGGGUCCAGAAGAGCUAUGUAUUAUUGAUACUUUGGUGGAGGAGCACUGCAAUCAACAUAUGCAAGAUAAGUUGAAUGAAAGUUUUGUGGAUAUUGAGGAAGGUUUUUCUGAAUCUCCUAAUGGGCUUGCUACUCUACAAAGUUGGAGAAAGAUAGAAGGAAUUCUACCUUUGUUCAAUGAAGAAGAGGAGGCAGCUGUUGAAAAAGAAAUUCCAAAACUCAAUCUGAAGCCUUUACCUAUGGAGCUGAAAUAUACAUAUCUUGAAGAAAAUAAUCAAUGUCCUGUCGUAAUAUCUUCAUCUCAAACCAAGUCUCAAGUGAAGGAUGCAAGCUUCAAAUGGGAUCCGGGCAAACUGAAUCAGGAAGGGCAAAAAGUUUUGAUGUAUGACACAAGACUCCAUAUCUUUCCUGGGAAGCUCAAGUCAAGGUGGAUUGGUCCAUUUGUUAUUCACCGAGUAUAUUCCAAUGGAGUGGUGGACUUAUUGAAUUCCAAUGGCAAGGACAGCUUUAGAGUCAAUGGAUAUCGUCUUAAGCCGUUCAUGGAGUCAUUCAAAUCAGAAAAGGAGGCAAUCAACCUCCUUGAACCUCAAAAAGCCUAAGUGAAAUGGGUUUGCUGGACGUGGUUUUACCACAGUCCAAAAAUUUUUGUAAAUUUUGUAAAUUUUCAAGUUGUUUCCAUGCUUUUAAUCUUAGUUUUUGAUUUUAAAUCAUGUUUUUAGGUGUGUUUUAAUCGUUUUAUAUGAUCCCAGGCGGAAGAAAUUUCAAGGGGAUUGAAAAGAAAAAAAUCGGGUCGAAAUUGGAGCCGAAACAGAGCAAAAACAGGGGAAAAACAGAGCUCUGCGAAAUUUCGCAGGGUGAAGGAAACUUCUGCGAAAUUGGCAUUUUGCUGCCAAACCAUUCCGCAGCACUGUAGAAGCCUCUGCGAGUGUAUUUCGCAAUUGCGAAAGUGGAUUUGGCACACGAGUGCCACUUCGCAGCACAGUGACAUCAAUUUCGCAGCUGCGAAACUCACUGCGAAGUUGCUGCGAAAAUGGCAAGUUGCUGCGAAAUUGGCGUUUUGUUGCGAAACGUAAUCUGACCCCUGGGCUUCCGUUUUUCCUAUUUAUACCUGUCAAAAGUGCUGCGAAAAAGGUUUCAAAAAUUAGAGCACCAUUCUCGCAGCCCUUUCAUCUUCUUCGCCAAGCCACGCCGUCCGUUUCUCCGGUCGUCUUCUCCGUUUAGCAGCGCCGGCCAAAGAUCGAUAGCCCAAAAAUGGCACGAACGCGAGGGGCAAAGUCUUCAUCCCCUUCGAACCGCAAAAGGAGUCUGCGAAAGGAGCCAAGUUCAGGCUCUGUUCCAGAACCUGCUCCAAAGCCUUCGCCGUCGAGACCACAACCUUCUCCAGUGAAGCCGGCGCCACCAAAGCCGCCGGCAAGGCGAUAUUUAACCAGGUCAGGUGGUCAGCCAUUGAAGAAGAAAGCCAGAGUUGAGAGCUCUGAACCAAUCGAUUUGACUGAGCAAUCCCCUGAGAAAUCACCAAAUCCUUCACCGGUACAAAUUCCAGUGCCAUCACCGGUUCCCUCGCCAAUUCCCUCACCAGAAGCAACUCCAAUUCCAUCGCCGGUACCAUCUCCGGCACCCCAAGAAAAAGCUCAGGAGCCUCAAGCGCCAAUUCCAGAGCCCCAAAUUGCAGCUGAAGCACCUCUGGAAGAAGUGAUCCGAAGGCCAAUGCUGCCUCAGCCCCCAAUCGAAGGAAACCUGGAUUGCCGAACUCGGGCAUUCCAUUCUGAGCUUUGCUUCGAUUUAACAGCAUUCAGAGUGAGGCCAGAGCUUGCCCAAUCCUUCCAACUGCUGAGGAGAUAUCAUAUGGAGCAUCUGCUAGCUCCAAGGGAUUUUUUCUAUCCCCGGGUAGUCACGGAUUUCUACCAAACCAUGACAACCAAAGAAGUAAGAAAUCCAACUCUGAUUCAUUUCAUAAUUGAUGGAAGGCAUGGUAUUUUGGGAGCAAGACAUAUUGCUGAAGCCCUGCAAAUUCCUUUUGAGCCAACUCAAUUCGACAAUUUUAAAGCUUGGACAAAUCCUACUGAGUUAGAGAUGGUUAGCACACUAACCAGAGGAGCUGCAAAUCGAUCGCAUUUGUUGAGGGGGGAGCUACCUCCAGUUAUGUUUUUGAUUGAUGCCUUUUUGAGGCAUAAUAUCUAUCCCCUGCAGCAUUGGACCCAAAGAAGGGGAAUUCUCCUAGAAGCCUUGUACAAAAUGUCUGAAGGAUUCUUCUUUGGGCCUCAUCAUCUGAUCAUGGCAGCCCUUCUAUACUUUGAGGAGAAGGUUCACAAGAAGAAGCUUCAAAGAGCAGAUUGCAUUCCACUCCUCUUCCCAAGGCUGCUAUGCCAAGUUUUGGAGCAUCUCGGAUACCCCUCUGAGCCUCAGCAGGAAAGAAAGAGAAUAUGCCGUGAGCCUUUUACCCUUGAUAAAUGGAAUAAUAUGACGGCCUACAAAAUUGAUCAGCCUGGGCAGCCUCAGCCAGCAGCAAGGAGAGUCUCCCCAAGACAUAUACCUGAAGGUAUAACACUUGCUACUCCUGCCAUCCCUCGAGCUCCACCAGCUGCACCUGCUCCAUCACAGCCAUCCACAUCAGCUGAGCCGAGGAUGGCCAUCCCUAUAUCCGAAUAUCGAGAGCUGUGCCGUGCAUUGGAGACUCUUACAGCUUCUCAGAGCAAUCUUGCUCAGGAGUUGGCAGCCAUUAAAGCAUGCCAGGAGCAGAUGUUAGCCUCUCAGACUCAACAAGCUGCCAUCCUAAGGCAGCUUCAAGUCCAUUUCGAUCUGCCACAAGCUGUAGAGCCCUCUAUUCCUACUCCACCAGAGCCACACUCUCAGCCUUCAGAGUCUCAUCCUCCAGAACCCGAAGCACCAGCUGAUCCACCUACUGAGGAGGCAGAUCCUUCUGCCUAGCACCAUCACCCCCCUCAUCAGACAUUAUAUAUAUAUUUGCUGUUUAUGUUUUUAUGCAUGUUUGUUUUGUUUUAGUUGAAAAGAAAUCCCAGUAUUUUGGUACUAUAUAUGGGAUUCCUUGUGUUACUUGUCUUUAGUAUUGUAAUCACAUGAACUCAAAGUAAUACAAGUUGACUAUUUCUUGUUAAAAGUUAGCAUUAAAGUUUCCUUAUUUCCUUUUCUCACAUAUUCUAUUCUUUUUGAAACAUGUGGUUUUCCCCAAUCAAUAUUCGAAUUUGAUAUCAGCAUGGAGGUACCACUUCCUCCCUUUUAUUACAGUCACUCAAAUCACAUUGAGGACAAUGCUCAGUUCGGUUGGGGGGUAUGAGGAAGGAAGUAUUCUAAACCUUUUUGGUAUUGCAAUUAUAUUGGUUAAUUAGUUGUAGAUUUUACUUUUUACUAGUGUUACUCUAUUCUCCAUGAAUUUUGAGGAAAAAUUUUCAAAUUAAACCAAGAGAAAUUGAACUGUUGUUUUUCACUUGACUUAGAGUAUGGAUUAUGCUUACUAAAGUGGUUCAAUUGUUGAAACUUCUACUGAAAUUGAAUUGAGUUCUUCCACUUUAAGCUAUCCACACACUGUGCACAUUAGUUUCCGAUUAUAAGAUGAAAAGCUAUUUCCCUCUUGACUUAGUAUAUUUUUGGGACUUGGUAUAUUUGACCUCAUUUGAUAAAAAUUGAAACACCCUGCAAAAGGCCAAUGAGCCUUUGAAAUAAAGAAAGUUGUUUGCUUGCCUUGAAACCCGAGCAAGGUCUGAGGGGUAUAUGGUGAAAAUCUUUAAAGCCUGGUGCCCUAAGCCUUAAUUGGUUGGGAGUCACCGACCUCAAUGCUCGUUACAAGGGUGAAUAGGUAGAGUUAGCAUAUGGUAGAUGCUUGGGUAUUAGAAAUUCAUUCUUAAAAGUCCGGGGAAAAAUCCGAGGAGUUAGUGGUUGAAAGAUCCUUAAAACUUGGUGCCCUAAACCUUAAUUGGUUGGGAGUCAUCGAUGGACCCCCAUUACAUGGACAAGUCAGAAAGAGUACCCCAUAAAGCUACCUUAAAAAAAAAAAAAAAAAAAAAAAAAAAAAAAAAGAUGAAAGUGUGUUCUUUUCUUAUUGAUUUUGGUCAGUUUGCUAAAGUGUUGAAAAGAGAUAGGUUGGGGGGUGAGAUUAGUAGCAUAUUAUUCUCGGAACCUAAGGAACCAAUACACAUAGAUUUUUGUGGAAGAUUGAAGUUUAGUUCUUAGAAAAUGAAAUGAUUUUAAAACUUCAGUUUGCAUAAUGCACUCCCUUGAUUGACAGUGUUUAGCAUAGGUGUUAUGACUCUUGUUGAGAUUUGGGUUUGUAUUUCUUUAAUGAUUCAUGUGAGAAAUAGAUCAUCAUGCCACUUGAGAAUUAUUUUCCUUUUAGCAUGAUGUUGUAAAUUUUAGAUUAGUUUGCUAUUUAUUUUUUAUUUUCUCUCCUAUAUUGCUAAGGGACUAGCAAUAUGUCGGUUGGGGGGAGUGAUUACUACUCAAAAAGUGCUAUUUGAUAGCCUUUAAUUAAUCCUUUUUAACACUUUUGAGUAGUAGUUUAGGCCUUUUAACUCAAUUGGCAUGUUAAGGAUCCUUUAAAGCAAUUUUGAUCACUUUGUGCAAGUUUUGGUGUUUUUGUUAGUAUUUUGAUCACCAAAGCAAGUCAAGAAUGAGGAGAACUAUGAGGAAUCAUGGGCAAAGCUUAGAAUUCAAUUGCCAAGAGUGAAUCCGGAUUGCAAGGAGAAAAAGCAAAGAGAAUCUGUCAUGAAGCCUAUUCUUGAUGACAGUCGUAGCAGCCACUUUUGGAGCACUUUCUGAAGUCCAAAUGAUGCAAGCUAUAUACCAUUUCAAAGCUCAGGAAGUCAACAAUCCAAUGCUUCAAACGGUGCGCGAUUCGGAGUUGAAACGAAGAAGUUGCAGCCAUUACAAGCCAGUCACUCUAAAGUGUUGCGGAAUCAGCCUUUUGUUGCGAGAAUUUCGCAGCACUUUUGUACAGUAAGGUGUUUCUCCUUCUGACGAUGCACGAACCAUGCCGCGAGAGGGAAGCUAGGAACUUCAAGAUGGAAGCCAACUUUGCAGCCUGGUGAAGAUAGCUUGGUCUUGCGAAAUAAUUUCGCAGCCCUCUUGGGUGUCUGCGAAAUUUCGCAGGCACCACUUUUUUCCUGCGAAAUGGCUCCGGAAGCCUCCCGAAGCUUGCUACCGACAUUGGGAGAUAUUUUCCAUUAGAUUUUUGUUGUCUAAAUUCCAAAAUACUCCUUGUAAACCACCAAUUACAUGAUUCCUUAGUUUUUAAGUUAGUAAAAAGACCAAAUAUCUAUGUAAUAAUUAGUUUUAUAUUAGUUUGCUAUAAAUACCUCUCGGGAGCAUGUUCUCAGAGAGGAGUUCCUUCUGUAACCAUUUUGGUAAGCAAGUAAAGUCUUUUCUUUCUACUGCCUUACCUUCUCACUUUGUAUUUUCAUUUUAUUUCUAAGUUAUGAAUUCUCUGAGGAGCUUUCCCCAGAGAAUGAGUAACUAAACCUCCAAUUCCUUGGAGCUAAGGUUGCCGGGGAAGGUUCCAAGUGCAAGAAUGCAAAGCUCUGUGGUUUUAGCUAGUAAUGAAGAGGAAGUGAAAUCCUUUAGUGAUUUCAAUGUUUUUAGUUAACUUAAAACACCUUGGAGUCACCUGGGCCAACACUUGGUAAGGCAAGUGAUUUCCAACCGUGGAAAUGCACUAGUUUACCCCUUGCGAGCCUCUGGUAGGUGACUUCAAGGUAGGAUUUUCUGGAAUUACCAACACUUGGUAAGCUUUUGGACUCCUAGGAGACAUCCAUUAGUUAUCUCUUGCGAGUUUGUGAAGGGGAAUCCAAGGUUAAAGAUCACCUUGAAUGGUAAGUGCUCGUGAGAGGCAUGAACCAUUGCAAGUUGUAUCAGUGAGAGAAUUAAAGUGAAAUCUAAUUGAAGGAGUCUCUGUACAUCACCGGUUAGAGAAUUGACUAUAAGUUGAAUCUCUAAUGCGAGGAAAUGAACCAUCUGACCGGAGCUAUGUCUUUUGCAUGAGGAACCACCCCAGUGAACCUAAAUCUCCAAGGAAUGCUUUUCUUCCUAAAUUAUUCCAAACUUCUGUUAAGUUAGUUAGUUUAAGUCUAAACCUUUACCAAUCAAACUUUGUGUUUUAUUCCUUAAGCUAACCGUGAAAUGAAACAAAACCAAUUCACUUGGAAUUGGUAUCCUUGAUUGCUUGCAAAUCAUUCCCAGUGAACGAUCCUUAGAGCCACUAUACUAUAGUAGCUUUGUAUUUGCUACCCUAGUGUAUGGUGUUAUAGGUAUAAAUUUUGUUGAUCACUUCCUCAAUCAAGGAACACCAGCUGAACACAAAUCAGCUGAGACACCAAUUGGGCAUGAGUCAGUGCGUUAGAGGAUCAAGAAGAAGAAAAAGAAGGAACUGUUGGAAUUAGUAUGAGUGUGAAGAGAAAAGUAUAUAAAUAAGGGGAAGUAAAAGCAAAGUUCAAAAAGCUAUAUUUUUUUAUUGUUGGUGUAUGGUUGCAUGAUUAUCCCUAUAAAUAAUAGGAGUUUUUUGGUAUUCUACUAGUAGUUGAAGCAUAAUUUCAUAAAUUAAUAUUUAGAGCGGGGUGGGGUGAGUUGUGACAAAAUUCAUACCCGUCCCAAACCUUGGUUCAGAUUUUUAAAAUAUUCUCAAACUUAUCAUAUACCCAACUUUUAUAUUUCAUACUUGUCCUAAUAGAGGCACGUUAGGCCGGGUUACUUGAGUAACCUACAUAAUUGUCAUCCCUAGUUGAAAUACACUUUUUGGCAGUGGCCACCAACUGAGCUAGAAGCUUGAUUGAUUGACCUACAAGAUUAGUUCUCAUCAUUUUAAAAAAAGUUCUGGCUUUGGUUGUGAGUGCAAUUGAAUCUAAACUGGCAUUUGCUUAAUGCAUCUACUUCAAUCCUAAACUUCUUACUUCUUAAGCCUCAAUUGUUGUUAGGAUUUUGGAAAACCCAUUUCCUUAAAUUGUAAAUUUAAGAUAAAAUAAAAUAAAAGUGAGACAUUUCUUGAUUGAAUAUUGUUAAAGGUCCCUUGGCAUUAAGACUUGGUUGAAGCCUUGGAAGAUUAGUGGAACUCUCAACAUGUGUUUGAAUCUUGAGGAGAGUGGAUGUAAGCCAAAAUUUUGUCAAACCAUUAUACAAAUUGAGUUUGAAUCCUCAUUUCUUGAUUUCUUAUUUAUUUGCUUUUUCUUAUUAUUACUUGAAUUGUCAUUUGCAUUCAUUAAUGUUAAAAUUGGUUAUAAUUAACCAACACUAAUUCUCUUUCCCCUUCCCUUUCUUGGGUGUAAACCUAGGUUGGAUUAACUAGAUAAAUCUAUUAAGAUGGUAAAAGAAUAAUUAUUCUUAACAUACAUAAGAUCAUCUUCAAUCAAAUGACUCAUUGGCUAAUAUGUUGAAUUUGCUUAUUACUUGCAACUCAAAAUUGUGUUCUAGUUGUGUCAAGUCCCCAGUGUAUGGACAUUAAAUUUGUAGUACGUGAUGAGUAAUUAGAUGGUCCAACUCCAAGAAAGUGAUUGAAAAGUAGUUCAAGAAAGGUGCAAAAGGGAAUUGUUUUGGUAUUUUCGUUUUUAUUCUUGAAGGUGGCAGAGCUAAAAUUUGAGAAAUCAAGCAAAACAUACUGAAAUUACAUUGAAAGAAAGAAGAUGGGAGUUAAUGUCUUGCAGUACAUGAUAAGGACUUCAUGCAUGUAGUGUGACCCAUGUCUUGGACUGAUGCCAACUCACGGUUACACUUAUACCCUUGGUUCUCUCUUUACUACCUUGGCUAACCUAGAUCAGGCUAUGAGAUAGGCUCCUCACCACACCAUUACUUGCCCAUUAAUUAGAGACAUUUUCAAGCAAUGAGGUAACAUGGUGACACCAAGAGGGUCUAUUCCUCGCCCGGAACAAGUCUAGACUUGGUCUCAAAAAAAUGGAGAAAAAUGAGGUGUCGUUAUGUAGAAAUACAACAACCAUGCCUUCCUCAUUACUUAGAUUCAGAAUGUGAAGGUGAAAUUGAGAAACAGAAACUCUUGAAACCAAAAUGAAAAUUGAUACUUUUACGAAGAAUUACAACAACAUUAGAGGAAGACUACAUUCUUCCUCUUUAUUCCUACAUUUCUACACUACUUCUACUCCACUCCAUAUUUCUACAUACAUCUUUAAUCAGUCUUCCCUCCUUUAUAUAGAGCCAUCUUCACACAAAUUUCGCAAGGUAGAAAAGAGGAAUGAAACUUGGAGCAAGGUUCGACUACUGGUUGUAGCUUGUCAAGGCUGGAAGUGAACUUUUCUUGGCUUUCUGGGCAUGGGUAGUAACUUGUGGGUUCCUGUUUGGCAUAAAAAUGGCUAGAACAUGUGGCACUAUCUUGUUGGAUGAUGUGUCAAGCAUGUGGCAGCCAUCUAGUGGCGAUUAUGUCAAUUUUGGGAUGGAGAGUUGGCAUCCAAUUGCAAAGAAAUAUGACGUCUACCAACAUGCAAUGUAAACCUAUGUAGAUCAUAUGAAGAUAGAGAGGAAAAAUAUAGAAAUGGAUAUAUACCUAGAACUAGCUUUUUAUUAAAUGAAACGGAGAGACAACAAUGAAGGAAAAUAAAAUUUUUUGGCUUAUAUCAAAGAGUUCACAUUGUGUUACCCUAGGUUUUCUUAAAACUUACUUUUAUGAUAACAAAAAAGAAAAAACCAUUAUUGUUUAAUCCUUUGUUUUAAACGCAUGUAAGGUGUAAUUAAGUUAGUUCAAUGCAUUAAUUUAAGAAACUUGACCUAUCAAAAGUACAAAAUUAGAUGAAAUCCAUUUCAAUGGUUAAAAUGAUCAAAAUCAAACUUUUUCUAAGUAUUUUUUAAAAGCAUCAAUAGUGAAAGACAAUUUUAUAUUUAGUCGGAGUUUGGACAAAACUGAAAAACACACAAAAUCCAAGCGACCAUCUCUAGCUUGGAUGGUCGCUUGAUCCCACCUAGAGAUGUGCAUGAGUAAAAGGAUUUGAAAAUGGAAAUUGACUAUGUAGUCGAUCAAUUAACUUUGCAACAUCAUAUGCAAUCCUAAUUGCUAGUCAUCUAAUCAAUUAGGUAGUCAAUCAACAGGCCAAAAAUAUGUUUAUAAUGACUAUUUUGUACAAAAACCACCUGUAUAGUUAAAUAUAAUGCAUUUCAUUUAUAAAUCUUCUAAUUCUUGAAUAACGAUCCUAUCAUCCUUUGAAAGUUUUUAUUACACUUUUUUUACUUUUGUUCUAAAACUUACACAUCACCCUUAAUUGUACCAUGAGAACCUAGCUAUUUUUUAUUUUUUUUUUUGUAAUUCAUCAAAGUUAGCUUUUGUAUUCAUUGUUGUAUUAUUUUUAGUAUAACUUAGAAAGCUAGUGUUUUCAAGUGAGUAAAAUUAACUUGUAAAUAUUGUAAAGAUUCAUCGACAUGUAUCUUAAACUAAGUGUACAAGUUAAAACAUUUGCUAGUAGAUUUUCUCAAAAUUUAGAAUAGAGCUUGAGACUAUUGAAAUAGGUGGGGUUGCACCAAACCACAUCACAUCGUUGUUUGCACCUUUUUUCACUCUCUUUUACUUAGUUGCUCUAUAUUUGUUGUCUAGUAAUAUCCUAUAGGCUUGAUGGGUUAGGGAGCAUCCCUUUGUGAAAAAAUUUUAUUCAAUCCUUAGUUGUAUCACGCAUAUAUAAAAUGCCUCAUUGUUUUAAUGGUAUUCAGUCGUGGCAUCACAGAUAUGGGCAUCUAAAUUUUAAAAGUUUGAAACUUUUAUCUAAAGAAAAUAUGGUGCUUUGCCUUUUUGUAAAGCAUGUUGAUGAAAUCCAUGAGAAUUGUGUACUUGGGAAGCAACACCGAGAUGACUUUUUUUUUUUUUUUAUAAUAUUGUUUGUCCAAAUUCCCUACAAAUUAGGCCACCAGAUGUUCAUAAUUCUCCCUUCUUGAAUUUGAAAACUCGGACAAUUGGACAAUGCGACACCUAAGUCCGGUUUCUAAAUGCUAAAGUGAAAGGGUAGGUAUGGACCAUUGAAAUGUGAUCACAACUUUUCUCUGUAGCCAUGUUGUCUCUUUUUUCUUUUGCAUGAUUUUCUUACCUUAACAGAAUCAUAGACUUGUUUAGUCUCUAAAUGGGAUUAAUUUCAUCCAGCUUUAAGCUACUAUAUUAUAUCUAGGUGGAGGACUUUUAAGAGUGCAACCGACAUAGAGCACAUGGAAGUGGGUAUAUGGGACAUGAAAUUUCUUCUUAUAAAGAUUGCAUGAUUUUUAUAUUAGAGUUGUUGAGGCGCUAUGUAUUUAGCUUGUUUUGCAGUUAAAUUAAUUGGAUAAGUAGACAUUGGCGUUUCUAAAUCUACUGUGAAGUGCUUCAUGUACGUGUGAAGUAUUAGAAAUUUCUUUCUUGGCAACUUGUUUUUCUUUGCGGUCUACUGAUAGGUUUGACUAAAAUUAUAUUCCCUGUCAUGCUAAUUAAUUUUCACGUGCAUGCUCAAAAGAAAAGUAUGACCUUAGUGCACCAAAAUCACUUUGAUUAAUUUGUGAUAGGUUUUUGUGCAUCAUGACAUUAGCCUUAUUCAUUUAGAUAAUGUUUAGUUUUUAGAAAGUAUUAAGAAAAGGAAAAUAAAUAUUAAGAAAAAUAUUCUUAUAUUUGAUUGUAUUAUGAAAAAUAUCAUAAAAAAAUCAAAUAUAAUUUAAAUUAAUUAAUAAUUUAUACAUUUUCAAAUUAUUUAAUCUUUAUAUUGAAGAUAUAAUAUAAAUGAAAUGAGUUUUAAGUAUUAUAUAAAAGUGAUUUAUUGAUCUUACAUAUAUAUAUUUCUUUUUUUUUUCCUUCUAUUUUUUCUCUUUAUUUUAUUUUCCUUAUGUUUUCCUCAACAUUUUCCGGAACCAAACAUAGCCUUAGGAAAUCCACAAUUACCUUCAACUGAGUAGAUUCUGUUGUUUUAGCAAUGUUAGGCUGCUAACUUGUGUUGGUACGAACCUAUUAAGCCUAAAGAUGUAAUUAGUUAGGAUAUUCUUUUCCCUCUAGUCUUGUAGCUCCACGUGUACAGUUGGUUAGGACCUCAUUGUAUAUAAUGCUUGCCCUGUUAUUGUAGAAGACAACAAAGAUAAAUAAUAUUAACAUUUUUCCUCUCAUCUCUCUCUGUUUCCCUCUGUUUUCAUCUCCUCUCUCAUCUUGGUAUCAGAGCCUCCAUGGCUUCUUUCAAAGAAACCUCCGAAUCACCUUCUGCUAGCAUUGUUAAUGUGCAAAACCCAUUAUCUCAAUCAAACAACCUUCCUUCACCAGUAGCCACACCCUCUUUUUCUUUCUCGUCUAUGAAUCAACCUCUCACAGUGAAGCUGGAUAAUGGGAACUACCUCAUAUGGAAGAAUUAGCUUCUAAAUGUCAUCAUUGCUAACGGACUCGAUGAUUUCAUUGACGGAUCUCGACCCUGCCCUCCUCGAUUUCUCGAUCUGCAACAACAAACCCUCAAUCCAGAGUACUCAGCUUGGCAGAGAUACAAUCGACUUCUGAUGAGUUGGCUGUACGCAUCCUUGUCCAAAGAUAUAAUGGCUCAGAUUGUUGGGUAUUCAACAGCUAUGGAGAUUUGGAAUGCCCUUAAUCAGAUUUACUCUGCCUCUUCUAUGGCGCGGUUUACUGAGCUUCGCACCAAGCUUCAAACGCUCAAGAAAGAUGGACUCUCAGUUGGUGAAUAUAUUCAAAGGCUCAAAUCCAUUUGCAAUAGUCUUGCAGCAAUAGGAGAACCAGUUUCUGAGAAAGACCAUCUUAUCUAUUUGUUCAAUGGAUUAGAUUGUGAGUAUUAUUCUUUUGUUACCUCCAUUCAAAAUCGAUCUGACCAACCAACUAUUGACAAAAUCCAUAGCCUAUUGCUUAGCUAUGACUUCCGGCUUGAACAACAAAACUCUGUUUCUCUCCAUUCUGCCCAAGUCCAUAUGGCUCAUCUGAACAAGAAACCUUAUAAAUCAACUCCUCAACCUACAUUCAAUCAUAUUCACAUUCAACCUAGAUACUCUUCUCCACCUUUUAAGCCAACCACUAGUCAAUAUCAACCCAACAUUUUGGGCAAACCACAACCACAACCAUGACAGCCUCAACCUCAAUGGAAACCACAUUUUUCAAUCUAAAAUCAAAAGCCUCAGCGCCAAAUUUGUGGUAAAUUUGGACACACUGCUCUUAUUUGCUUCCAUCACACAAAUUUGAACUAUUCACCCCAACCUUCUCCUAAAUCUUUCAAUACUGUUCUCACCACAAAUUCCCAGCUCCCUAAUCCUCCAAAAUUUUCUUACCCUACAAUGGCUCAUCCUGCUGCUACGCAUAACACGGUUCCCGAUACAAAUUGGUACAUGGACUCAGGUGCUACACAUCACUUUACUCUGGACAUCAACGUGCUUGACACUGUGACACCAUUUAGUGGUUCAGAACAGGUGACAGUUGGGAAUGGUAAGCAACUCUGUAUCUCACAUCUUGGUACUGCAAAACUACCAUCUUCGUAUUCUCCUCCUGUUCUACAUCAGGUAUAUCACACUCCAAAAAUUUCAAAUAAUCUUAUUAGUGUUAAAAAAUUGUGUUCUGAUAAUAAAGUUUUUGUUGAAUUUUAUGCCACUCAUUUUCUUGUCAAGGAUCAGGUUUCGAAGAGAGUUCUCCUUUAGGGUCAACUUGAUAAUGGCUUAUACAAAGUUCAGUCGUCAUGCUCUCCUUCUGCUGUUUCCUUUCCUCCUCAAGUUUUCAUAGCCAACAUCAAGUAUCCAAAUCUGUGGCACAAGAGACUAGGCCACCCAGCUUUAUCUGUUGUUAAUCAAAUCUUGGAUUCUUGUAACAUUGCUCGAACACAGAAAAUUUGUUUUAAUUUUUUAAAUUCUUGUCAAUUAGCAAAGAGCCACAGGCUUCCUUUUUCUCUGUCUCCAUCCAUUGCAGAAAAACCUUUUGAGUUAAUUCAUACAGACCUAUGGGGUCUUUCGCUCGUUCGCUCUAUUUCUGGUGCUCUUUAUUUUUUACUUUUCAUUGAUGAUCAUACUCGUUUUACUUGGUUUUAUUUGCUCAAAACAAAAGAUGAAGCAUAUCCUACUUUUCUCAAGUUUCAAGCUCUCAUUGAAAAUCAAUUUAAUACCAAGAUUAAGGCUGUCCAAUCUGAUUGGGGAGGUGAGUUUCGAUCUCUCUCCAUACCGUUUUCAAAUAUGGGCAUUGUCUAUUGUUUAUCGUGUCCAUACACCUCACAACAGAAUGGGCGAGUUGAGCGAAAAAAUCGCCAUGCGAUUGUCCUUUCUUGCUUGCUCUAUGCCCUUAUCUUAUUGGCCUUAUGCCUUUCAAACUGCCACUUACCUUAUUAAUCGUCUCUCUACCCCUGUGCUGCAUCAUCAAUCCUCUUACUUCGCACUCUAUCACAAACUCCCAACUUAUACUCAUCUUAAGGUCUUUGGUUCCUCUUGUUUUCCGUAUUUGCACCCUUAUAAUACCCAUAAACUCCAAUACAGGUCACUAGAGUGUGCUUUUCUUGGUUACAGUUCACACCACAAAGGUUAUCUAUGUCUUGACAUUCAUUCUAGCAGGGUGUAUAUUUCUCGCCAUGUGAUUUUUAAUGAAGAUUCUUUUCCAUUCAAGAAUUUGAAAUCUUCUCUCUCUCAGUCUAUUUCUUCUUCCUCUUCUUUAUAAGUUCCUCUGUUCAUUCUCUUGCCUCCCCUUUCCCCAUCUCCUCUUAUUUCUUCAUCUAUACCUCAUUCUUUUCCCUCUUCUUCUUCUACCUCUAGUACUUGUUCCCCUCUCGUUGCUCCUACCUCUCUUCCUUCCUCUUCACACUCUGUGUCUCCAUCUAUUCCACCUCCUUCUCCACCUUCUCCGAGUGUGGACCUGCUUGCACCUUGUGUGAAUACAAAUUUACAUACUUCUUCUCGCACUCACAAUAUUCAUCCUAUGGUGACUAGAUCUAAGGUUUGUAUCUAUAAACCUAAGUUGUUGUUGAGUGUCUCCAUAGGUUCUCUCACUAAGCCUACUUCCUUUCUUCAAGCUAUUAAAGAUCCUUCAUGGAAGCAAUCCAUGGAAUUCGAGUUUGCUACCCUUCAACACAACAAGACCUGGCAUUUGGUUCCUUCACCUUCCUCAGGCGAAGUAAUCGGUUGUAAAUGGGUCUAUAAGCUAAAGCUUCAGCCUGAUGGCUAAAUUGAGAGAUACAGCCUGCUUAGUAGCUAAGGGUAUCAUCAAAUUGAAGUAUGGACUACUUCGAAACAUUCAGCCUGAUNNNNNNNNNNNNNNNNNNNNNNNNNNNNNNNNNNNNNNNNNNNNNNNNNNNNNNNNNNNNNNNNNNNNNNNNNNNNNNNNNNNNNNNNNNNNNNNNNNNNAGCUUCAGCCUGAUGGCUAAAUUGAGAGAUACAAGGCCUGCUUAGUAGCUAAGGGUUAUCAUCAAAUUGAAGGUAUUGACUACUUCGAAACAUUCAGCCUGAUUGUCAAGCUUUCUACUAUCUGUAUUGUGCUCAGUCUUACUUUUUCCCAGAAUUGGUGUAUUAGACAGCUGGAUGUUCAUAAUGCCUUCUUACAUGGUGACUUAGCUAAAGACGUUUUCAUGGAACAACUGCCUGGAUUUGUUGAUCCUCUCUAUCCUACUCAUGUCUGCAAGUUGGAUAAGUCUCUCUACUGUCUUAAAUAGUCACCUCGGGCUUGGUAUACUAAGCUGAGUACUUCUCGCUACACUUGGGAUUUGUUACUUCUAAGAAUGACUCUUCCUUAUUUAUUUGUCAUUCGUCUCAUGGGUUACUUCUUGUUCUUGUCUAUGUGGAUGAUAUAAUCGUCAUUGGGAGCCACUCUCCUCAGGUUACUCACCUUAUCCAACAGUUGCAUCAUUAGCUUUCUUUAAAGGAUCUUGGUCCUUUACAUUAUUUUCUGGGCUUGGAGGUUCAUCACACCCCUACUGGUAUUCACCUCAGCCAAGCAAAGUAUAUCACUGAUCUCCUUACCCGGGCGGCUAUGUUGGAUGCCAAGCCAUGUCCCACUCCUAUGUCCUCCAACACAUAUCUCUCUUUUCAUGAUGGAGUGGCUCUUGAAAAUGGUUCAGAUUAUCGAAGUUUUGUUGGUGCCCUUUAGUAUUGUACCAUGACACGCCCAGAUAUAGCUUUUGCAAUAAAUAAAGUGUGUCAAUUCAUGCACCAUCCCUCUAAUGUUCACUGGCAGGCUAUAAAACGUAUUCUCCGGUACUUAAAGGGCACAUCUCAUUUUGGUCUCUUCCUACAGCCUUCCUAUGACUUCAACAUCACUUGCUAUACAAAUGCCGACUGGGCUUCCUGUCCUGAUGACAAGUGUAGCACCAGUGGCUACUGCCUCUUUCUUGCCUCUAAUCUGGUUUCUUGGUCAUCUUCCAAACAAAAAGUGGUCUCCCGCUCCAGCGCCGAAUCAGAGUACCGAGGGGUAGCAAAUGGGGCUGCUGAAAUUGCUUGGACUGAAUCUCUUCUUUGUGAACUUUCCAUUACUCCCCCUCCCCUCAUUCUCUGUGACAAUAUCAGUGCCACGUACUUAGCUGCCAAUCCUAUUUUGCAUGCCCGCACCAAACAUGUGGAAAUCGACUAUCACUUUGUCACGGAACGUGUUCUUCAAUGCUCUCUUUUUGUCCAGUUUACACCUUCUGAUGAUCAACUUGCUGAUUGCAUGACCAAGCCUCUCUCCACCCAACGUUUCAUCACUCUACGCUCCAAGCUCACUGUUCUCACUAGACCAAUGAGCUUGAGGGGGGAUGUUAAGCCUAAAGAUGUAAUUAGUUAGGAUAUUCUUUUCCCUCUAGUCUUGUAGCUCCACGUGUACAGUUGGUUAGGACCUCAUUGUAUAUAAUGCCUGCCCUGUUAUUGUAGAAGACAACAGAGAUAAAUAAUAUUAACAUUUUUCCUCUCAUCUCUCUCUCUGUUUCCCUCUGUUUUCAUCUCCUCUCUCAUCUGAACCAAAUGAUCCAUGUUAACCUUGGCUUGGUUUGAUUUGGCUCUAUCUUAGAGAGCUCAAGGAUCACGUCAACUCUGGUUUCUACUAUUCAGGUCCAUUCCCAUAUGAACUGGUUCAAAUUUGAGAAAAUGGUAACAGACCUUUAGUGAUGUUGGUUUGGAGCCAGUUGCCAAACCCGCCCUGAGCUUUACCACUAAUGUCAAGGGAGAAAGCCAUUUGAACAAAAACAAUAGCUUCAAGGGACUGAAUCGUGGAUGAAAUCUGAUCCACAUUUCUUCUCAUUUUGGAAACAAAUGAGAACUUAACUAAGAAGAUUCUACGGCCUCAUAGUGCUUUUCCUGAUCUAAGGUUGGUUCGUUUCCCAAACUGUGAGAUGCACGUGCCAGACUUCAGAACUCUCACGCUCAGGAGUGUAUCCACGUGGUGGACAUAAGAUGGUGGCUUAAGAUCUGGUGUCGGUGGCUUUACUUUACUAGGAGAGUAGUGUGUCUUCAUCUCAUUCACUGCCGGAGGGUGGCGUAAGCAGUGACGCUAAGGUGGGGCACAGUCAAUAUCAUUUGCAUUUGACCAUUAUAGUUUUCUCCCGGCUUUAAAGUAACCUUAUCGUGAUAAAGGAUUACUAGCACUAGUUCAGAUGAUAGUCAUGUUAAAUUCGGACCAUGUUUGUGUCACAUUAUCAGCAACCAUGUGUUUAUGGUUCAUGCUUUCUGCAACUAAAAUUGAUAUAUAACCAGGUGAACUUCAAUCUAAAUUCUGAAAGUACUCAUGUGAUAGAUGGUGCCCGUCUGCAGAGUCCAUCAAUUGAAAAAUGGAGUGAGUGUAUCUAUAAGAGGGAAGGCUUGGAAAAUGUUCAGUUUUCUGGGAAUUCAACAAGGAUCUAAAAUAGAUUGUUUUCUUUGCUGAUUUCAAUGGUUGAAAUUUGAGAAGAUUGUGUCCACAUAACACAACUAUUACUGGUCCUUCUGUUGCAAUUUAUCCUCUAAAGCUCUAGCAUGUCUUCCAAUUCCCACUUCCCUGUUACUCCAGGAAAGCUAUUUCUGUCAUUGUGAAGAAGAAAAGAGAAUGUACAUAUCGAUGCUUUUAAGUGACUGGAGCAUUUAUAUCAGGUGGUCUGCAGCCAUAUAUGCCACUUUGUGAAGAUUGGAACAGUCAAUCACUAGGCUAUAUAUUAGUGUGGCCCAGCCACUUUAAUCAAGGACAAGUCUUCAUACUUAAAGUCAAAUUCUGCCUUUAGUCUCAUUAUAAAUUUCUGUUUAAAUAUUAAGCAAACAUUUGUUUAAUGCGAUUAAGACAGUACUAACUCAAUACCUGUUCUAUUUUUGGAUGCAAAUGCUUGAUGGUUUCAUCAUUGGAUGGGAUAAAGGUGCAUUCAUGAUUAGGAAUACUAGUAGUUAUAUUUUAAUUCUCUUUUUUCUCAAUGAGACUUGUUGGCACAAUUUUGCUGUUGAGAAACCUACCUCUCCAUGGAAAAUAAGUUGUGAUUGAUAGUACUGGAUAUAUUCAAGAAAUCUAAAUAUAGAUAGCACAAAAUAUUAUCGACAUAAAUAGCAUUAACAGCGUACGUAUGUCUCAGUGCUCAUCAGCUAUAAGCAUGGGGCAAACACUUACUAUGAGCAACUUACGUCAAAAUUCCAGAAUAGGACAUAGAAGUGACAGAUAUAGAACAUUGCAUAUGAGUCACAAGAAAGGAAAUUACGGGUGCAUAGCAGCUCUUAUUUUACAUACUACUACUCAUACUGAUCAAAGUCACUCAGUUGGGAUGGGUGGGAGUAGGAGGUUUGUGGGGUGGCUUGUGCGGAGGAGUUGGCAGCUUCUUUCCAGGACCUGGUUGCUUCUCUGCUGGAGUUGAAGGAGGCUUAAUCUUCCGAGGUGGCUUGUAUGAGUCUUCAGCAUUCUCAGCUGGAGGGUGACCAGGGUUGUGACCAUAAUGUGGUGGCUUCUCUCCCUUAGGUGGUUUGCCAACUGGGGUUGGUGGCUUGUAUGAGUCUUCAGCAUUCUCAGCAGGAGGGUGACCAGGGUUGUGACCAUAAUGUGGUGGCUUCUCUCCCUUAGGUGGUUUGCCAACUGGGGUUGGUGGCUUGUGUUCUGGGAGUGGCUUCUCCCCCUUGGGAGGUUUUUCCAAUGGGGUUGGUUUGUGUUCAGGAGGUGGCUUCUCCACUGGAGGCUUGUGUUCAGGAGGUGGCUUCUCCACCGGAGGCUUGUGUUCAGGUGGUGGCUUCUCCACCGGAGGCUUAUGCUCUGGUGGUGGCUUCUCGAAUGGGGGAUGCUUAGGAUAAUCAGCAAGUGAGGGGGCGGUGAGAACCACCAGGCCAAGCAACACCACUAGCAAAUAUGUAGGAGACAUCUUUGGGUUUGGGCUCAGAUGGUGCAAAACUAGGAGAAUUGGCUAGCCUUUUAUAGCGGAUCGUACCCAAUAAUGAAAUGACACGUGUCAUUAUGACCCAUGUGUAAUGGGGUCGAUUUGGGUCCUACAGUGUUGAAAACUUCGACAUCCACUUUUGGCCUUUUGCUUUCUCUACAGCCGCCUUGCUUUUUCCCUCUUUCCUUUUGUUUUCCUCCUGCCCCAUUCUAUCAACUAAACACAAUUAUGUAGUUGUUUAAUUCUUAAAUGAGAUAUUAUCCGUCAAUCGUAUUAUAUUUUAUCAAGAGAGAACGGAGUGCAAUGUGGCUGUAAUUUUAUCGUUUAGUUUUAUCUCUUGGACCACUGCAUUUUUGUUAAGAGGUGCAAUAAUACACGUCUUUAUCUGCCAUUCAAUAUUUACAGUAAAGAGAGGGCACAAAACUCUUCACUUCGCACCAUAAUUAUUUUGUUUUCUGGACACCCCGGGGCCCUUUGGUUGGUUUGGGGGUCAGAAAGUGAACAUCAUAGGGGGUUUUUCCCUUAUGUGCAUUUGUAUCUGAUGGCUUUAACUCGCCUUGUUACUACAAAGAAACUGUCACAGAUAGGAACUUAUUCCAGGCUGAGUAUCUCCUCAUAGACCCUAUAAAAGAAGACAAGUCAUAAUGAACAUCUAACCUUUGUUCAAUUUGAUUCAAUGCCCCCAUUGUGUCCAUCUCACAAAUCUGAAUUAUUAUAUCCAUUGAAUACAUAAAUUAAUGAAGAAAAUAUGAAACCCAAGAUACAUCUCUGCACAACCUCAACCCUGGUUGCUAUGUUUCCCUUCUAUUCACAUGAUUUGAUGCUAAUUGCCAAACUUGCAACAAGCCCUGAGUUUGACACCUAGUAUCGAUGGGCGAAUUUAAAGUCUCCUCCAAACAUAUAUUCCACAGCUUGAAGCUCACAGAAGAUGUUACAGGCAGGGAAAAACCUUCAGAGUUCGCUACCAAAGAUAAUUAUUAAGGAGAUAUCACAAAGAGAAUUCCAAGGGGUCUGAAUCAAAGACAAAUUGGUCGUUCGUGGGGGUUCUUACUUUCUUUUGGGUAUAACUCACUGAGGGCACUGUCUUUGUUAUUUGCAUUUCACAUUUAGAGUUCUGUUCUGGAAACAUAUAAAAGGAGCAUCAUUUUGUUCUUGGGUAACCCAUAGUCGUGAGUGGGUCCAUUUGCAUGCUACUUAGUUGAAAAGUUGGACCAUUUGCUCCGACGCCUACCUCCCGGAUUCCAUGCUCGGAUAAAACAAGAAUAAAAAAAAUAUUUAUAAUUUACAAAUGGGGGAAAGAAAAAAAUGUCAACAACAAACCAGGAAAAAAGAGUAGUAAAAUUCAUGUCACAUGCUAGUGAGAGAAGGGGUUGUUACACUCACUCGAAGUUCUUUCCAAAAUAUCGCAUGGUAUUUUAUUUUAUGUGUCAGCGCAGUUGUGAAUGGAACGUGCAAAAGUCCAAAUUGGCGUUUUUCCUUUUCCCGUGUAGGAUGGCGACCUUUAAUAAAUAUUUAAAACAAAAAACGAAAAAAAGGAGGGAAAAGGGAUCAGAAAAGAUAAAACAAUGUGUACAAGAGCUCAAUUAGUUUGCAAAUUACUGUUUGGAUUUUGAUAGUAUUUUAUUUGUCCAUCUAUAUUUGAUGGAAAAGAGAAUUUAAGAUAUUUCUGAAACAAAAGCAUUAGUGUAAAACUAAAUUAAGGUAUAAUUAAGUUAGUUCAAUGCAUUAAUUUAAGAAACUUGAUCUAUCCAAAGUACAAAAUUAGAUGAAAUCCAUUUCAAUGGUUAAAAUGAUCAAAAUCAAACUUUUUCUAAGUAUUUUUUAAAAGCAUCAAUAUUAAAAGACAAUUUUAUAUUUAGUCGGAGUUUGGACAAAACCAAAAAGCACACAAAAUCCAAGCGACCAUCUCUAGCUUGGAUAGUCACUUGAUCCCACCUAGAGAUGUGCAUGAGUAAAAGGAUUUGAAAAUGGAAAUUGACUAAAUAUUUAGUUGAUCAAUUAAAUUUGCAAUGUCAUAUGCAAUCCUAAUAGCUAGUCAUCUAAUCAAUUAGGUAGUCAAUCAAGUGUUUGUAAUGACUAUUUUGUACAAAAAACCACAUGUAUAGUUAAAUAUAAUGCAUUUCAUUUAUAAAUCUUCUAAUUCUUGAAUAACGAUCCUAUCAUCCUUUGAAAAUUUUUAUUACACCUUUUUUACUUUUGUUCUAAAACUUACAUAUCACCCUUAAUUGUACCAUGAGAACCUAGCUAUUUUUUUUUUUUUUGUAAUUCAUCAAAGUUAGCUUUUGUAUUCAUUGUUGUAUUAUUUUUAGUAUAACUUAGAAAGCUAGUGUUUUCAAGUGAGUAAAAUUAACUUGUAAAUAUUGUAAAGAUUCAUUGAUAUGUAUCUUAAACUAAGUGUACAAAUUAAAACAUUUGCUAGUAGAUUUUCUCAAAAUUUAGAAUAGAGCUUGAGGCUAUUGAAAUAGGUGGGGUUACACCAAACCACAUCACAUCGUUGUUUGCACCUUUUUUCACUCUCUUUUACUUAGUUUCUCUAUAUUUGUUGUCUAGUAAUAUCCUAUAGGCUUGAUGGGUUAGGGAGCAUCCCUUUGUGAAAAAAUUUCAUUCAAUUCUUAGUUGUAUUACGCAUAUAUAAAAUGCCUCAUUGUUUUAAUGGUAUUCAGUCGUGGCAUCACAGAUAUGGGCAUCUAAAUUUUAAAAGUUUGAAACUUUUGUAAAGCAUGUUGAUAAAAUCCAUGAGAGUUGUGUACUUGGGAAGCAACAUCGAGGUGACUUUAUUUUUUUUUCCUUUUAUAAUGCCACACCUAAGUCCGGUUUCUAAAUGCUAAAGUGAAAGGGUAGGUAUGGACCAUUGAAAUGUGAUCACAACUUUUGGCCUUUUCCUUUCUCUGCAGCCAUGUUGUCUCUUUUUUCUUUUGCAUGAUUUUCUUACCAAAACAGAAUCAUAGACUUGUUUAGUCUCUAAGCUACUAUAUUAUAUCUCGGUGGACUUUUAAGAGUGCAACCGACAUAGAGCACAUGCAAGUGGGCAUAUGGGACAUGAAAUUUCUUCUUACAAAGAUUGCAUGAUUUUUAUAUUAGAGUUGUUCACGUGCAAUGUAUUUAGCUUGUUUUGCAGUUAAAUUAAUUGGAUAAGUAAACAUUGGCAUUUCUAAAUCGACUGUGAAGUGCUUCAUGUACGUGUAAAGUAUUAGAAAUUUCUUUCUUGGCAACUUGUUUUUUCCUUGCCAUCUACUGGUAGGUUUGACUAAAAUUAUAUUCCCUGUCAUGCUAAUUAAUUUUCAUGUGCAUGCUCAAAAGAAGAGUAUGACCUUAGUGCACCAAAAUCACUUUGAUUAAUUUGUGAUAGGUUUUUUUGCAUCAUUUAGAUAAUGUUUAGUUCUAAGAAAAAUUUAUAUAAAAAUGGUUUAUUUAUCUUACAUAUAUAUAUAUAUAUAUAUAUUUUUUUUUUUUUCAUUUUUUUUUCUUCUAUUUUAUUUAUUUAUUUUAUUUUCCUUAUGUUUUCCUCACAUUUUCCGGAACUAAACAUAGUCUUACGAAAUCAACAAUUGCCUUCAACUGAGUAGAUUCUGUUGUUUUAGCAAUGUUAGGCUGCUAACUUGUGGUGGUACGAACCAAAUGACCCAUGUUAAUCUUGGCUUGGUUUGAUUUGGCUCUAUCUCAGAGAGCUAAAGGAUCACGUCAACUCUGGUUUCUACUAUUCAGGUCCAUUCCCAGAUGAACUGGUUCAAAUUUGAGAAAAUGGUAACAGACCUUUAGUGAUGUUGGUUUGGAGCCAGUUGCCAAACCCGCCCUGAGCUUUACCACUAAUGUCAAGGGAGAAAGCCAUUUGAACAAAAACAAUAGCUUCAAGAGACUGAAUCGUGGAUGAAAUCUGAUCCACAUUUCUUCUCAUUUUGGGAAAAAAUGAGAACUUAACUACAAAGAUUCUACUGCCUCAUUCAUAGUGCUUUUCCUGAUCCAAGGUUGGUUCGUUUCCCAAAUUGUGAGGUGCACGUGCCACUCUCACGCUCAGGAGUGUAUCCACGUGGUGGACAUCAGAUGGUGGCUUAAUAUCUGGUGUCGGUGGCUUUACUUUACUAGGAGAGUAGUGUGUCUUCAUCUCAUUCACUGCCGGAGGGUGGCGUAAGCAGUGACGCUAAGGUGGGGCACAGUCAAUAUCAUUUGCAUUUGACCAUUAUAGUUUUCUCCCGGCUUGAAAGUAACCUUAUCGUGAUAAAGGAUUACUAGCACUAGUUCAGAUGACCGUCAUGUUAAUUCGGACCAUGUUUGUGUCACAUUAUCAGCAACCAUGUGUUUAUGGUUCAUGCUAUCUGCAACUAAACUUGAUAUAUAACCAGGUGAACUUCAAUCAAAAUUCUGGAAGUACUCUUGUGAUAGAUGGUGCCUGUCUGCAGAGUCCAUCAAUUGAAAAAUGGAGUGAGUGUAUCUAUAAGAGGGAAGGCUUGGCAAAUGUUCAGUUUUCUGGGAAUUCAACAAGGAUCUAAAAUAGAUUGUUUUCUUUGCCGACUUCAAUGGUUGAAAUUUGAGAAGAUUGUGUCCACAUAUCACAACUAUUACUGGUCCUUCUGUUGCAAUUUAUCCUGUAAGGCUCUAACAUGUCUUCCAAUUCCCACUUCCCUGUUACUCCAGGAAAGCUAUUUCUGUCAUUGUGAAGAAGAAAAGAGAAUGUACAUAUCGAUGCUUUUAAGUGACUGGAGCAUUCAUAUCAGGUGGUCUGCAGCCAUAUAUGCCACUUUGUGAAGGUUGGAACAGUCAAUCACUAGGCUAUAUAUUGGUGUGGCCCAGCCACUUCAAUCAAGGACAAGUCUUCAUACUUAAAGUCAAAUUCUGCCUUUAGUCUCAUUAUAAAUUGCUGUUUAAAUAUUAAGCAAACUUUUGUUUAAUGCGAUUAAGACAGUACUAACUCAAUACUUGUUCUAUUUUUGGAUGCAAAUGCUUGAUGGUUUCAUCAUUGGAUGGGAUAAAGGUGCAUUCAUGAUUAUGAAUACUUGUAGUUAUAUUUUCAUUCUCUUUUUUCUCAAUGAGACUUGUUGGCACAAUGUUGCUGUUCAGAAACCUACCUCUCCAUGGAAAAUAAGUUGCGAUUGAUAGUACUGGAUAUGUUCAAGAAAGCUAAAUAUAGAUAGCACAAAAUAUUAUCGAUAUAAAUAGCAUUAACAGCGUACGUAUGUCUCAAUGCUCAUCAGCUAUAAGCAUGGGACAAACACUUACUAUGAGCAACUUACGUCAAAAUUCCAGAAUAGGACAUAGAAGUGACAGAUCUAUAUAUAUAGAACACUGCAUAUGAGUCACAAGAAAGGAAAUUACGGGUGCAUAGCAGCUCUUAUUUUACAUACUACUACUCAUACUGAUCAAAGUCACUCAGUUGGGAUGGGUGGGAGUAGGAGGUUUGUGGGGUGGCUUGUGCGGAGGAGUUGGCAGCUUCUUUCCAGGACCUGGUUGCUUCUCUGCUGGAGUUGAAGGAGGCUUAAUCUUCCGAGGUGGCUUGUAUGAGUCUUCAGCAUUCUCAGCUGGAGGGUGACCAGGGUUGUGACCAUAAUGUGGUGGCUUCUCUCCCUUAGGUGGUUUGCCAACUGGGGUUGGUGGCUUGUAUGAGUCUUCAGCAUUCUCAGCAGGAGGGUGACCAGGGUUGUGACCAUAAUGUGGUGGCUUCUCUCCCUUAGGUGGUUUGCCAACUGGGGUUGGUGGCUUGUGUUCUGGGAGUGGCUUCUCCCCCUUGGGAGGUUUUUCCAAUGGGGUUGGUUUGUGUUCAGGAGGUGGCUUCUCCACUGGAGGCUUGUGUUCAGGAGGUGGCUUCUCCACCGGUGGCUUGUGUUCAGGAGGUGGCUUCUCCACCGGAGGCUUAUGCUCUGGUGGUGGCUUCUCCACCGGAGGCUUAUGCUCUGGUGGUGGCUUCUUGAAUGGGGGAUGCUGAGGGUAAUCAGCAAGUGAGGGGGCGGUGAGAACCACCAGGCCAAGCAACACCACUAGCAAAUAUGUAGGAGACAUCUUUGGGUUUGGGCUCAGAUGGUGCAAAACUAGGAGAAUUGGCUAGCCUUUUAUAGCGGAUCGUACUCAAUAAUGAAAUGACACGUGUCAUUAUGACCCAUGUGUAAUGGGGUCGAUUUGGGUCCUACAGUGUUGAAAACUUCGACAUCCAGUUUUGGCCUUUUGCUUUCUCUACAGCCGCCUUGCUUUUUCCCUCUUUCCUUUUGUUUUCCUCCUGCCCCAUUCUAUCAACUAAACACAAUUAUGUAGUUGUUUAAUUCUUAAAUGAGAUAUUAUCGGUCAAUCGUAUUAUAUUUUAUCAAGAGAGAACGGAGUGCAAUGCAGCUGUAAUUUUAUCGUUUACUUUUAUCUCUUGGACCACUGCAUUUUUGUUAAGAGGUGCAAUAAUACACGUCUUUAUCUGCCAUUCAAUGUUUACAGUAAAGAGAGGGCACAAAACUCUUCACUGCUCUGCAUGUGUCCCAAAAAUGCGAUUGGACAAAUUAUGAUUUGCAUGCUAAAAAGAGGCAAAUGAGGUUAAUUCGCACCAUAAUUAUUUGGUUUUCUGGACACCAUAAAAAGAUGUUAUACAGGCAGGGAAAAACCUUCAGAGUUAGCUACCAAAGAUAAUUAUCAAGCAGAUAUCACCAAGAGAAUUCCAUAGAGUCUGAAUCAAAGACAGAUUGCUCGCUCGUGGGGGUUCUUACUUUCUUUUGGGUAUAACUCACUGAGGUCACUGUCUUUUUUAUUUGCAUUUCACAGUUAGAGUUCUGCUCUGGAAGGUUUGUUCUGGAAACAUAUAAAAGGAGCAUCAUUUUGUUCUUGGGUAACCCAUAGUCGUGAGUGGGUCCAUUUGCAUGCUACUUAGUUGAAAAGUUGGACAAUUUGCUCCGACGCCUACCUCCUGGAUUCCAUGCUCGGUAAAACAAGAAUAAAAAAAAAUAUAUAAUUUACAAAUGGGGGAAAGAAAAAAUGUCGGAAAAAAUAGUAAAAUUCAUGUCACAUGCUAGUGAGAGAAGGGGUUGUUACACUCACUCGAAGUUCUUUUCAAAAUAUCGAAUGGUAUUUUACUUUAUGUGUCAGCGCAGUUGUGAAUGGAACGUGCAAAAGUCCAAAUUGGCGUUUUUAUUUUUCCCAUGUAGGAUGGUGACCUUUAAUAAAUAUUUAAAACAAAAGACGAAAAAAAAAAGGAGGGAAAAGGGAUCACAAAAGAUAAAAUAAUGUUUACAAAAGCUCAAUUAGUUUGCAAAUUACUGUUUGGAUUUUGAUAGUAUUUUAUUUGUCGUUCUAUAUUUGAUGUAAAAGAGAAUUUAAGAUAUUUCCGAAGCAAAAGCAUUAGUUUGCUCUGUGAUGUCCCACAUCGAAUAGGGGAGAAAGUUUCUGGCGCUAUAUAUGUAGAGGCUCCUCUUAACCAAGUAGAUGCGUUUUAAAACCAUGAGGGCCCCCUUAGGUCCAAAGCGGACAAUAUCUACAUGAUUGGGUGUAAGUCAUUACAAAUGGUAUCAGAGCCGAUCCCCGACCCCGGUGUGGGGGUUUGUUUGGCCCUGUAAGGGGUGUUUGUCUGUUUGACCCCACAAUCCCAUGGGACACAACGAGGACGUUGUGUCUGCAUGGGGGGGCGUUUGUGAUGUCCCACAUCGGAUAGGGGAGAAAGUUCCUAGUGCUAUAUAUGUAGAUGUUUCUCUUAACCAAGUAGAUGCAUUUUAAAAUUGUGAGGGCCUCUUUGGGCCCAAAGCGGACAAUAUCUACAUGGUUGAGUGUAAGUCAUUACAUGCUCCAUGUCAAUUUCAGCAUUUCUCAUAUGUUUCACACAUACACAGAAGAGCAUCGUUUUUUAAAGCAUGCAUUUAUGUUGGAUUAAUUUGGAUUUUGUGGGAACUGGGGCAAGGAUCACAUGGAAGAGAGGUUGACUUUUUUCAGUACUUCAAUGGUUGAAAUAUGUGAAGGCUUGAUUGAUACUAAAGCUUGAAAUUGCGACUCUGUCAUUUGUAAAAAAAUAUGACAGCUUCCAUGCUCUCGUUUGGUUGCAUUGUCCGGUCGAGAGGUGCAAAAAGCAUUCUCUCUCUUCUAAUAGUCUUUUCGUUUAAAUCAAGGGAUUUGCCUUCCCGGUCGAGGUCCAAUAGAGGGUAACGGUCACCUACUAAACAUUAAAUGCUCCAACAACUAGUGAACUGAUCGACCCCAGCUCGACUAGUUGAGGUUACUUUUUGGUUUUCUUGUCUCCCGAGGUUAGAAACCUAUAAAUAGAGAGCUUCACUUCAUUUAUGAGUAAGAGAACACCUAAAUUUAUUUGUUUACCUACUUGUUUUUGCCAUAAAAGCUCUCAUUUCUUUUCUUGGUGUAUUAAAUCUCCAUUUGCAUAUCCUUUAGUGCACCUUUGUGAUUCAUUCUAGCCUUGAGUUGUAUUUAAGCCUUUGUUGAGCUAGGUUGAGAGUUUCAUACUUGUUUAUUGAGUGUUAAAGCCUUCAAGUGAGUUAAAACUUGAAGAGAUUGUGUAAGAGCCCAUUGGAGUCGGAAUCCAAGUGUAAAGGUGAUUAAAAGCUUGGUUGAAGCUUCAAGUUAGUGGAACUCUCACUCGGUUAUGAGCUUGAGAAGAGUGGACAUAGACAAGGCAGUGUCGAACCACUAUAAAAUCUGAGUUUGAUUUCUCUAACCUUAUCUCUUUAUAUUUGCUUCUCUUGUGCUUAAAUUUUUUGUGUUUAAAAAGAAUUUUUAAAAACUCAAUUCACCCCCUUCUUGGGAGUUUUUCUCUUUUAAGAUCAGCUUUUAUUUUCUCAAUUGGUAUCAGAACUAUGCCUCUUGUUUAAGACUUAAUCGUCUAAGAGGAAAUGGCUAAUCCAUCAAGUUCAUCUCACAUUGAAAGUUUUGCAACCAAUAGACUUCUUUUUUUUUUUUUGCGGGAACUGAUUAUCCCUAUUGGAAAACUAAAAUGACUUGGUUUUUACAAUCAAUUGAUUUAGAUGUAUGAGAUGCCAUUGAAGAUGACCUAACUUUUCCUUCAAAACUAGUUGAUGGAGUCAUGGUUCCAAAACCUAAGCAAGAAUGGGAUGAGCGUGAUUGAAGAAAUUUUCAAUUAAAUGCUAAAGUCGUUUAUACUUUGCAAUGCUCUAUGGACAGAAAUGAAUAUAAUAGAAUAUGUCAAUGCAAAUCGGUUAAAGAAAUUUGGAGAUUGCUUGAAAUAACUCAUAAAGGAACAAAUCAAGUUAAAGAGUCAAAAAUCAAUUUACUUGUUCAUAGAUAUGAAUUGUUUUUUAUGAAAGAUAAUGAAACUAUUGUUAAGAUGAUCACUAGGUUCACCAACAUUGUUAAUGGUCUUAAAGCCUUGGGAAAGACCUACAAGGAAUCCGAAAACGUGAUGAAGAUCUUGAGGUCACUUCCAUCAAAGUGGCAUACCAAGGUCACCGCAAUUUAAGAAGCAAAAGACUUGAUCAAGCUACCUUUGGAGGAGUUCAUAGGGUCAUUGAUGACAUAUGAAAUCAAUUUGGCAAAGAAGUAACAAAAAGGUGAAGACAAAAAGAAGAAGAACAUAACUCUCAAAGCUACAACUAAGGAAGAAGAAGUUGAAGAAGAAAAACAAAUUGAAGAAGAUGAAGAUUUAGCCCUCAUCACAAGAAAGUUCAACAAAUUCAUGAGGGGUGAAAGGUUUAGAAGAAGAAGGUUCACUUCUAGAAGAGACUUUUCUAAAAAGGAAUCUUCAUCUAAUGGUGACAAAAAGAGAUGGGAAGAGAAAAGAGACUUGGUGUGUUUCAAGUGCAAGAAACCGGGACACAUUAAAUAUGAUUGUCCUCUCUACAAAAGUGAAGUCAAGAGGAAAAAGAAUAAGGCAAUGAUGGCCACUUAGAGUGAAAGUGAAGAUGAAUCAUCCGAAGAAGAAAAUGAGAAAGAAGUGGCAAACAUGUGUUUCAUGGCAAUAGAUGAACUUGAUGAGGUAAAAUCUAACCUUAGUGAUUAAGAUAUACAUGAUGCAUUUGAAGAAUUGUAUGAGGAUUUUUAAAAACUUAGUUUGAAAAAUAUUUCUCUUAAAAAGAAAGUUCAACAACUUGACAAAGAACUUAGAGAAGUAAAAGAAAAAUUUUCAAAUGUUAAAGUUUCUAAAACUCAUCUUGAAAAAGAAAAUGAGAUUCUAAGAAAGAAAAAUGAAUAGUUGAACUCCUCUCUUUCAAUCUUUUCUUCUAGACAAAAAUCUUUUGAAAUGAUUCUAACUAGCUAAAAAUGUGUUUUUGACAAACAAGGGUUAAGAUUUAAAUCUUCAAAAAAUCAAAAGUAUUUUAAAAACUAUUUUGUAAAGGAAUCCACAAGUGCAAGUCCUUCCACUACUUGCAACUUUUGUGGAAGAGAAUGGCACAUUAGUAGUACGCCCUUUAAGAAAUGGUUCUCAAAAGAAUUUAAAUGCAAAAACUAAAAAAGAUUUGGAUUGAGAAAUCCAAGGUCACUAACCCUCAAGGACCCAAAAAGAUAUAGGUACCUAAAUCAACUUGAGUUUUAUGUUGUAAGGUUCAAAGAAUGAUAAGUGGUUCUUAGAUAAUGGUUGCUCAAGACACAUGACCGGAGAUGAAUCCAAGUUUGCUUUUCUUAAAAAGAAAAAUGGAGGAUAUGUUACCUUUGGAGACAAUGCAAAAGAAAGGAUGAUUGGUCAAGGCAACAUUGGUAAUGGCACAUCCUCUCUCAUUGAAAGUGUUUUAUUAGUAGAUGGUUUCAAACAUAACCUUUUAAGCAUUAGUCAAUUUUGCGACAAAGGUUUUUAAGUGAUUUUUUAAGCAUCUCAUUGCAUCAUCAAGGAUAUUCAAAAUGAUAAAACCAUUUUCAUGGGCCAUAGAUGUGAUAAUGUUUAUGCUAUAAAUAUUUCAAAAUAUGAUGGCCAUGAUAGAUGUUUUUCAAGCAUGCAUGAUCAAAGUUGGUUGUGCCAUAGGAGAUUGAGACAUGCUAACAUAGACCUCAUUUCCCAACUCAACAAAGAUGAACUUGUUAGAGGCCUUCCCAAAAUAAUUUUUUAAAAAGAUAAAGUUUGUGAAGCUUGUCAAGUGGGAAAGUAAAUCAAAAACUCUUUUAAAAACAAAAACUUCAUUUCCACAUCUAGGCCACUUGAGUUGUUGCAUAUGGAUUUAUUUGGUCCCUCUAGGACACCAAGUCUUAGAGGAAAUUCUUAUGCAUAUGCUAUUGUGGACGACUUCUCUAGAUACACAUGAGUCUUGUUUUUUAGUCAAAAGAAUAAAGUUUUUUAUGAGUUUUCAAAGUUUUGCAAUAAGAUUCAAAAUGAAAAAGGUUUUUCAAUUACUUAUAUAAGAAGUGAUCAUGGGAGAGAAUUCGAAAAUAUUGAUUUUGAAGAGUAUUGCAAUGAGCAUGGAAUUGACCACAAUUUUUUGGCUCUUAGAACUCCUCAACAAAAUGGGGUAGUUGAAAGGAAAAAUAGAACUCUUCAAAAAAUGACAAGAACCAUACUAAAUGAAAACAACUUACCAAAAUAUUUUUAGGCCAAAACGGUUAACACUUCUUGUUAUGUUUUAAAUAGAGUAUUAUUGAGGCUCAUACUUAAGAAAACUCCCUAUGAGCUUUGGAAAAACAAAAAACCCAACAUUAGUUAUUCCAAAGUCUUUGGAUGCAAUAUUUUAUAAUAAACACCAAAGACAAUCUUGGAAAAUUUGAUGCAAAAUUGGAUGUUGGAAUUUUCCUUGGUUACUCAACUUCAAGUAAAGCUUUUCGAGUUUUAACAAAAGAACCAUGGUUGUAGAGGAGUCCAUCCAUGUUAUUUUUUAUGAAUCUCCAAGAAAGAGAGAGGAUUGAUGAUGAUUUAGGUUUGAAGACCUCUAUAGGAAGAUUGCAAAUCGAAGAUAGAAGACAACAAGAAGAAAAUGGAGAGAAUCCAAAGAAAGAAGGAUCACCAUUGGCACUACCCCCUCAUCAACAAGCGCAAGGUGAAUCAAGUCAAGAGCUUCCUAAAGAAUGGAAGUUUGUCAUCAAUCACCCACAAGAUCAAAUUAUAGGCAAUCCAUCUAGUGGGGUAAGAACUAGAUCCUCUCUUAGAAAUAUUUGCAAUAAUCUAGCUUUUAUCUCUCAAAUUGAGCCUAAAAAUAUAAAUGAUGUUUUAGAUGAUGAAAAUUGGAUAAUUGCAAUGCAAGAAGAGUUAAAUCCAUUUGAAAGAAGUGGAGUAUGGGAAUUAGUACCAAGACCUUCAAAUCAAAGUGUUAUUGGAACUAGAUGGAUCUUUAGAAAUAAAAUGGAUGAAAAUAGCAUAAUUGUUAGAAAUAAAGCAAGAUUGGUAGCCCAAGGUUUUAAUCAAGAAGAAAUGAUAGAUUAUGAAGAAACCUUUGCCCCCGUAGCUAGGUUGGAAGCCAUUAGGAUGCUACUUGCCUUUGCAUGUUUUAAAGACUUUGUUUUAUAUCAAAUGGAUGUGAAAAGUGCUUUUUUAAAUGGUUUUAUAAAUGAAGAAGUAUAUGUUGAACAACCACCCGGUUUUCAAAGUUUCAACUUUCCUAACCAUGUUUUUAAACUUAAAAAGACACUUUAUGGUUUGAAACAAGCACCUAGAUCAUGGUAUGAAAAAUUGAGUAAAUUUCUUUUGAAAAAAAUGUUUUAAAAUGGGAAAAAUUGACACAACUCUUUUUAUAAAAACCAAAGAAAAUGAUAUGCUCUUAGUUCAAAUAUAUAUUGAUGAUAUCAUUUUUGGUGCUACUAAUGUCUCUCUUUAUGAAGAAUUUUCUAAGUGCAUGCAUAGUGAGUUUGAAAUGAGCAUGAUAGGAGAACUCAACUUCUUCCUUGGACUUCAAAUCAAGCAACUAAAGGAAUGAACCUUCAUCAAUCAAGCAAAGUAUAUAAGAGAUCUUCUCAAAAGGUUCAACAUGGAAGAAGCCAAAACAAUGAAGACUCUAAUGAGCUCAUCCAUUAAGCUUGAUAAGGAUGAGAAAGGUAAAUCCAUUGACUCUAUUAUGUAUAGAGGCAUGAUAGGUUCUUUGCUCUAUUUGACCACUAGUAGACCUUACAUUAUGUAUAGUGUGUGUUUGUGUACUAGAUUUCAAUCUUGUCUUAAAAAAUCUCACUUAAGUGUCGUGAAAAGAAUCCUCAAAUAUUUGAAAGGGACAAUGGACAUAGGCUUAUGGUAUCCUAAGAGUGAUAACUUUGAAUUAAUUGGUUUUUUGGAUGCUGAUUUUGUCAGUUGUAGGGUUGAAAAAUAAAACACUAGUGGCACUUUUCAUUUCUUAAGACACUUACUUGUCUCAUGGCAUAAUAAGAAGCAAAAUUUGGUAGCUUUGUCAACAGCAGAAGCUAAAUACAUAGCAACUGGUUUAUGUUGUGCACAAAUCCUUUGGAUGAAAUAAACACUUAGUGAUUUUGAUUUAUCUUUUGAGCAUAUUCCUAUUAAAUGUGAUAAUAGUAGUGCCAUAAGUAUAUCAAAAAAUCUCGUGCAACACUCUAGGACUAAGCAUAUAGAGAUUAGACAUAAUUUUCUUAGAUAUCAUACACAAAAGGAUGAUAUAACACUUGAAUUUGUAAGCAUAAAAGACCAACUUGCCGAUAUCUUUACAAAACCUCUAAGAACAUUUUGUUGAUAUUAGAGGACAAUUAGGAGUGAUUUCUUUAUGAUCUAAUGUGAUGAAUUCUUGAUGAAUAUACUUUUUGAUUGCAUGAAUUUCAUGUCAUAUAUGCAUCAUAUAGAAAUAUACUUAGAUAAUGGUCAAAUUUCGACCAAAAAUCAAAAUUCCCAUGGCAUUAGGCAUAAAAAUUUUGGAAUUUCAACUGAAAAUGGUAGGAGGAGGAUCACAAAAUGAGAAAGUAUGCAAAAAUUGAAAAAUCAAAACGUUGACCAAGCGGUCAAUCGGACUAGACCGAUCGACUAGUUUGUCGAGAUUUAGGAUUUUUAAGAGACUCCAACGCUUCAAUUUUUGCACCGUUCUCCUCUAUUUCUUCACGGUUUCUCUGAUUUUGUCUUUUAGAGACUAAUUUGAGUGCGUUUUGGAUCAAUUGAAGCAUUUUGGAUUGGAUUUUAGGAAGAUUGAAAGUUAAGGUUUCGGAUUUGGGUCGCCUUCUCUUCCUCUCGCGUGUCACAAUCAGCUUUAGCAUUGUUCUCUUUCCAUUUUCACACACCUAGGGUUUCAGUUGUGAGCAUCUCUCUCUCUUUACCAACCACUACUCCCUUGCUUCUUCCAUAUGGCUCCUAGGCGAGAGUCCGCUACUUCUAGGGCACAAGGCAAGCACCCAACUGAGUCGUCUCAGUCAAAGGCACGUCGAAAAGUGAGAUUUGACAUUGCCUUGUUCAGUUCCAUGGAGGACUACCAACUAUACAAGCAACACUUUGCUUAGAGACGAGUAGUUCCCAAGAGAAAUAUUAAUUUUCCUCAACUUCAGCAUUUCGAAUUUAAGGGUCUAUUUACUAGGAUGGUUGGUUGUCUAUUGUCACAAUUUCGGAGCCGGUUUUCCUGACCUUAGUGCGAGUUUUUUACUCGAGGGCGACUUAUGGCAUGGGUGGCAUGAUCAUUUCUACUGUUGGAGGAGUUGAGAUCUGUCUGGACCCAGAGAGCAUCUGCCAUAUUUUCGAUAUUGCUCUGGUUGGACUCAAAGUAUACAAGUCCAAAAUGUGGCCCAUUGUGCCAGGAUUUGAGCUUAGAGAGGUCAUUCAGAGGAUUUGUGAACUUCCAGACGCCCAGGAGAUGGGCAAACCAUUGCCACACAGUUUGACGGUCAUCAACAGGGUGCUACACCAUAUAUUGUGCUCUAUCUUUCUACCACGAAGUGGACAUUGAGAUGAGGUCUCUUAUUAUGAGGCAUUCCUUAUUGACUCCAUUCUAACGGAGAGACGAAUUCAUCUACUAUGUCAUCAUUCACUAAGCCUCCUCACAGUGACAUACCACCUCAUCAGGCACCUCUUGCUCCUGACCAUGCUCCAUUGAUGGAUUUAUUUACUCAUAUUAGCUCUCUAGGCACUCGCAUGAAGGAGUUUGUUGUAGUUAGUGAUACAUGGUUCUACUCCAUAGAGGAUCGCAUGGAUCAGUAUCAGACUGGCUUCACGUCACAGUUUGAGUAUCUCCAAUAGAGGAUUGAGCAUAUUGAGGAUCACUUGAGCAUGAGAAGAUGAUGGCUUUUCUAUGCUCUGUGUUUCCACCUCCACCUCGUCAACCUUGAUUUCUUAGAGACCCAUUGUUUUCAUUUUGUAAUGUUGCCAAAAGGGGGAGAUAUUUAGGAUCUAGGACUCUAUAGGAGACUUACAUGCAUAUCAUUUUCAUAUCAUUGUUUGGAUCGUACAUAUUGGAUAGUGAUACUUUUUACUUAUAUAUGAUAUGCCUAUAUGUUUCAUGUCUUACAUUGUUUCUUAUUGCAAAUUAUCUCUAACAUGUCUUGAUUAUCUUUUUUUUAACUUCAUAAAUUUUGAUUGUUAACCCAUGAUUGGUUUGAGGGGAAGAUUCUUCUUCUCCUAGAUAACCAAGGUUUGUCAUCAUAAAAAAAUUGGAGAUUGUUAGCCCAAGGGUUCUCCUAAUCAUGUUUUGAUGAUAACAAACCAUGCUUAAGUUACUAAUUGGUUUGAAUUAUAAAGAAUUUCAAGUGUUAAUUUGAAAAUUCAUCAAAGAACCUAAUGGAUGCAAGAUCAAGAUUUUUGGAAGACCUUUAAUCAUAAGAAACAUAUGUAAGAUGAAUGCAUGGGUGCACUUAAGAUUUGCAUAUCAUUUCAUGCAUAUUUGGAAAACACGGUUUAUGCUUUAAAGUUACAUUUCCAUCAAAAUUUGAGAUCCAUCAAAUGAACCUUAGGAAAAAUGUUUUAAAAUUGGCAUAUAAUUUUACCUAAAGACCUUGCCUAAGUGUUAGAAGCAAAAGGACAAAAAAAAUAUAGGUUUUCUGGUCAAAAAUGGUGAACCAGUCAAGGCAUUGUCUAAAUCAGCUCAAUCGGCCAAGGUACCGGUCGAUCGGUUUCCCUUUCCCUGUCGAGAUCUAGUCAAGAGGUACAAAAAUCACAAUCUCUGUCUCUUUCUCUCUUUGUCUAUCUUCCAGUAGUCUUUCCUUCCCGGUCGAGGGAUUUGCCUUCCCGAUUGAGGUCCGAUUGAGAGUAAUAGUCACUUGCCAAAUAUUAAAUGCUCCAACAGUUAGUGAACUGGUCGACCCCCACCUUGCCCAGUUGAGGUUACUUUUUGGUUUUCUUGGCUCCCGAUGUUAGAAACCUAUAAAUAGAGAGUUCCACUUCAUUUAUGAGCAAGAGAACACUUGCAUUUAUUUGUUUACCUACUUGUUCUUGCCUUAAAAGCUCUCAUUUCUUUUCUUGGUGCAUUAAAUCUCCAUUUUGAUAUCCUUUAGUGCACCUUUGUGAUUCAUCUUAGCCUUGAGUUGUAUUUGAGCCCUUUUUUUAGCUAGGUUGAGAGUUUCAUACUUGUUAAUUGAGUGUUAAAGCCUUCAAGUGAGUUGAAACUUGUAGAGAUUAUGUGAGAGUCGAUUGGAGCCGAAAUCCAAGUGUAAAGGUGAUUAGAAGCUUGGUUGAAGCUUCAAGUUAGUGGAAUCCUCACUCAAUUAGGAGCUUGAGGAGAGUGGACGUAGCCAAGGAAGUGUCGAACCACUAUAAAAUUUGAGUUUGAUUUCUCUAACAUUGUCUCUUUAUAUUUGUUUAUCUUGUGCUUAAAUUUAUUGUGUUUAAAAAGAAUUUUUAAAUACCCAAUUCACCCCCCUCUUGGGUGUUUUUCUCUUUUAAAAUUAGCCUUUAUUUUCUCACAAACUAUUGUAGUAUAGUGGUUUUUAGGUGUCAUCCAUUAGGAUGAAUUGUUCUCGGUAAUUAAGGCGUGAAUGAGAGGAGAAUUAAUGAUUGUGAUUAAGUAAAAUUGAUUUGAAAAUUCAUGGUGAAAAAUCAAUUUAACAAUGGUUUCUAAUUGAGAAAAACAAUGAAAUGUGAAAUAAAAUAAAAUUAAUAGGAAAUGAAAUUCUCGAAGUUAGAAUUUUCUAAAAAACAAAUUCCAUGGUGAAUGGAUGUUGAGAUCUAAUUUUCAUCAAGUUAGAUUGAAAACCGAAAUUUUCAUAUAAACUGAUUUUUUAUUUAGUUUUAGGUCUAGAUUUAAUUUCCCUUAAAAUUAGGUUAUUUAAUCCAAGAAAUCAAUUCAAAUCAUAUAUUCAAUUCAUCUUAAAUUAUCUUCCAAUUAUUCACACAAUGCAACUAUUCAAUCUCAUCAAAUCUAGCUUUUAAGAAUUUAAUGAAUCUACCUAGUUUGCAUUGUAAUAGUCAUCCAUGACAAUUUGAAGAGAAAAAUAAUUCAAUUAAUCAAUCACUUGGAUCAAAUUACCUUUGCAAUUAAAGUUCAUUUCUCUAAUUCACCACAGAUUUUGUCUCUAGAUCCUCCUUUCUCAAAGAAAAAUGAGAUUUAGCCACACAUGAUUGGAGAUUUGGUCUCAUAAGGCAUGUUUAGCUAGUGAUAAAAUGAGAGAAAAUAAAGAAAAAUAGAGAAUUCGAUUAAGAAAGAAAAUCUAAAAAAUUCUACAAUUAGAAAUGUCCAAAAAGCUUUUUCAUGAGAAAAUCAAGUUUCUAUUUAUAGGCCAAGGUCAAGUGGACACUUGACAUCAUCUAAGAGGUCUUCCGGAAGCUUCUUCAUCAAGAAAUCUGGAGUUUAAUAAUAAAAUGGUCAUUUCACAAGAGCUCAAACAAUUUCGCAUGAUUAUGUGAAAUAAAAAAUGCAACAACAGCAAUUUACAUCUUCUUGGAGCAUUUCGCAUGACUGUGUGAAAUUUUCACAUGAUCAUGUGGAAUCGACUUGACAACUCUCAUUUAGCCUACAACAUAAUUCCACCUUUUGGUCCAUUUUUCAUAGUCAUGCGAAAUGGAAAUAUUUGAUUUUUAAGUUUUCUUUUGUCAUUUCUUUCAUUUCCUUCUCUUGAUUCCACUUCAACUACCUCCGAAUCCUGGUCCAAACCAAUUGCAUUACUUCUUUCAUUAUGCAUUUGGAUCAUCAUCAACAUUAUUUGUUCUCUUCAAUUUGAUUCAUCUCUUUUGUCACCAAUUUAUCAAAAUCAUACCUUGAAAUGACUCCAAAACUUCAUAAAACUUGUUAGUAACUCUUGCAAGGGCAACAACAUAUUAAUUAAGUGUUUUAGGCAUAGUUACUACUCAAAAGAUGCGAAACUCAUGAUAAUUAUUAUAUAAAAUAUGCUCUUUUUGAGUAGUAAUCAACUUUCUUGCAUAAGCAGACCUUUUAGGGUGGAGUACUAAAGACCAAUAUGCUUGUCCUUGUUGUAAUAAAGAAACUUGCUCUUAUUGAUUGCACCAUGGGAGAAAAUUUUGCUACAUGAGUUAUCAUCAAUUUCUUCCCACCAAUCAUAGAUUUAGACGUGACAAGAGGCCUCUUAAUGGCAAGGAGGAACUGACACUCACACUUAUACAAUUAUCGGGCAUUGAUGUGUUGCAACAAUUAGAAUAACUUACACCAAUUAUGUUGGGGAAGUCACAAAAGGCAAACAUGAAAACUAAAAGGAAAAAAGAAAAAUGUUACAUAUCACCACAACUGGAAAGAAAAAAGUAUUUACUUUCAUUUGCCAUAUUGGAAAGCACUUAUUUUACAUCAUAAUAAUUUAGACAUAAUGCAUAUUGAGAAAAAUGUGUGACAAUAUAAUUGAGACAUUGUUCAGUAUUGACGAAGAAACAAGGACAACCUAAAUAGUCAUCUCGAUUUACAAGCUCUAACUAUUAGAAAUGAGAUUCACCCAAUAGAAAGCAGGACCAAAUUUAUUUUGCUUGCAACAUGCUACUCACUCACCCCAAAUGAGAUUAAGGAAUUUUGCAAGUUUUUGAAAUCAAUAAAGGUCCCCAAUGGCUAUUCUUUCAAUAUCUCUCGUUAUGUGCAACUCAAUGAAAGGAAGAUAUAUGAGCUCAAAUUGUAUGAUUGUCAUGUCCUAAUGCAACAACUUCUCUCACUUGUAGUUCGUGGAGUUCUACAUAAGAAUGUUUGUGGAGUUAUCAUAGAAUUGCGUAAUUUUUUCAAGCAAUUGUGCUCAAAGGUGUUAGAAACAAAUCACUUACACCAACUUGAGAACAAUAUUAUUGUCAUACUAUGUAAAAUGGAGCAAAUAUUUCUUCCAUCAUUCUUUGAUAUUAUGGUGCAUUUACUUGUGCAUCUAGUAAGGCAAAGGUUGCAAGACUUGUGCAAUAUUGUUGGAUGUACCUAAUUGAACGAUAUUGUUAUAAUUUCAUAUGAAUCAUUUAAUUUUAUUUUAUAUUAUGUUCAGUUCAUUAACAUGUACAUUGGUCUACAUAUGGAUGAUGAUAGGUACCUAAGCACUUUAAAGUCAUAUGUGCGUAAUAGAACUUUUCUAGAAGGUUCUAUUGUAGAAAGGUACCUUGCAAAAGAAUGUACAACAUUUUAUUCUAGGUACUUGAAUGAUGUGGAAAUAAAGUAUAAUCACAAUGAUAGAAACUUUGUUGGUUUCAACACUAGAGGAGAUGAAAGGGGUUAUCUUUAAACAUAUUGGACAUGCAUUGGGAAAGCCCAUAUUUCAUUAACUUAGUUCAAAAGAGUGGUCACAAGCACAUUUAUAUGUGUUGACAAAUUGCGAAGAUGUCAUACCAUUCAUUGAGUAAAAAAUUUAUUUGAAUUUUAAUUAAAGCUCUAGUUUAUAUCCUUAAUCAAUGUUUUUUAAAUUCACAAGGAGCACAAGCAAACCAUCAAGGCUAGACCACAUAUACGUGUUUGAGACGUAGAUUUAAUUCAUAACAAGGAAUUUAUCAAGUGGUUUGAAAGACAUGUAAGUAUAUUCCUUAUUAUAAGGGAUUUAUUUCACAUUAUGUUUAUAUUGAAUCCAAACCUAUUAUUGAAUUGUAGGUUGAACAAUUACAUAAUGAAGGUCAUAUAUCUGAACACCUUCUCACAUUAUCAUGUGUUCCAAAUUCAUUAGUUACAUGCUUCAAAUGAUAUAUUGUCAAUGGAUUUAGAUCCCACAUUAAAGAACGUGAUAAAAAAGUUUUUAAAAAAAGACUCAGAAUAAUGGAAUUGUUGUAGUUGCAAAAACGUCAAGCUUUACAAGUGCAUGUGAUAUGAGUCCAAUUAUUAGUGAUGCUCUCUACUAUGGUGUUCUAACUAAAGUUGUUGAGUUACAUUAUCUUGGUGAAAAUAAGGUUGUUUUAUUCGAGUUUGAUUGGUGGGAUGUUACAAAUAUUGGAAAAUUGAUAAAAGAUGAUGAGUACAAUUACACAUUUGUUAACUUUGCAUGAAUUCUAACCACGAACGAACGAUUUGUACUUGCAUCUCCAGCAAAGUAAGUGUUCUAUGUGAAGAAUGCGAAUGAAUCAGAUUGGCAUACUAUCAUGGAGAUGCAACCUCAAGACCUCUAUAAGAUGAACGGGAUAGGAUCCAAUGGUGAUUUUGAACCAUUUCAACAAAGUGAACUACAUGAUCACUAAUAUAUCUCAGAUUUAGUUGAUGAAGAUAUAAUCAAGUGGAACAAAAGUGAUGUUUUAGGACUAAUCAUCCUAAAAAAUAUUGUAGUUUCUUAAAAAAAAAAUGAAAAUGAAGAAGAUAAUUGAACCUUUGUCAUACUUUAAAAAGCAACUAUGCAUUGUUCAUUUUGUAUGUUUUGGUUUUCUUCAUUUAAUUUCCUGAUUUUUGUGAUUCAAUGUCAUAUUAUUGAUCUUGAAAUAUUUUUCUAAUUUUUCAUUCUACGAUGGUUUCAACAAGGAUGACAUCAAGUCAAAAAAGGAAAUGUGGUCCCACACACAAUAUUGCAUUACAGGGAUUAAGGUCAGGGAAGAAGGUAAAAGUUGCAUUUAAUGAGUACAAUCAAUUGGUUAAACAGAAAAAUGGAAAACACUUAUCGAGCUACAUAGGGACACUUGUAUCUAACCAACACAAUGUACCUCUCCAAGCUAGUGAUUGGAAAAAUGUUCCAAAUGAUGCAAAAGAGAAAGUAUGGCCUUUGUUUUGGUAUGUUGUAUUUCUCACUAUAUGAUGUCAUUUCACUGUUAUUCUAUUUUGUGACUAACGUUUGAAUCAUAUGUAAGAAAAAUUUGAAGUAGAUAAAGACUGAAAAGAUUACAUGUUGGGUAUAGCCUCAAAUAAAUAUAGAAGCUAUAAAAAUAUGAUGAAUGCAAAAUACUAUGACCCUUGGCAUAAGGAUGCAUGAGGAGAGGUUAAUACAUAAAUCACCAUUUGUCUCUGAUGUUGAUUGGAAGUGGCUUGUCUCUGAUGCAUAAACCAAAUCCCCCACUGAAUGUUUGAUAUUUGAUAGCAGGAAAAACACACCCGCAGCUAUACACCUCCAUCAUUCAGAUAAUUAUAGUGGGGGAGAUGAUUCAUGGUUGCCCUUAUACCCUUUAUUUGCACCAUCUAUUGAGAUUCUUUAUCAUGGCCAGGUUUUACUGCAGCAAUAAGAUAUGGUGGCAACAAUUUUAUCUAUAGGUGCGGUUCCAGACCGCCUCCAUAGGUGCGGUUCCUGACUGCCUCCAUAGGUGCCUCUUCUUGUAAUGUUUGUUCUGGGAAUUACACUUGAAAGCCUUAUCGUGAUAAGGGAUUACAAACACUAGUUCAGAGGACAGCCAUGUUAAACUUCCACUAUGUUUGUGUCACAUUAUCAGCAGCCUAGUGUUUAUUGGUCAUGCUAUCUGCAACUAAUAUAACCCGGUGAACUUCAAUCUAAAUUCUGAAAGUACUCAUGUGACAGAUGGUGCCUUUCAGCAGAUAUCAUCAAUUUAAAAGUAGUGUGUGUGCCUAUAGGUGGGAAGGCCUUGGCAAAUGUUCAGUAUUCCGGUAAUUCAAGAAGGAUAUAUCUAAAAUAGAUUUUCUUCUUGCCCAUUUCAAUAGUUAAAAUUUGAGAAGAUUGUGUCCACAUCACACAAAUAUUAUUGGUCCUUCUGUUGCAAUUUACCUCUGAACAUGUCUUCCAAUUCCCACGGUCCUGUUACUCCAGGAAAACUAUUUCGGUCAUAUUGAAAAAAAAAAUAUUAAAGAAGGUACACAUGCUUUUAAGUGGACUGGGGCAUUCAUAUCAGGUGGUCUGUAUCCACAUAUGCCACUUCGUGAAAGGUGGAACAGCCUAAUCACUAGGCUAUUUAGUGUGGCCCAGCCACGUUAAUCAAGCACAAGUCUUCAUACUUAAAGUCAAAUGGUGUCUUUAGUCUCAUUACACAUCGCUAUUUGAAGAUUAACUCAUCACUAGUGUAAUGCGAUUAAGACAGUCCUAACUCAAUAUUUGUUCUAGUUUUGGAUGCAAAUGCUUGCUGGUUUCAUCAUUGGAUGGGAUAAAGGUGCAAUCAGGACUAUGAAUACGUGCAGUAAUACUUCAUUCUCUUUUUUCUCAAUGAGACUUCUUGGCACAAUUUUGCUGCUCAGCAACCUACCUUUCCAUGGAAAAUCAGUUGUGACUGAUAGUAAUGGAUAUAUUCUAGAAAGCUAAACAUAGAUAGCAUUCAAUAUUAUCGAUAUAACAUUAACAGCGUAUGUCUCAAUGCUCAUCAGCUACAAGCAAUGGACAAACACUUUGAGUAACUCACAGCAGUCAAAAUUCCUAAACAGGACAGACGUGACAGAUCUAUAUAUAGAACACUGCAUAUGAGUCACAGGAAAAGAUAAUACGGGUACAUAGAAGCUCUUAUUUUACAUAUUACUCAUACUGAUCAAAGUCGCUCAGUUGGGAUGGAUGGGAGAAGGAGGUUUGAGGGGUGGCUUGUGCGGGGAAGUUGGCAGCUUCUUUCCGGGAGCUGGUUGCUUCUUUGCUGGAGUUGAAGGAGGCUUAAUCUUCCGAGGUGGCUUGUAUGAGUCUUCAGCAUUCUCAGCAGGAGGGUGACCAGGGUUGUGACCAUAAUGUGGUGGCUUCUCUCCCUUAGGUGGUUUGCCAACUGGGGUUGGUGGCUUGUUUUCUGGGAGUGGCUUCUCUCCCUUGGGUGGUUUGCCAACUGGGGUUGGUGGCUUGUGUUCUGGGAGUGGCUUCUCCCCCUUGGGAGGUUUUUCGAAUGGGGUGGGUUUGUGUCCUGGUGGUGGCUUCUCUCCCUUGGGAGGUUUACCAAUUGGGGUCGGUGGCUUGUGUUCUGGGAGGGGCUUCUCUCCCUGGGGAGGUUUAGUGGGUGGCUUGUGUUCUGGAGGUGGCUUCUCCACCGGAGGCUUAUGCUCUGGUGGUGGCUUCUCGAAGGGGGGAUGCUCAGGGUAAUCACCAAGUGAGGGGGUGGUGAGAACCACCAUGCCAAGCAACAACACUAGCAAGUAUGUAGUAGACAUCUUUGGGUUUGGACUCAGACAGUGCAAAACUACGAGAAAUCGCUAGCCCUUUAUAGCGGCUCGGACCUAAUACUGACAUAAUAUAAAAUAAAUAUUAUAUUUUAUCAAGAGAGAACAGAGUGUAAUUUUAUCAUUAAUACCGAUCGAGGCCAAAGAAAGAAGACCCAUAAUCCAUUUCCCACAAGCAUACACAAUGCAGCUGUAAUUUUAUCAUUUACUUUUAUCCCUUGGACCACUGCAUUUUUGUUGAGAGACACAAUAACACAUUUUUAUCUGUCAUUCAACAUUUACAGUAAAGAGAGGGCACAAAACGCAAUUAGAUAAAUUAUGUUUUGCCUGCUAAAAAGAGGCAAAUAACUUUAUUUGCAACAUAAUUAUUUUGGUUUCUAGUGACCCCGGGGCCUUUCGGUUGGUUUGGGAUCGGAAAAUGAACAUCAUAGGGGGGGUUGUGCCCUUAUGGGCAUAUAUAUCUGAUAGCUUCAACUGGCCUUGUUCCUAGAAAGAAAUUGCCAAAGAUAUAAACUUAUUCCAGGCUGAAAGUAGAUGAGAGUCAUAAUGAACAUCAACCUUUGUUCAGUUUGAUUCAAUGCCCCCAUAGUGUUCAUUUCACAGAUCUGAAUGAUUAUAUCCGUUGAAUACAUAAAUUAAUGAAGACAAAUAUGAAACCCAAGAUACAUCUCUGCAUAACAACCCCAACCCUGGUUGCUAUGUUUCCCUUCUUCUAUUCACAUGAGGAUACUGGUUAUAAUUGUCAAACUUGCAACAAGCCCUUUGACACCUAACGUCAAUGGACGAAUUAAAAGUCUCCUUCAAACGUCUAUUUCACAGCAUGAAGCUUAUAAAGGAUGCUGACAACCUUCAGAGUUAGCGACAAAAGAUAAUUAUCAAGGAGAGAUAGUUCCAUGAGAAUUCCAAGGAGUCUGAAUCAAAGACAAAUUGCUCACUCAAGGGUUCUUAUUUUCUUUUAGGUACAAAUCUCUUGAGUGUUGUUAAAGAAACACGUCACUGUCAUUUUGAUUUGCAUUUAACAUUUCACUUUUGUUCUGGAAGGUUUGUUCCGGAAACAUAUCAAAUGAGCAUCAUUUUCUUCUUCGGUGACACAUGGUCGCGAGUACGUGGGUCCAUUUUCAUGCCACUUAGUUGAAAAGUUGGAAAGAAAAAACAUGCCAACAAGAAGAUAGUGAGAGAAGGGGCACUUCAAGCCUUUAACAUGAACAAACAGUAAAUAAAAGAUGUUUCUCCACUCAUAAAAGUGUGUUAGAUAGCAAUAUAACGAAUCACAUCCAAAAUCUUUACUAGGCUCAAACAUAAAGAAGACUCAUUUUUAAGAAAAGAUAAAAAUGGCAUUGUCUGAUAGUAUCCAAUACACGAGAUGGCACUUAAUUUGUACAAGAUCUGUCAAUGCUGACGCACAUUUUCUGAUUAAAAAAAAACUGAUCAGUCAAAAGCAAUGAAGAGAAGUGAUGACAAUGAAUGAUGCUUCCAAUAUUUUCACCCCUUAUAGUGUUCUUCAUGAUUCAGAUAUAUAAUUGGAAAUAGAACAACCCUAUGCCAUACAUUCGUCUAAGUAUGGUGUCUAAUUUUUUGUGUCAGCGGUUGCGAAUGGAGCGUGCAAAAGUCCAAAUUGGCGUCUCUCCAUUUCCACAUAGGAAGGUGACCUUUAUUGACAAAUACCCAAUAUUUGUAGACAUUCCUUAAAUAUCAUAACUUCUUGUUGAUUUGAAAAUCAUUUUUCAACUACCAUGUUUUAAUAAAUAUUUUUUAAAAUGUAUUUUUAUCAAAGUCCACCAUGAUGGAUAAUAUUCACCAUGCAAUAAUUAAUAAAGUACAAACUAAGCGAAAUGAAAAGCAUUUUCUUUGCUUUGAGUUGAUUUUGGUUGCAUUGAGUUGAUUUUGGUUUCAUGGUUUUUUCAACUCUUAUUUUGAUUGGAAGAUGUCAAGAAAAGAAAACAUAAAGAAAAAUUAAAAGGGAAAAAAGAAGAAAAAUAAAAAAAAAUAGAUUUAAAAGUUAAUAAAUUAUUUUUUAUAUUUAUUUUAAUUCAUUUCACUUAUUUUUCUUUUACUAUAUAAAAUUUAAAUAAUUUAAAUUUUAUAAUUAAUUUAAUUACAUUUCAUUUUCUUCUAUAUUUAAAUAUUGGAAAAAUAUUUUACUUAAUAUUUUUUUCUUUAAUUUCUUUGGCAUUUUGGGAACCAAACUUAGCCUUUAAAAUAAAAAACAAAAAAAAAAUGAAAAUAAGGAGGGAAAAGUGAGAAAAGAUAAAAACAAUAUGUAAAGGAUUUGAAAAGUAUUAGUUUGUAAUUACUAUUUGGAUUUCAAUAGUAUUUUAUUUGUCUUUCUAUAUUUCAUGUAAGAGAGAAUUUAAGAUAUUCCCCAAGGCAAAGCAUUAGUUACCUGCAAUCAGUGGUGAUAAGGCUCCAAGCCAAUUUUGGGCCCCAUAUCUUAAGACAGUACAAUUUCCAUUUCAACAUUUCUGAUUUCUCAGAUGUUUCACAUACCACAGAAGAACAUUGUUUGUGAAAAUAUGCAUUUAUGUUGGAUUUUGUAUGCUGUGGGGACUGGGGCAAGGAUCAUAUGGAAGAGUGGUUGACUUUUUCUGUACUUUAACGGUUGAAAUAGGAUAAGCACGGGCAUUUGUGAGGCUUAAUUGAUUUUGAAGCCUGAAAUUGCGUUUCUGUCAUUUUGUCAAAAAAAUGGCAGAUUCCAUACUCAUAUGUUUGGCCUGUGGCCAUGUACAGAUGCCAUUUAGUGACCAGUUUGUAACUGUCAAUCGUUGCGUUUUGACUCUGCCUCAACAACAUCUGCCAUUGACGGGUUUUCAUACUUGCAAAUCAAAUAGUCUUUCGUCCCAUCAGGAAUUUCGGUUUAAAUAUUAUUAAGCAUACGUUUGGCUGACAAUCAUUAUCCAGUUCAUGAUUUGGUUUCUUACCCUUAAUCAAUGGUUUCUAAGUGAAUAUAUGUAGAAGGAAAUCCGAAGUGUAGACAGUAGUAUCGAUAACUCUCAAUAUUCUCUAUAUAAUAGAAUAAACAGCGUCAUAGUGAUCGUCGCCUACAAGCAAGGUACAAAUACCAAAACGAGUGACUCACAUAGACAUCUCCCAACAAGAUGUAGUAGUGACUGACACAUGGACACAAUUAACUCGUAGAAAAGGAUAAGACCAUUGCACAGCAGCUCUUAUUUUACAUACUACUUAUGCUAACCAAAGUCAAUUAGUUGGGAUGGGUGGGAGAUGGAGGUUUGUGCGGUGGCUUGUGGGGCGGAGUUGAUGGCUUCUUUCCAGGAGCUUCUGGCUUUUUCAUCGGAGCUGAAGGAGGCUCAAUCUUAUGAGGCGGCUUGUAUGAGUCUUCUUUACUCUCGACAGGAGGGUGGCCAGGGUUGUGAUCAUAAUGUGGUGGCUUCUCUCCCUUAGGUGGCUUGCCAACUGGGGUUGGUGGCUUGUGUUCAGGAAGUGGUUUCUCUCCCAUGGGAGGUUUAGCAAUUGGGGUUGGUGGCUUGUGUUCUGGGAGUGGCUUCUCUCCCUUGGGAGGUUUAGUAGGUGACUUGUGUUCUGGAGGUGGCUUCUCCACCGGAGGCUUGUGCUCCGGUGGUGGCUUCUUGGUUGGAGGGGGCUUGGGGUAAUCAGCAAGAGAUGGGGUGGUGAGAACCACCAGUCCAAGGAACAACACUAGCAAGUAUGUGGGAGACAUUUUUGAGUUUGGGCUGAUCAGAUGAUGCAAAACUAAAGCAUUACGUGACCUUUUAUAGCAUGUAGCUCCCAAUACCCACUAAGUAUUGUGGGGUCCAUUUGUGCCCUACGGGGUUGAAAACUUAGACAAUUGGGCAAGGACCCACCUGACUAUGGAGGACUAGUGAGGUGUGAUCAUAGCUUUAGGAUUUUUCUUCCUCUGCAGCCGUCGUGCCGUUGGCAUGAUUUUCUUAAUCUUAAAUAAAGGCAUAGUUAUAGAGUUGUUUAAUCUCUAAAUGGGAUUUUAUAUAUAUCUUCAGAUAGCCAUUAAUAUAUUUGAUGAAGAAAGAAAGACAAGUGCAUACAACAUGUAUACGACUAGCUUUCAUGGAGUUCAUUUAUGAUCAGUUUUCCUGUACAUGUAAACCAGGAUCAUAUAUAUGUUUCUGUUCCACAACUAUUUUGGAAUCUUGUUUAUCAGUUUUUAUCAUUAUAAUGUCACAUAGGCUGCCAACUUGGGCGCUAAAAGAACCAGUUGGGCUAGUUCGUUUCAGAAUUUCAAUGUGGAUUCAGGAAUUGUUUUGUAAGAUAUGCGAAAUAGUAGAGGGAUGAAUAGUGUUUCAUUAAUAAAAGUGUCCUGUAAAUUAGAAGGUGUCAUAGAAACUAUAAUCAAUAAAUAACUUUUUUUCCCCACGGGUGGUGUUUCUUGUGGGGAUCAGUGACUGGUUUAGGUUCACCCAAAAUGAGUUCAGACUAAAAUUGGUUUGAGUCAAUGCCGUGUCUCUUUUUUCCAGAAAUCAACUAUUUUAUGCAUUGAAUAAAUCAUACAAAGAAAAUAUGAACGCCCGCAAAACCUAAACCCUGGUUGCUAACUUUCUAUGUUUCAGUUCUAUUCACGCAAGAAUAUUAGUUUAAGUUUGGGAAAAAUGGCAACUUACCUAGUGAUUACUUGGUUUUGGUUUGCGACUAUUUACGCAACCAACCAUGAGUUUGACUUUAACGUCAUGGGUUGAAGCCUCCUACAGGAAGGGAGAAAGCUCCACAGCUAGCUCCAAAAGAGAAUUAUCACAUUGAUAGCUCCAGAGAUUCCCAAGGGGACUGAAUCAAAGACAAGUUCCUCACUUUUUCUUCUUUUGAGGCCAAAUAUGAACCAAGGAUCACACAACCUCAUUCAACUUCAUAAGUUUGAUUUCAUGCAGUUGAACACUGGGUGAAGGCCAUGACAAGAAUUGAUUCAAAAAUUCUAUCACUCUUUUAAGUAAUGGAAGAUUAUUAUCUCUGAUUGGCAUCACAACAGCACAUGCUCCUAGAUCUUUCUAGACACUCCAUGCAAUGAAAGCACAAUGGAUCUUGUAACGAUAGAAACUAAGCCAUGCUACAGUACUAGAUGAUGAGGUAAAACUAGUAGACACGGGUGGCAGCCUAUAUGGGAGGGACACAAGUCUAAUUGAUUUGCAUUUCAGCAUUAUAGAUAGGUAUGUUUUGGAAGAUUUGUUCUGGAAAUACCGCACCAAGUAGGAUUCUUUUUCUCUUUAGUGGGUCCACUUGCAUGCCAAUUAACGAGUUGAAAAGUAUGAGCACCUACCUCGUGCUCGUGGAACCGAAGGUCAGUGAAGUGGGGCUCCUUUUGGCCUCGUGUAAACUUGAUUCAGAAGUGAAGUUAAUAGUCUUCCAUUCAGAUGGAUACAUGGGAAUUUUUCUCUUUUAUUUAUUUAUUUAUUUUUUUUUUGUGUGUGUAUGUCAAAGGAUAAUGAAUGAAGCGCGUUAGCUUGUUUUCUGACUGGAACCGCAGAUGUCCAAAUUGGAGUUCCUUCAUUUCUUACUUAGGAUUGUUACAUGUAUAAACAAGGUAUAAGAAAUAUGCCAACGUGUCUUGAGGAGUUAUUGAUUAGAAAUAACAAGUCACCCGACUGUAGAGUUCCAAGAUUUGAAUCUUCAGACCCUAUAGCAGCCUCUGGGGUACGUGGCAUCCUAUAGCAUAUUAAUGAAGGCUUUUUCGAUUUAGACUUCACAAUACCAAUUAAUAUGUAUGCACAAAAUGGAGAUGACCCCAAAAAAAACAGAAUCGCCAUAGUUUAUGAGGUUAAGGUGAUUCUCCACUUAAUAUCUACAUUAGCUAAUUAUGUAAAUCAAAUGAACUUCUAUUUUUCCUUUUUUUUUUUGGUUUAUGUCAAAUAGUAGCCCAUAAUUAACCCAACCAUUAGCCUGUUUGAAUUGAUUUCACAUGCACAAUGUUGUAGUAGUUCAUAUUUUGAAUUUUAUUUUUACAAAGGUAGUUAAGGAAAAUGAAGUAUAAUAAUUAUAAAAGCAGACUAUAUACACUACAAUAAUUGUUAGAAUGGUAUCUCAAAUUCUAAUUUAAAAUAUUAUUUUUUGUAAAAGAAAUAUUAUAUAGAAUAUUUCCUAAUUUUAUAAAUGAUUAUAAUUAGAUCUUUAUAAAAUAAGGAAAGUUGGUAAGAAUAUCUUUAUAAAUAUUUUAGGUCAUGAGAGAAAGAAAUGGGAUAAAAAUGUGAUGAAGAGGUGAAAUAAGAGAGUUGAUUAGGAUAUAGAUGUGAAGAAGAAAGGGAUUCAAUAUAUAUAUAUCUUUCAAUUACCACAUUAAAACCCUGUGAACCUUUUAUAUGGUUUACUUUAUUUUUAUAUUCCUCCUUUAAUAUAUUUACAUUAAUGCUUCCAUUGGCACAACAAUAACGAAUUACAAAUACAAGCAACAAGUCCCAUGUUUUAUUACCAAAAGCAGGUAAAAUCCACCUAAUAUAUUACAAUAUAUUCAUCCAAUAUUUUAGACCAAUUCUUCACCAUAAAUAUCAUAAUGUGGCUUUUGUUCUUUCUUAAAUUUAAAUUGAAUUGUCUUAUAUCAAUUUGUUUGUGAUUUUUUCAUUAACUUCACUUUCAUUUGGUUAUCUUUGGUUUUUGAAAAGUAUUAAGGAAUUAAUUAACAAAAUAAUGUUAAGAAAAAUAAUUUUCUCUCUUUUGAUUUUGAUUUUGUAGUAGAAAAAUAUAAUUAAAAUUAUUUAAAAAGUAUGUAAUUUUAAAUUAUUUAAUAUUUAGAUAAAAAAAAUAAGUCUAAUGAGUUUAAAAUAACAUAUAAAAAUAAUUUAUUUAUUUUAAAUUUAUUUUUUAUUUUCCAUUAUGUUCUCUUUCUCUUUUACUUUUUCAUAUUUUUUCUUACGAAGAAUCAAACACAACCUCAUAUUAUAUGUCAAGUGUUUGUCUAUAUUUGAGCAAUGUUAGAUACGGCCAUGGAUUCAUCAAACUAAACUGAUUUUAAUAGAUACUUCACAAAUUGAUUUAUACACUAAAUCAUUGGAUAGCAAUGAUGCAUUGGAAUUAAACGUAGGAUGAAGCUCGAAGAACACUGUUUGUGUAACAACAUAUUUAUGAAAUUAUGCAAAGGAUGAGCUUCGGGGUAGUAGUACAAGGUCAUUAAUGGAGAGCCGUGUUAAACCUUGAUUGUGAUUGGAUUCCGUUAUCAGCAACAGCAACCUUGUUUGUAACCUUGAAAGUCAUUCUGUCCACAUCGAAACUCCAAUUUGACGUUUGUAAUUACCAUUCCUGGAGUGUUCCUUGAUUGAAAUUUAAAUAAUAAUUGCGGCCCACAAGGAAUAUUUUCGAUUCUGUGGGAAUUUGACAAGGUUUGUUAGAGAAGACUGGUGACAUGUUGACUUCAAUGGUUCAAAUAGGAGACGUAUGUGGAUUUGGGGGGUUUAAUUGAAACUGAGUCCCUAUGGCUUUUUAAUAUUUGCAUUGAGCAGUCUCCAUGUGACUUCCUAAUUCCCACCAACCCUCCUGUCCAUGCUGUGAAACUAAAUUGUAAUUUAUCAGCCUUUGUCAAUGGUUUCUAAAUUAAAGAUAUAGACCAUGCAUGUACUUUAAUAAAAGCAAAUCUAAAGUGUAGAUAGCAGCAAUGGUGACACCCAAUAUUCUCCAUAAAAUAGAAUUAGAAUAAGCAGUGUUACAUUGUUCAUGAUCACCUACAAGCAUACAAGAACUUCCAUGAAUAACUCAUAGCAAUUGCCAACAGGGCGUCGUAGAGACUCAUACAUAGAACACUAUCCACCCAGAGGAAAGGACAAGACCAGUGCGCUGCAGCUCUUAUUUUUCACAUGUAUACCACCACUCGUAAUAACCAAAUUCACUCAGUUGGGAUAGGUGGGAGAUGGUGGUUUGUGGGGUGGCUUGUGGGGAGGAGUUGGAGGAGGCUUUAUUUUCUGAGGCGGCUUGUAUGAGUGUGCAGGAGGAUGCCCGGGAGUGUGACCAUAAUGUGGUGGCUUCUCUCCCGUAGGUGGUUUGCCAAAUGGGCUUGGUGGCUUCUCUCCCUUAGGAGGUUUACCAAUUGGGGUUGGUGGCUUGUGUUCUGGGAGUGGUUUCUCUCCCUUGGUAGGUUUGCCAAUUGGGGUUGGCGGCUUAUGUUCUGGGAGUGGCUUCUCUCCCUUGGGAGGUUUGCUAAUUGGGGUUGGCGGCUUAUGUUCUGGGGGCGGCUUCUCUCCCUUGGGAGGUUUGCCAAUUGGAGUUGGCGGCUUAUGUUCUGGGAGUGGCUUUUCUCCCUUGGGAGGCUUGCCAAUUGGGGUUGGCGGCUUAUGUUCUGGGGGUGGCUUCUCUCCUUUAGGAGGUUUGCCAAUUGGAGUCGGCGGCUUAUGUUCUGGAAGUGGCUUUUUUCCCUUGGGAGGUUUGCCAAUUGGGGUUGGCGGCUUAUGUUCUGGGGGUGGCUUCUCUCCCUUGGGAGGUUUGCCAAUUGGAGUCGGCGGCUUAUGUUCUGGGAGUGGCUUCUCUCCCUUGGGAGGUUUUGUUGGUGGCUUGUGUUCUGGAGAUGGCUUCUCCCCUGGAGGCUUGUGCUCCGGAGGUGGCUUCUGAAAUGGCGGGGGCUUGGGGUAAUGAGCAAGAGAUGGAGUACUGGUGAGAACCACCAUUCCAAGCAACAAUACUAGCAAGCAUGUGGGAGACAUCUUUGAGUAGUUGUAGCUAAGAUGGCGCAACACUGUAGGCAUUGGGUGGCCUUUUAUAAAGGGCUGGACCCAACAGCCAUAUGACACGUGUCAUGAUGACAAAUGAAGUUGAGGGGAUCCAGAUGGGUCCUACUGAGUCGAAAACUUGCACUAAUUGAUCUGGUGAGAUGACUAUUUCUGUCCUUUUGCCCUUCUCGGCCACCCUGUGCUGUUUUCCUUUUGCACGAUUUUCGUUGCCAAACAAGCAAAUAAUAUUUCGCCAAGAAAGAGGAGAGUGAAUGUGGAAUGCAUCAAGUCCCAUCAAGGAUGGCAGAGAAGAAAUAGAAGAUUGCCCAACUGUGAUAAACAUAGCAUACACGUAGCACCAGGAACUUCAUUUACUUCCAUCUAAUGGAACAUAACAAUCUUCUAAAGUUUUUGCAUGAUUUUGUUAUAUGUCUCUUAGCCUAAAGUUGGAAAUGCGCAACAAAUUUUGUCACUUCUCUAUUUCCCACUGAUGAUGUUAAUUAGCCUUCAUAGAUAUCAUCCUUUCUACAAAGUGCUUCAUUUGUGUGUUAUUGUAAAGUGUAAGAAAAGUAAUUGAACAUGUUCUUUUUCCUUUCAUAGAUGACUUUUGAUGUGCAUUUUAAAAGCAGCGCUGUGAGUCGGUGACCUUGAUUCACACGGAAACUAAGGCUCCUAUAGGACCCACUUUUAGCUGGUUAGGGGUGAAGAAAAUAUCAACUUUUCAGAGUGAUUUAAGUCAAGGCCAAGCCUCACUGUGUCAUUACUCGUGUGAAUUUUAUAUGCACAUACAUACAUAAAUAAAGUAUGAGACCCAAAUAACACCUUCCCUUUACAAACUUAACCCCAGCCGCUCUCUUUCAAUUCUUUUCACACAAGGGUAUUGACUCUAUAAAGGUCAAGAAAAUCAUAAUUUCCUAGGGUUUACAAGGUAAUUGGCUUAAUGCUAAUGUGAAAACAUAAAAGAUAAUAGUAUAUUGUAAGCUAACGAAUAUUCUAUAGUUAUAAUUAUUUGUGAUGUGCAUAAAUAAAUCUUCAUAUAUAUAAUGGAACAAUGAAUAAAGAACCAAUGAAAAAAUACUAUAUAUCAUUGCUUGGCAUUUAAACCGUAUAUGCUGCUCUUUCUAGCUACUCCAUCCACUGAAAGACAACAAGGUAAUCCAUGUUAUAAUGAUAGAAGAUACUGUCUCUAGGCUUUUUGUGAUGAAAAAUAUAAGAUAUGGGUAGGGUUGACCCUUGUAUGUUUGUCCUAUAAACACUUCAAAGUAACAUAUUUUUCUUCUUUAGCAACUCAUAAUGAUGGGGUUCAUUUGCAUGUCACUGAGUUGAAAAGUUGGACAAUUGCCCAUGUCGCCUUCCUCCUAGAUUCCGUAGUUCACGGGAAGGUAACUCAAGUUUGACAUAUUUUGAAUUCUUUUCACUCGGACGUCUUCAUAACCUGACAAAACAAAAAUGAAAAACAGAGGAUUGGUAUAUUAUUCAUGGUAAGCCUCAAAUUAUAGUAGUAUGAGAAAGGAGAAAAAGAUUUUGGGAACUCCAAUCUGGAUAAUUCUCGUUUCUUCUCUUGAAUAAAAAUUUCACUUACCUAACUUCGUUUGGAGAAAUGGCAUAUUUUAAUUUUGUACGUCAUUGCUAAUAAAUGGAGCAAUUUAGCAUGUUUUGUGACUGAAACUGCAAAUGUCCAAUUGGCAUUUCUUCAUUUCCCACUUAGGAUCUGAUCUUGUAGACCAUAUAACGAUAUGUAUCUGUGCAAGCAUUGAAAACUAAUGUGAACUAUGAGGAGUUACAAGCCACUGGACUGUAGAGCGAGUGCCAAGAUUUAAAUCUUCAGGCUCUAUCUGGGUAAGGGGAGGAUAGCGACCUAACCUUUUACCAAAGGCUUAGAAUUUAGACUUUUGGAAAAAAAUUUCUCAUGUUUUGGCUGGAUUUCUUGUGCUUGGCGCAAAAAGGAGAUGGCCUCAAGAAAUAGCAGACUCACUUUUGUUUUCAGCCCUUAAUAAUUCUCCACUGCUUUCCAUAACUACAUGGGUUAUACAUGCAGUCUGCUGCAAUAUUCCAGUUAUAUUUAUUAUUUCAAAGAGGGUGAAUGACUUCACAUGCAAUAUGUUGCAGUAACAACCCAAAUUUUGGCACACCAUCUUAAGAAUAGAAAAGUAUAAUAAAAGAAAUCAAUCAGAGAAUCACUUUGCAUGCAGUUCAUAGAGUUCGCCCAAAAUGGAGCCACAUGUACGGACAACCCCACAAUAGACAAUCUUCUCUAUACAGUAAUAAAAUACAGAAAUGGUUAAUGAAGCUCUGUAUUUCCUUAUCAUAUAUGACCGGUUGAAAACUCAGCAAGUCUUCCUCAAUCACAGACAGUUGGAGUUGCUUCAUCAAAAUCAUGCCUUCAUUACUGGCUUCAUUUUGGUUUCAAUGUCUGUUCUACCCUUAAAUUGGGUCUCUGCUUACUACCGGGAUAUCCUUUAGCGUCCUGCAAUUCUACUAGAUUAAAGAGAAUGACUUAAUUCUGCAUUCUGCCGUCCCUAGUCCAAGUGGUACUAGAAUUGAUGUUUCCUUUAGUGUCCUUUCUUCAUACUUUCAGGUUCUUCCCUUGUUUCAAUAAUGCUGUUUUCCUUCAUGUUUAACCUCUGUUGAACCACUUAAAACAACACAAUUUGCACACCAAUGUUUCUUUACAGAAAAGACUGUUUGCAAAAAUGCACAUGUUAUAAGGUUAAUGGAAGAAUUAAUUUGGGGAUAAGGGACUAGGAUUGGGCCAAUGAAGUUUGGUGUUAAAUUUUGAUUAUGAUUGCUUUUCAUUAUCAGGUACCUUAUAUUUGCUGAUGCUAUCUGGAACUAAAUUCAAAUCAGACAUUAUCCGAUUACUAACAGGACAUAUCAUGUCCCUCUGCAGAGUUUCUAAACUAACAUGUAUCGAAAUGUGGCCCCAAAAGGAAGGCUAGGAAGAUGGAGGAUUUUGUAGGAAUCGACCAGAAUCAGAUGGAAGAGAGAUAGUCCUGUUGACUUUAAUGGUUGUGAUAGGAACAUGCAUCAUUAUAUGAGAAGUUGCAUGAAUUUAUGUAUCCUGUUAUCGUUCCUUGACGAUUUCCCAAUGCAAUUUCACUGUCCACAAGACUAACCUCUCCAUGCAGUCAAAUGAAUUGUAAUUUCUCUAUUGGUACCAGUAGUACAUUUCAUACCAAACAUAUAGUAAAUAUAAAAUAUAAAUAGAUCAAGGAAAUCUGAAUUGUAGAUAGCACUGCAAGUAACACUCAAUAUUCUCUAUAUAUAAUAAAAUAAACAGUGUCACAAUACUCAUCACCCAGUGGCAAGGGAGAAAAACCUACAAUGAGUACUCAAAUCACCAUUCUCAAACAGAAACAUAGCAGUGACUGAUACAUAGAACCUAUAUGCUCACAGGGAAAGAAUAAGAUGACCAGUGCACAGCGGGCAGCAGCUCUUAUUUUACGUACAACUCAAAUCCCAAACUAACCAAAGUCGCUCAGUUGGGAUGGGUGGGAGAUGGUGGUUUGUGGGAUGGCUUCUGGGUAGGAGCUGGUGGCUUCUGUCCCUUUGGUGGUUUGCCUAAUGAGCUUGGUGGCUUGUGCUCCGGGAGUUGUUUCUCUCCCUCGAGUAGGUUUCGAGUCUUGUCAGAUGGCUUGUGUUCUGGUGGUGGCUUCUCUCCCUGGGGUGGUUUGCCGAAUGGGCUUGGUGGCUUGUGUUCGGGGAGUGGCUUCUCUCCCUGGAGAAGGUUACGAGUUUUGUCAUAUGGCUUUUGUUCUGGUGGUGGCUUCUCUCCCUGGGGUGGUUUGCCGAAUGGGCUUGGUGGCUUGUGUUCGGGGAGUGGCUUCUCUCCCUGGAGAAGGUUACGAGUUUUGUCAGAUGGCUUGUGUUCUGGUGGUGGCUUCUCUCCCUGGGGUGGUUUGCCGAAUGGGCUUGGUGGCUUGUGUUCGGGGAGUGGCUUCUCUCCCUGGAGAAGGUUACGAGUUUUGUCAGAUGGCUUUUGUUCUGGUGGCGGCUUCUCUCCCUGGGGUGGUUUGCCAAAUGGGCUUGGUGGCUUGUGUUCGGGAACUGGCUUCUCUCCCUUGGGAGGUUCAGUUGGUGGCUGCUGUUCCGUAGGUGGUUUCUUCACCGGCGGCUUGUGCUCCGGAAGCGGCUUCUCUACCUGGAGAAGCUUACGAGUUUUGUCCGAUGGCUUGUGUUGUGGUGGUGGCUUCUCUCCCUGGGGUGGUUUGCCAAAUGGAGUUGGUGGCUUGUGUUCGGGGAGUGGCUUCUCUCCAUUGGGAGGUUUAGUUGGUGAUUGGUGUUCCGUAGGUGGUUUCUGAAGUGGGGGAUGCUUGGGGUAGUCAGCAAGAGACGAGGUAGUGAGAACCACCAGUCCCAGCAGCAACACUAGCAAGCAUGUGGAAGACAUCUUUGAGUUCAGGCUGAGAUCUGUGCAAGGAUAACAGAAUUAGGUGGCCUUUUAUAGAGGCCUGGACCCAACACCCAUAUGACACGUGUCAUGCACUCAUGGUGACACAUAAUUCUAUGGGACCAUUUGGGUCCUACAGAAGUUGCAAAGUUGGACUACUGAGGUGUGAUCACAACUUUUGUCCUUAUUGCUUUCUCUGCGGCCAUUGCACGAUUUCCUUUAGCAUCAUUUUCUUGGCUAAAUAAGCGUAUUAUAUUUGUGGCAGACCGUCCACGUGUCAUAAACAGAUAUAUUAUAAUAAUGUAGUAUGCUUUUCUCCAAUGGAACAUGACACUCUUCUAAGUCUUGUUUUAAAUAUUGUGCAGGAUUACUUUAUACGUUGCAGUUCCAAGUCAAAAUUGGUGGGCAAACGUUGGCCUUUUUUCAUUUCACCUAAGAUUAAUGCUCACCUGGGAUAGGCACUACAUGACUUAUCUGCUCUUUUACUGUAAAGUUGCUUUGUGUAUGAGAUACACCUCCCCUGCACACCCUCAACAUUCGUUGCUCUGUUUUCCUUGUGUCCAGACGAGGAUAUUAAUUGGAGGCUGACAAAACGACUGCUAGCCCAGGAUUUACAAGGUCCUGGUUUGAGGCUUCGGUGAAAGUAUUUUUGAAAAGACACACAUAGAGAUAGUGCGUUUGGUGCAAUGCAGCACUGUGAGCCAUUCUGACGCGUUCUUAAUUUCAAAACUAAUGAAUGCUUCAAAAUUUUAAGAAGUGACAUUUCCAAAUAUUUGAGUUCGUUUAAUUGAACAUUGGAUAACUAGUGAUCAUAGAUUAUUAUCUGUGCUUGGCACUAUAAGAGGGUAUAUGCUUCUUUUUCUGGCCCCUCCUUCAAGGGAGGAGGGACAAUGUGAUCUGUAACGUUAGAAGCUAUUCCAUGUCAUCUUUGGGCUCAGUUCAAAACUAAAAGAUAAUGGGGGGGGGGGGGGGGGGCAUAUCAUUUUAUAUUUCUUCUAGAAGGUUUGUUCUGGAAAUAUUUCACAGGAGCAUAUCUUUUUCUUCUAUUACGUCAUCCGCAGCCUCCAAUAGGUCGGUUAACAAGCCACCGAGUUGAAAAGUUGGAAAAAUGGGAACACAGCCCGCCUCUUGUAUUCAGUAGUUAAAUAAAAGGUCACUAGAAGUGAGAUCCCUUUUGGCGUCUUGAUUUUCAAUCCAGCACCUCUGUGACCUGACAAACCAAAAAAACUAAAAAAUAAAAAACAGUACGUGGGUUGGUGUUAAGCAUCAAGACAUGUUAAUGAAAGAAGGUAGAGAAUAGGAUAUUGAAAUCCCAAUCCUGAUAACAUGAUUUUCUUUGCUAACAACCAUAUUAUAUUUUAUCAAGAAAGAGUAAUGCAUGUGGCGUCCAUCAAGACCCAUUAGAGUUCCGCUAAAGCUAUAGUUCUGUCAACGUUAUCAUUUACGUUUCCUCUAGAUAAUGGCAUUUUCCUCUAAAGCUCUUGCACCAUUAGGCUUCAAGUCAAAAUUUCACAUGUGAACUUUGGAAAUUUUCUCCAUUUGCCCCUAAGGAUACAGUUAGAAUUGACUUAAAAUCCUGAUUGAUAUGUACUAUUAACCAAAGAAUAUUGUAUAUAAUAAUUGAAAUAUUGUUGAUUCAUCGUGGAAAUACAUUUUGUAAGGAAAGUUGUUGAGAAUUUAGUAUGCUAUAUGGAGAAAAAAGUCAUGACUUAAGGUUGUGUAUGUAUAUUCUAUAUCAAAUAUUAGGUAGGAAUGUGGGAAAGAGCAGAGUGUAAUGAUAAGAAACAAAGAAAUAUAAGAUAUUCUUGAAAGUGGAAAAUAUAAAAUGGCUAACGAGUCAAAUUUAUGAUGCGUAAGGGGGAUCAUGUCACAUAAGAAAACCAUGGCAUACUAAAGACGUACGUGUGGUAUGGAGUAAUAAUUUUGUUAAAAUAAGUUUCUUGUUGGAGUACAUUAGGUGACUAUUCAUAACGUAUCAAAUUAAAGAGUCAAGUGCAUCAAUGAAGGCAUAUGUAGAAAAUUUGUUUGUGACAUGUACCAUAAAGAUAAGAUUGACUUGAUAGAAUUUAGUCUAAGUAGGAGUUGUUAAAGGUGUCUUAAAUUUCUAAUUGAUGUAUAUUUUUUUCUAAAAAAAUAUUAUAUAGAUAUUUUAAUAAAUGAUUAAUUCUUUGUAAAAAUACUUACAUAAUAAAAAACAUCAUUAAAAAUAUCUUUAUAAAUAUUUUAAGUUACAAGAAGGAAAAAAACCACUGUGAGAUAAUGAUGAACAUGCAACACUGUACCAAGUAAAUAAAAAUGUGAUAAAAAAAAAAGAGAAACACUCGAUAAAGGAAGGCUCGUAUAUAAAGAGUAAUAUUUUUAAUCAUAUGAUAGAAUGAUUUUCUCUCAUUCAUGAAUAUAGGCAAGAUUGGGGAACCAUUAUAAAAUUUUGUACACCUCGUGUAAAUUGAUGUUUGUCUUCAUAUUUUACACCAACAAAUGACAUUGAAGUUGUCAUUGAUAAAAGGGAAAAGGCAUGCCUCCACACCAUGUGCUUGAUUCGAAUGGUUCAAGUUUGAAGAAUUUUCUCCGGAAGAUCUAAAACAUUUUCGCCUUUAAAUUUCAUUUGAUUAUUAAUAUCCGAAAAAAUAGUUAAAUACUCUUUCUAUUUUUGAGUUGUUGAAUUUUUUGAAAGUUUUUAUAUUUGUUAUCAAGAAUUUCUAUUUUAUUAAGGGUGAAUAUUUAUAAAUAAGAUAUUAUAUAAUAUUUGGAUAAGAGAGAAUGGUGGAAUAUAAUAAAGUUUUAAUCCUUCCCAAUUUUGAACCUUUUUUUUUUUUUUUGAUAUAAUCGCCUUUCUCUUGCAAUCCUAUUAUCAGGUACCUUAUAUUUGCUGAUGCUAUCUGGAACUAAAUUCCAAUCAGGCAUUGUCCAAUUACUAAUAGGACAGAUCAUAUCUCUCUGUUUCUAAACUAACAUGUAUCGUAAUGUGACCUCAUAAGGAAGGCUAGGAAGAUGGAGGAUUUUGUGGGAAGCGACCAGAAUCAGAUGGAAGAGAGAUAGCCCUGUUGACCUAAUGGCUGUAAUAGGAGAAGCGUGUGGUUUUAUGGGACUUAACUGAUACUAAACCUGUAUGAUGCUUGGAGUGGUGUUUCUUUCAUUUUGUUAAGAAAAUAUGGCAGCAUACAUGCUUUCAACUGAGUGCAUCAGAGCAUCCAUAACAGAUGGUCUGCAACCCUAGGUGCAUGCCACUUUCUGACUGAUAAUGAAAUUGUCAGGUACCUGGCCUUGACUAAGCUCAACAGCAUCACAUAAAGAGAAGCUUUCAUACUUAGAUUACUGUUUAAAGUUUUUGCUUAUUUGAUUUCUUAAUGCCAUUAUGACAUUAUUGAUUCAAUUCUGCUUCCGAUUUUCGAAGUUCUGGGCAUCUACUGAUUGCAUCAUUAUAUGAGAAGUUGCAUGAGUUUAUGUAUCCUGUUAUUGUUCCUUUGCGAUUUCACUGCUCACGGGACUAACCUCUCCAUUCAGUCGAAAUGAAUUGUAAUUUCUUUACUGGUAGCAGUAGUACUUUUCAUAGCAAAGAUAAUAGAAAAUAUGAAAUAUAAAUAGAAGGAAAUCUGGAUUGUAGAUAGCACCAUAAGUAACACUCAAUAUUCACUACAUAAUAAAUAGACAGUGUUACAUAGGUAGAGAAACCUACAAUGAGUACUCAUCACCAUUCUCAAACAGAAACAUAGCAGCGACUUAUACAUAGAACCUAUAGGCUCGCAGGGAAAGAGUAACAUGAUAAGUUCACAGCGGGUAGCAGCUCUUAUUUUACGUAUUACUCAAAAUCUCAAACUAACCAAAGUCACUCAGUUGGGAUGGGUAGGAGAUGGUGGUUUGUGGGGUGGCUUCUGGGUAGGAGCUGGUGGCUUCUUUGUUGGAGUUGAAGGAGGCAUAUUCUUCUGAGGUGGCUUGUAUGACUCUUCGGCACUCUCUGCAGGAGGGUGCCCAGGGUUGUGACCAGAAGGAGGUGGCUUCUGUCCCUUUGGUGGUUUGCCUAAUGGGCUUGGUGGCUUGUGCUCCGGGAGUUGUUUCUCUCCCUCGAGUAGGUUUCGAGUUUUGUCAGAUGGCUUGUGUUCUGGUGGUGGCUUCUCUCCCUGGGGUGGUUUGCCGAAUGGGCUUGGUGGCUUGUGUUCGGGGAGUGGCUUCUCUCCCUGGAGAAGGUUACGAGUUUUGUCAGAUGGCUUUUGUUCUGGUGGCGGCUUCUCUCCCUGGGGUGGUUUGCCAAAUGGGCUUGGUGGCUUGUGUUCGGGAACUGGCUUCUCUCCCUUGGGAGGUUCAUUUGGUGGCUGGUGUUCCGUAGGUGGUUCCUUCACCGGCGGCUUGUGCUCCGGAAGCGGCUUCUCUACCUGGAGAAGCUUACGAGUUUUGUCAGAUGGCUUGUGUUGUGGUGGUGGCUUCUCUCCCGGGGGUGGUUUGCCAAAUGGACUUGGUGGCUUGUGUUCGGGGAGUGGCUUCUCUCCAUGGGGAGGUUUAGUUGGUGGUUGGUGUUGCGUAGGUGGUUUCUGAAGUGGGGGAUGCUUGGGGUAGUCAGCAAUAGACGAGGUAGUGAGAACCACCAGUCCCAACAGCAACACUAG